RNAcentral lists this long non-coding RNA (108980 nucleotides) under Malus domestica (apple). RNAcentral describes it as "long non-coding RNA (MDOM_LNC001379)". The record is from RNAcentral. Lineage: Eukaryota; Viridiplantae; Streptophyta; Magnoliopsida; Rosales; Rosaceae.
UUGAACAUGGGAUGAAUGAGAGAGUUUGUAGCAACCUAGCAUGGUGCUGUCAUGGAACCUGCAUUUGUGGAAUCUGAACAUCUGGAAAUCACUCUAGGUGAACUCUGGUAUGGUGAGAUCAUAACAAGAGUUUCUUCAUUUGAGCCUGGAGUUCUUUCUCGAUGCUUAGACACUUCCAUUCCAUACAUUUUAUUAGUUGGCACAGCACAAAACCAACCAUGGUGGCUCUAUGUUAGGAGGUGGAAGUUGUGCAUGCCAUUGCUGUCUUUAAUGAUUUCCUGACCGAAUUCACAUCGAACUUUCCUUGAAUCCUUCAAUCCAAAUUAGUUAUUACAUCACCAUUCUGGAACUCAGGAUUCACCCACUCCACGAUGUGGACAAGAUCAUCACUUUCUAUGAUUGCAGCCUUGCAGGUUGGCCGGUAAAACUCUAAAAUUCAACCUUUGAUAAUUAUAGUACCUGCAGACAAUAAAAAGCAAUCAUAAAUAAACCACACUGGUCAUACAUUUGUAUUUAUAACAUGAUAAACAAUCUAAUAGAACACGGAAAUUUGAACAUACUUGCGAUCAAGAUAACCCGCUCCGCCCAUGAUCAAUGUCAACACAGAGGUCCCAUUAUCACUGGAAAAAACCAUGGACAGACCAAAACCUGCUCUUUUCGCGUCCAAGUUUUCGUUGUACUGUGCUUGCUCUCCUCUCUUAAUGCAAUUCUCCUAUUGGAUUCCCUUCUUGAGUGUAGCUGGAAUACAAAUCCAAUUUAUCUGUGAUUAACGUAUUCUAGAUAACUCGACAUGAUUUUAUUCAAGGAUGAAAGAUUGUAGAAAGAAGGUGCAUAUUGACUCAACAGAUUACCUUACACAAAAUUGGUCUCAUAAAAGUGUAUCUGCAUCAUAACACCAUGUGGAACAUGUCUUAGAACAUAUUCGAAUGCACAUUGGACGUUAUAACAUAUACAGAAUGACCACGGAUUCGUAAACAGUUGCAAAUGUACUUCUAUUUACUCAUAUUUAAGGAUUAAAAAACUUAAUUUCCACAAAAGUCUAAAGUGCUGUUCCAAAAAGAUUGUGAAAGCAAAGAAAUUAAUGUUCUUCCACGAGGCUAGAAAGUGUAAGACUUUGCAAACUAAAUGCAACUAAGACAAAAGAACAGAACCAAUCACGAAUUACUGUUUCGGGAAAGAAACCUACACUUGACUGUAGGAAAUGCGGGAAAUCUUGGGCCAGUCGAGAAGUUGCUUCUUUUAAUUUAGAACACAACAGUAAAAUUUGGACUGGCUUCCCUACUGUCGAUAGAUACUUCAGGUUCCCACAACGGUAAGUAGAUAGAUCGUCGACACAUGAAAGGUUCCGUCAUCACUCUGGUAAGACCCUUCUGAGUGCCAUUGUUGAUAGUAUUAGUAAUGAUCCAAGUAUUGCAACAACAAUAUUCUUCUUGAGCUUGCUUGAAUCUGAUUUAAAAAUAACUUAUCAGCAGAUAGAAAAUAUAAAUUCUGAAGGACGCAAUGCCAUUCGCUUUCGUUAAAGGAAAUGCUAACCUAUUGGGCACUCUCCAUGAACAAACUUGCACAGAGCAGUAGGACAAGGAAACCAGUUGAGAUCUUCAUCUCUCUGUCUCAUUGCAGCCUAUGAACUACCAGGUAUUUAAAACGCGUGACAAUGUCCCGACCAAAAAAACAGAAAAACGUAUGAGUGUGGAUUUGUAACCUCAUGCUGCACAAUGAUCCUUAUUACAUGGGGAUGCUUAGUGUACGUCAAUCAAUGGAUAAUGCAAUGUUUUUUUCUUUUUUUUGGAAACGUGGAUAAUGCAAUGUUCAUACUAGAGCAAUUUGGUCAAGCCAACGUAUUUUCUAGUCAAAGCAUUUCAAACAAUGUUCCUGUUAGGGUUAUGUGCUGUGAUACAACUCGAAGUAUUGGUCAAAAGUGAUUAAGUUGAGGACAAUAUAGAUACAUACUAGUAUGUAGCCUACACUGAUUCACUGCACAACAGAUCCCACACCCAGUUUUAGCCCACCAAGUUUUGAACAUGGGAUGAAUGAGAGUUUGUAGCUACCUAGCAUGGUGCAGUCAUGGAACCUGCAUUUGUGGAAUCUGAACAUCUGGAAAUCACUCUAGGUGUACUAUGGUAUGAUGAAAUCGUACAAAACCCAUGCUGCAGUCAUGGAACCUCCAUUUCCAAACGUUGUGUUAGUUGACACGACACAGCAAAAAACCCAUGCUGCAGACCAAAAAAAAAGUAAUCAUUAACCACUAACUGUUCUUACAUUUGUAUUCAUAACAUGAUAAAAAAUCUAAUAGAACAAGGAAAUUUGAACAUACUCUAGAUCAAGAUAACCCGCUGUGCCCAUGACUGAUGUCACCACACGAGUCCCAUUAUCACUGGAAAAAACCAUGGACAUACUGAAAUCUGCUAUUUUCGCGUCCAAGUUUUCAUUGCGCUGGGAUUGCCUCCUCUCUUAAUGCAAUUCUCUUACUGGAUUCCCUUCUUAAAUAGGCUGAAAUACAAAUCCAUUUCAUCAUUGAUUAACGUAUUUUACAUAACUUGACGUGCUUUUAUUCGAGGAUGAAAGAUGGAAGAAAGAAGUUACAUAUUAACUAAACAGAUUACCUUCCAUAAAAUUGGUCUAAUAAAACUGUGUUAGUUUGGUGAUCAGAUUACCCUGUACAAAAGUGUAUCUGCACCAUAACAAUCAAAUGGACCUAAGACAAGAGAACAGAACAUAUCGUUAAUGACUGUUUCGGGAAAGAAACCUACACUUGACUGUCGGAAAUGUGAGAAAGGUUGCAUUUUCUUUAAAUUUAGAACGCCACAGAAAAAAUUGCACCGGCUUCCCCACUGCUGUAGAUGCUUCAGAUUCCCACUGCUGUGAAAAGAUAGAUCGUCCGCACACGAAAGGUUCCGUCAUCACUCUGGCAAGAGCCUUUUGAAUCAUCAAGUGACAAUGAUUCCGAUUCUGACUAAUAUCCCGUUUACUGCAGAAAACGAGAGUGAGUGAACAAUAUUGGACAAAAUAUACAUGGAUAAUUGAUUGGAAAUAAAAAUAAGGGCUCCAAAAAUAAAAAUUACCUCUGAUAACUGGAAUGUGAGAAAUCUUUGGCCAUUAUGCGCCGUCCUUGGUCCAUCUUUCCUUGAGAUGGGGACACCUUUGAAUCUCUAGCUUAUGUAAUUUGGUUAGGCAUUGCAUAGCUUCGACCGUAGGCAGAUACAUCAGAUUCUCACACCAGGAAGUUUCCAACUCUGUAAGAGAUGUAAGGUUGCCCACACUGAUUCACUGCACAACAGAUCCCACACCCAUUUUUAACCCACCAAGUUAUGAACAUGGGAUGAAUGAGAGAGUUUGUAGCUACCUUAUCAUGGUGCCUUCAUGGAACCUGCAUUUAUGGAAUCUGAACAUCUGGAAAUCACUCUAGGUGAACUAUGGUAUGGUGAAAUCGUAACACAAGUUUCUUCAUUCGAGCCAGUUUCUUCAUUUGAGCCUUGAGUUCUUUUUGGAUGCCUAGACACCUUCAUUUCCAAGCAUUGUAUUAGUUGACAUGACACAACACAGAACCUGCACACAGUGAGAAGAAACACAACCUUGUACAAAAGUGUAUCUGCACCAUAACAAGUAACAACUAUGCGCAACAUGCCUUAGAACAUAUUUGCAAACCAAAUGGAACUAAGACAAGAGAAGAGAAAAAAUCAUGAAUUACUGUUUCGGGAAAGAAACCUACACUUGACUGUUGCUUGUUUUAAUUUAGAACGCAACAGUAAGAUUUGGAAUGGCUUCCCUACCGCCGAUAGAUACUUGAGAUUCCCACAACGGUGAAUAGAUAGAUGGUCGAUUCAUGAAAGGUUCCGUCAUCACUCUGGUAAGAGCCUUUUCAAUCAUAAAUACUGCAGAAAACGAGAGUGAAUGAGGAAUUUUGAACAAAAUAUACAUGGAUAAUUGAUUGGCUCCAAAAAUAAAAAUUACCUCAGAUAUGGAAUGUGAGAAAUCUUUGGCCAUUCUGGGCCGCUGUCCUUGGCGCAUCUUUCUUUCAGUCGGGGACACGAAUAAAUCUCUAGAUCAUGUAAUUUGGUUAGGCGUUGCAUAGCUUCGACCGUAGGCAGAUACAUAAGAUUCUUACAAUCCCAAAUUGACAACUUAGUAAGAGAUGUGAGGUUGCCCAACCACUCUGGAAGAGCCUCCAGACCAUCGAAUCUCCAAAUUGUCAACUCAGUUAGGGAAGCAGAGUGUUGAAUAUGCUGAGGCAGAGACUUGAGCUUAGGCCACCCGUACAAUCCUAAUUUUUUCACUUUCGAUGGGACCUGAAAAUCAGGGAAAGAAUCGAGCUCUUGGCAGAAGGCACCGAUACACAACUCUUCCAAACGAGAUAGAGAGUGCAGCCCCUUGGGCAAAUAUUGUAAUUUCCCACAAAUAAAUACAGAUAGAGAGGAAAGAGAUUGCAAGCUGGACACAUUGUGGUCCGCCAGAGAUAUCAAAUUGGAGCAGAAGCUGACACGCAAACGGGUUAGAGAUGUGCAGUAUGCAAGCCCACUCGGUAGACUUAUUAAUCCAUCACAUCCCAAAAUAUCCAAAUUAGUGAGGGACGUGAGGUUGUCUAAACUGGGAAUAGCCUCUAGAUUAGGGCAAUGAUGGACACGCAAAGAGGUAAGAGAUGUGCAGUAUGCAAGCCCACUCGGUAGACUUAUUAAUCCAUCACAUUGAAAAAUAGUCAAAAUAGUAAGAGAUGUGCAGUAUGCAAGCCCACUCGGUAGACUUAUUAAUCCAUCACAAUCCAUAAUAAUCAACUCAGUGAGGGACGUGAGGUUGUCUAAACUGGGAAAAGCCUCUAGAUUAGGGCAAUUCCGUAUUUCCAUCUUCUCAAGAGAGACGGGGGUUUGUAGCCCAUGACCCGACAAAGUCCUCAAAUUUCGACAAUCUGAGAUAUAUAGUGUGCGAAGACUAGUACAAGAAUGGAGCCCAGUACAAGAAUGGAGCCCACUCGGUAUACUUGUGAAUCCAUUGCAAUCUUUAAUUCUCAAUUUUACGGAGGGAUGUGCAAAAAGGUCCGUUAAAGAGUAAGGUCCCCUCAAGAGUAGGGCAAAGUUUAAGGGCAUAACUGAAUUUUGAAGUUCUCUUGGGCAAAUAAUUUCCCAAUAGAUUUGCCAAAGAUUUAUUCUUUAAUUUUGUCCUUGAAAUAUUGAGAUACCUCAGGUUUCACUUUCAAUUGAGAUGGGCAACUCCUCUAUUUUAGCCUUGUAUAAAUUCAACGUCCGUAAAUCUCUGAACCUUUCAAACAUGUUACUGAACUCAAAGUGUGGUGGAGGAAACAACGACCGCAGUCUCCCAACGCUCCCUUGUAGAAAUCUUUCAAGUGUUGUGGAAGAAAUCCGGGCAACAUGCUGAAUCUGAAGUGCUCCAUCGUCCAUCCGAUCCGAGUCUUGCGUCAAGCUUUCAAAUUUGAAUACUUCCUCAGCAAGAUCAUGCACAAGAUCAUGCAUCUUGUAUUUGGGAAUAUCAUACUCAUAGGAUCUAGCAUCUUGAAAUAAAGAGUUUUGCAAUAGAAUGUUAAAAUAUUCAUUACCUUUAUCUCCAUGGAAGAAAAUGGAGAUAUCCUUGAGCUGAGAGCUGGAUCAUCUUAUUCUCACAAUCUUUUUCAUCAUUGAGCAAUAUGCAAAACAUUGCUUCAAUGAAAAAUCAAAAGGUCCUUCAAGAUUUGAUUUGGUUCUUUCCAGCUUCCAGAAUUGGAUGCCAAGCUCCUUAUCAUUUAUUAGUUUCUAUAUUUUGAGAAAUAUUGGCUAUAAAAUAAUAACAACUGCUUGAACCCACUGUUAUGAGGAACAGUGAAAGACUGCUCUGUAGAAGAAUGCUAAGGGACUUGCUAUCCAAUAAGAAUUGGUCUCAGAAUUAAUUGAAAGAUACUUUAUUAGAUCGGUAAAAUAUAAGUUUUAAUUUUUUACCUCAAUAUUUUUUAACUAAAGGGAGGGGAGGUUCAGCUAAACUCAAUCGAAUCUAAUUUGGUUAAUCGAGAUUCGCCAAUCCAUAAGAUUUGAACUAAUACCUUCCUUCCAUAUGAAGAGGAAUAACCAUGAUAUGUAGUACUAAGGGGCAUAAGGUCAAUUGGAUACUUAAGAUAACUGAGUAAUUGAAUGGUUCGUAACAAUGCACUAGGAAGGGUAGUAUUUUGAAGGAGUGCUUUGAUCCACAAUUUUCUAGAGUGUUUACAUGUAUAUAUAAGGUUAAGAUUCGAACACCAUUGUUUUGAAACAUAUUUUAACAUAAGUUUUGUGGCUUGUUUUUGUAAUUUUUGUUCAAAAGAUCUCAAUCGUUUAUAAUUAAUCAUUCAUAGAUUUUCUUGUAAAAUAAUUAGCAAAUCCAAUUUCAAUUAUGACUUUUUUGUAGUGAAGAAAAAACCAAUACGAUCUUACAAAGAUAACACUAAAUUUUACGCAGUCGCGCGAAGCACAAUGAACUAUUUUUCGCCUUUUACUAAAAAAACACUAAAUUUGAUCCUACUAUCAAUCAUAUUUUUUUUGAGUGAUUUUUUUUUAUAAUGAUGUUAUUUUUUAGUAUUUUGAAGGAUGCUUUAAAUUAUAUUUCAGUAUUUGUUUACCCUAUAGUGUAUUUUUUAAUGAUUUUUGGUUUAAAUGACAGCAUUAAUUCACAUAUAUUCAUUAACAUAAGUUUUUGUGUCUUCAAAAUGGAUAUUUGUAUCUUUUAUUAUAUAUAUUAUAAUAUGUAUAUAUAUUUUAUAUAUAUAUUUUCUUAAUAUUAAUAUAAAUUAUAUAUAUAUAUAUAUAUUAAUUCUAUUCUGAAGAAGCUUUCUAUUUUUUCAGAUAAUAGGAUCCCUUAAUGGUCAUCUAUAUUUAUUUAAUAUUUUUUUUUUUAAUUUAAUUUUUCUUAUUUUUUUUUUAUAAUUUUAUUUUAAGUUUUUAUUUAUUUUUUAAUUUUUUUUUUUAUGGCUAAGGUAUAAGGGAUCCAUUUUUUUUUAUAUAAAAUAUAGGGGAUUUUUAUGGGUCUCAUUCCACAUUUUUUUAAAUAUUUUGGAUCUAUUAAUUGCAGUUAAUUACCUUAAUAAAAAUUCGUAGGUUUGGGUCACACUUGUUAUUUUGGAAUUUAGAGUUUCGAUCCCACGAAUCAAUUUUUAUAAAAAAUGAGGAAUAAGCAAGCCAAGGUAGACACAUUUUUGUCAUUUGUACUUCUAUAAAUAGGAGCUCCAGCUUUGCUGGGUUUUCUCAGGACCUACCCAAUCAGCGGCUAUCCUAGGGAUAUAUUCCUUGGUUUGCUGAGACAUUUAUGUUAACUUCUGUGAUAUGUUGAUUUGGUGAUUGCUAGUAUGAAUAGAUGAGCUAGAAAUCAUAUUAGAAGUAUUAUGUAGAACUUGUGUGUCUGUAUGACAAGAUUUAGUUUUCAUGUGAAAUGGAUAAUGUACAUACUCACAUUGUAAAUCAUAGGUGUUGAUGUAAGAGAUAUGAUGUGUUUUGUGGAGGAUGUUGUUAAUGCACGUACCACUAUGUAGUAGUGUGAUACAUAGGUGGUUCCACCUGGUUAAUCCGCAUUGGAAGACCACACUAUUAGAGGCAUGCCUAUGGUCCAACUAGGUUAAUCUGCAUUGGGGGACCGUACAUAUUUUAGAAGUGACUCUGCCAGGUUAAUCCACUUUGAGGGGUCAUUGCCUACUUAGUUACAUUACCUUCAUAGGUGGUCCCGCCUGGUUAAACCGCAUUGGGAGCCUACACUAUUAAAAGCGUGCCUAUGGUUCCGCCUAGUUAAUUUGCAUUGGAGGACCAUAUGUCUAGGGGUGAUCAUCCUUGAUAUAUCUACAAUGAGUGAUCACUAUCUACACAAUUAAGUUAUGCCUAUGGUUAUGCUUAAUUAAUCCGCGAUUGGGCGAUGCCAUUUUAGAUAUAUUCUAUUCGAUCUAUGCUUGAUAUUAUCUGUAUUUUCUCUGGUCGACUACUAAUCCUAUUAUUAUAGGAUGGGUGUUCUUUGGUUAUCAACAAUUGUGAUCAUUGCUUGGUAAUCAGGUGAUGGGAGUGUGUAUUCAUUGCUUUCUACUUGAUUAUUAGAUUAUUCUAUGGCUCUGCUCGGUAUAUCCGUGAUGGGAAACUAUAUGCAUUCUAAGGGUAGUCAUGCUUGCUUUGGUGUAUCAUGCCUUACACUAUUUUAGGUUAUGCAUAUGCUUUUGCUUGGUACAUUCGCAACGGCGAACUAUACGCACUUUAAGGGUAUAAUCGGAUGGGUGCAUGCUACUGAAGUAAGAUAGUGCUUGAAAAUUAGCGAUGACGAGUGGUUGAGUGGUCUAGAAUCCCAUCUCUUGUUCGGUUUCGUUGAAUUAAUCAGAAACCCUAGAUUCUUGUGAAUAGAAAUUGCUCAAGGUAGACAUUUGUGUUUGUAAAUUAGGGUUACAAUAUUGCUUGAAUCCAAGUAGGGAUAUGCAUAUAUUUGUUCUAUUAAAUUUCAUGAAUUGAUACUUGAUCUUGUUGGUUAAUUAAUGUAACCACUAACCAUGCAUCUUUAAGUCAUUGAACCAAUUAUUUGCUAUAAUUUUGGAAUUAUGUUGGAAAACAUUGUGAUAUAUGUGAUUGACGAAAUGACAAUCCUGGUUGUGAAAUUGUUGCCUUAAGUAGCCUGGAAUCUAGUGAGCCAUGCUUGUUAAGUCCCAUCUAUGUUUCUUGCCAUUUAAUGCCUUGAGAAAUUUUAAAACUUACAAGAAAUGUGAACUACAAAUGGCUUAAUCCCGUCUUUGAGUACAUGAGACAUAAAGGUUAGAUGCAUCCGUGUGAUAAAAGAGAAGUUACUACAUUAUUGACCUGUUGGUUUGUUUUUUGCCAUGUCUUAGAAGUGAGACAUGACAGUUAGGUAGGUACAUUCUGAAGUCACAUGUUGGUCCGGUAGAAAUCUCAGAAUGGGAUUCUACUAAGUACAAAUUCUUUAUAGAGGAAGCUAGCAAUGUACGUCUUGGACACAUUUCUAUUGCGACCCAUUUUUGUGUGUAAUUAAUGUCGCAUAUUACAAACUUGAUUCUAAGCUACUCAUUCAUCGUUCAAGACCCAAGAAGUUUUUAUUCCCAUUCGAUUGAUUAAUUUAACAUGGGAUAUGAGAGAGAUGUUAUAGAAACCAACUACUUGAAUCAUAUUUUACAGAUCACACGAUGUGUUAGCUCAUGGUUAGACUUAUUCUUUAAAGAGUGGUGAUUUUCCCACCCAGGUGUCUUAUUUCCUCACCCACUAUUUAAUGAAAAUGUUAGGCCAUCUCCAACUGAAGGGUCCAGAGGGCUAGAGGGCCGAAAAUAACCCUAAAACCGUCUCCAACCGAGGGCUAGACCAAAGGGGCUGGCUAUUUUUUUUUAUAGUUUUUCUAUUGCUGUCGGUUAUAACCGACAGUAAUAGUUAUUCAAAGGCAAAAUUUUUUUUUAAUUACUAUUAGUGUCGGUUAAUAUUGACACUAAUAGUUUGAAUUUUUUUUAAUACAACGGCUAGUAGCCGUUGUAUUAACUUUAUUAUUAUUUUUUAUAUGAAUGUAAACUUCUUUUUUUCCCUUUUUUUUCCUUUUCAUAUGAAUCAAAUUUUGUUUCAUAUUUUUUUUCAAUUCUAUUUUACAAAAUUUGUUUCAAUUUUUUUUAAAUUCCAUUUUUUUCCUAUAACUUCUAUUUUACAAAAUUUGUUUCAUUUUUUUUAAAUUCCAUUUUUUUCCUAUAACUUAUAUUUUACAAAAUUUGUUUCAUUUUUUUUAAAUUCCAUUUUUUUUCCUAUAGCUUCUAUUUCACAAAAUUUGUUUCAAUUUUUUUUAAAUUCUAUUUUUUUCCUAUAACUUCUAUUUUACAAAAUUUGAUUCAUAUUUUUUUUCAUAUAACUUCUAUUUUACAAAAUUUGAUUCAUAUUUUUUUUUCAUAUAACUUCUAUUUCACAAAAUUUGAUUCAUAUUUUUUUUUCAUAUAACUUCUAUUUCACAAAAUUUGUUUCAUAUUUUUUUUCAAUUCUAUUUUUUUCCUAUAACUUCCUAGGCCAUUUAUACAACAUUAAAUUAAAUUAAGUAACAUGAAACGACAUUAAACAAUAUGAAACAACAUUAAAUAACAUGAUUGAAUUGCAAGAGAUUGAAUUGAAAUAGAUUGAAUCAACGGCUAGCUGACAUCAUGUUGACGUCACUUAGCCGUUGGAUUUGAAUUUAAAUUGUAGUUUUUAAAUAAUAAAUUAUGCUUGACCCUAUGACCCUUUGGCCCUCGGUUGGAGACGAUUUUUUGUGACAGGGCUAAAACGAGCCCUCUGGCCCUUUGAUCCUCGGUUGGAGACGGAGGCAAAUAUGGUCAUGUACUGUUCAUUAAAAUAUUAAUAUCUUGGGGAAUCUUGGAGGGCCAGAUGGCUAAAACGAGCCCUCUGGCCAGCCCUCGGUUAGAGAUGGCCUUAAUAACAUAUUUAUCCUUUUAAAAUAUGACUCUCAAACCCCUAUUUAAUUAAGUACUAAAAUCUUGAAAAAACAAAAAAUGAUUUAAAAUAAUAAAUAAAUAAUGGUGGGUGGGGUGUGAUAUCUUUGGUGGAAAGAGGUUGGGAAAGAUUUGGGUUAGAAUCGACGGAGGACGAAGGCGAGAAACUUCAAUGGAGAAAAAAGAGAAUUGGGUGUGAGAUCUGCGGUUUUGACAAAAAAGAAGGAACAAUAGUGGUUUGGGGUCCGGGGUCUCUGCAGGACAACAAUGGGUGUGAAGGAGAUGAUGAAUGUCUAGGUCUUAGGUCUGACAUUUUCUUUCAUUUUUUUUUUCUAUUUUUAUUUAUUAAUUUAUAAUAUUAUUUAAAGAUAUAUUAGAGUUAUUUAGAAAAAAAUAUAUAUUAUGGUUAUUUUGGGAAUAAUUGUGGGUGAGGAAAUAACAUUUUACUUUUUUAAUUUUUUAUGAUGGGUGGGAUUAUCAUGUGGGUGGGAAAAUAGGACACUAGGGUGGGUCUAGUAGCACUCUUCUUUAAAUCAUUAAAUAAACAAUUCAACCAUCAAUCGUCACAUCAUAGGAUCUAAAUAUGUCUCCUACUACCUAUCUUAAAUUGCAACAAAACUUGAUACGGAAAACAGUUUGUUUUAUAAUCGUUAUCGAUUAGCAUCAUCUUUCUCUAUGAUUAAAACAGUUUGGCUUUAAUGACACACUAGAACCAAAACUUAUAAUCGUUAUAAAUUAGCAUCAUCUUUCUCCUGAACCCCAAUCAUCAAGAAAAUAGUGGUAAUUACUGUUAGAUCUUAAUCCUACAAUAUAAAAAGGGAACUAUUAUCUGCACUCCACAAAUUUCAUUAUACACUCCUCGUAUUUUUCUUUCUAAUAAUAAAAAAUUUGAAAUGCAAAAUGAGAUUUUUGGAGUGCCAAUAACAAUUCCCUAUAAAAAAAUCACAACAAAAAAGUGAACUAAGCACUAAUAGUUAGAUUAAGAUCGACAUCGGAUGACCAUGCAUGGUCACUAGGCUCUUGGAGAACAAUUAUGUUGGGUUUGAUAGGGUCCCUUCUGUUUGUGUGGUUAAUUCGCUAUUCAAUCUUAUUGACUUCAAACCUCUGUCGCUCAGAGAAAUAGAGGAAAGAAAUCGAGCAAAAUUUCAAAGCCAAUUCUAUGUUUGUCUCCUCUAAGAAAUUUAUAGUAAUACUGUUGAUGUAAUUAAAUUACUCCAUAUUUGUAUAGUUUAUAAUUUAACAUUUGUUUAUACGACUUUAUGCAUAACGUUUUUCUAGUCCUCACCUUUUUGUUUUCCUUUUUGUUUUUACUUUCCUUUCGUCUUCUUUCUCCUUCGUUUUGUUCUAAAACAUUUUCUUGAUUAGAAUUUAUUGCAUCAAGAAAUCUUCUUCAUUUUUUUGUGGUUUGCUAGUUAUCUUUUUAGUUUUUUUACCUCACGCAUCAUCUAUUUUGUAUUUUAUUCAAUUUUUUCCUCAUGGAUUAUCUACCUGUGAUGUAGGUCUCCUAAUUUUUUUCUUUUAUGGAAGGUUUCCUCUACUUAUCAUGUUAUUUAUCUACCUAUAACACGUGAUUUUUUUAAUCUACUUCUGUCACAGACUCACAGAUUUCCUAGAUAAUUGUAUGUUUGACACUAAAUAAAUAAUUAAAAUUUAAAAUUAUGUAACUGAGGCAUUAUUUAGGAGUUCAAUUAUCUGCUAUUUUAAGGGUGAACUAGGCAUAAAAAGUAGUAGUUCGAACAAAAAAACAUAAUUGGACUCACUUAAAAUGUAGCCCAUGAUUUUGGGCCUCUAUCUAAAAUCCCUAAUAAAAUAAUAUAUGAAUGCAUACCUUUGCCGCCAAUGGUAGACCAGCACACUUUUUAGCUAUGGCCAUUCCAAUGCGCUCUUGAUCUGAAUCUAGAGAAGAAGCAUCACCAUUUGGAAAUGCUUCACCCUUUAAUAAAGACCAACAAUCCUCCUCCGAUAGGCCCUUCAAAUCACACAUCGGCAUUGUCUCAAUGAUUGGCAUUGUCUCAAAGAUUGAUGCAACAUUAGCACUACGGGUAGUAACAAUGGCAAUGCUUCCGGGACCAGAAUUGAGUUUCGACAAACAAUCCAUAAACUCCCUCCAAAAAGUCUCCUCUUCAUUCCAAACAUCAUCAAGUAUCAGAAUAUAUCUCUUGUCUGUCAACCUUUCCGUGAGGUCAUCCAGCAAUGCUUGCCGACUUGUAAGUCCUGUCCUGCUUGACUUAAGGGAUUCUAACAUCCGAUUUAGAAUCAAAUUAACGUCAGAAGUGUCGGAUACACAGACCCACAUUUUUUCAACAAAAGGCGUACGAAUAGCAUCAUCAUUGAAUAUUGACUUUGCCAAAGUCGUCUUUCCGAGGCCUCCGAUUCCCACAACGGCCAUAACCGAAAGGUUCUUUUCCUGAUUCUUGGACAUCAAGAUUUUAAUGAUAUCCGACACAAUUUCCUCCCUUCCAAUGAUCUUGUCAUUCUGACCGAAUCUCGAGUCAGUUUCUCUGUUCCUCAUAAUUGGAGGAGGGUUAUGAUCUACUGGCGUUACAACCAAGCCAAUGGAAGGUGCCUCACUCUUGAGACCCGCCAGGGACGCAUUGAUGUUCUUAAUCUUGUGUGCCAUCUUUUGACGAAAUAAAAUGGGAUUGGAGGGCGAAAAGAAGUUAAGUACCUUCUUCUUCAUGUGGUUUUGAAUUUCUACUUUACGCCGGAGAACUUCGUAGUUGAUGUCCUCCAAGACGUCAUCAGCAUCAUGAGCCACGUCUUUCAGUUUCUUGACCCAGUUUCUGACUGCCAUGCUCCGAUCCUGUGGUUUGUGGGCAACAUCGCCUAAGUACUCUUGAAUCUCAAGUGACGAUUGAUGAAGCUUGGUUAGCUCUUUAUUGAAUCCUCGGAAAAGACUGAUUUCUUGAGCAGCAAGUGAACCGACCGACUUCAGUAUUCCCUCCACGGGAUAAGUGAUGAUACCUUGUAGCACAUCCAUACUCGCGCGACAAAGGGAGAUUAGAGAGUAGAAGGCAGAGAACUGAGAGAAAGCCAAGGAAGGACACAAGAAGAGCGAAUAAGAUGAAUGAAAGGCUUAACAAUAAUUCAAGAAAAUGUGGUAUAAUAAGAAGAAAGGACCCCUUAUAAUUGACGCCACUUUACAUCUGUGAGCGUGAACAUAAUGUUCAAGAGUGGAGUGUGGUCCAGCAAUAUAAACCCAUCUUGUCAGCAAAAUUCUUUCUAAACAACUUUAGUCAAUAGUGGAGGCCGACUUUAAUAAAGUAAUGAGGAUUUUAAUAUAAAAGAUGAAAAUGAGAUCUUGUUACCUAGUAUUUACGAUUUAAGAGUUUUAGUUCGAUUCUGUUAAAGGUAAAGUGAAUCACAUUAUUAAUAAACUCAUAUCAUUCUUUUUGUGUGGAUAAUAUUGUUGUUUAUAAAUAAUAAAUAAAAUAUAAACCCAUCUUAUUAGCAAAUGUGCUCUAAAAAUUAAUUACCUACGCAUUAUUCAUAUAAAAGAUAAAAGAUGACAACUUCCUUAGAAUAUUGAAAUACACUAAAACCUAAGAUGCUGAUUCACAUGAUAACAACAGAAUUCGGCUAAAAUGCUCAUAUAUCACAAACACAAGCAGUGAAAUUAAAUNGCUCUUCNNNNNNNNNNNNNNNNNNNNNNNNNNNNNNNNNNNNNNNNNNNNNNNNNNNNNNNNNNNNNNNNNNNNNNNNNNNNNNNNNNNNNNNNNNNNNNNNNNNNNNNNNNNNNNNNNNNNNNNNNNNNNNNNNNNNNNNNNNNNNNNNNNNNNNNNNNNNNNNNNNNNNNNNNNNNNNNNNNNNNNNNNNNNNNNNNNNNNNNNNNNNNNNNNNNNNNNNNNNNNNNNNNNNNNNNNNNNNNNNNNNNNNNNNNNNNNNNNNNNNNNNNNNNNNNNNNNNNNNNNNNNNNNNNNNNNNNNNNNNNNNNNNNNNNNNNNNNNNNNNNNNNNNNNNNNNNNNNNNNNNNNNNNNNNNNNNNNNNNNNNNNNNNNNNNNNNNNNNNNNNNNNNNNNNNNNNNNNNNNNNNNNNNNNNNNNNNNNNNNNNNNNNNNNNNNNNNNNNNNNNNNNNNNNNNNNNNNNNNNNNNNNNNNNNNNNNNNNNNNNNNNNNNNNNNNNNNNNNNNNNNNNNNNNNNNNNNNNNNNNNNNNNNNNNNNNNNNNNNNNNNNNNNNNNNNNNNNNNNNNNNNNNNNNNNNNNNNNNNNNNNNNNNNNNNNNNNNNNNNNNNNNNNNNNNNNNNNNNNNNNNNNNNNNNNNNNNNNNNNNNNNNNNNNNNNNNNNNNNNNNNNNNNNNNNNNNNNNNNNNNNNNNNNNNNNNNNNNNNNNNNNNNNNNNNNNNNNNNNNNNNNNNNNNNNNNNNNNNNNNNNNNNNNNNNNNNNNNNNNNNNNNNNNNNNNNNNNNNNNNNNNNNNNNNNNNNNNNNNNNNNNNNNNNNNNNNNNNNNNNNNNNNNNNNNNNNNNNNNNNNNNNNNNNNNNNNNNNNNNNNNNNNNNNNNNNNNNNNNNNNNNNNNNNNNNNNNNNNNNNNNNNNNNNNNNNNNNNNNNNNNNNNNNNNNNNNNNNNNNNNNNNNNNNNNNNNNNNNNNNNNNNNNNNNNNNNNNNNNNNNNNNNNNNNNNNNNNNNNNNNNNNNNNNNNNNNNNNNNNNNNNNNNNNNNNNNNNNNNNNNNNNNNNNNNNNNNNNNNNNNNNNNNNNNNNNNNNNNNNNNNNNNNNNNNNNNNNNNNNNNNNNNNNNNNNNNNNNNNNNNNNNNNNNNNNNNNNNNNNNNNNNNNNNNNNNNNNNNNNNNNNNNNNNNNNNNNNNNNNNNNNNNNNNNNNNNNNNNNNNNNNNNNNNNNNNNNNNNNNNNNNNNNNNNNNNNNNNNNNNNNNNNNNNNNNNNNNNNNNNNNNNNNNNNNNNNNNNNNNNNNNNNNNNNNNNNNNNNNNNNNNNNNNNNNNNNNNNNNNNNNNNNNNNNNNNNNNNNNNNNNNNNNNNNNNNNNNNNNNNNNNNNNNNNNNNNNNNNNNNNNNNNNNNNNNNNNNNNNNNNNNNNNNNNNNNNNNNNNNNNNNNNNNNNNNNNNNNNNNNNNNNNNNNNNNNNNNNNNNNNNNNNNNNNNNNNNNNNNNNNNNNNNNNNNNNNNNNNNNNNNNNNNNNNNNNNNNNNNNNNNNNNNNNNNNNNNNNNNNNNNNNNNNNNNNNNNNNNNNNNNNNNNNNNNNNNNNNNNNNNNNNNNNNNNNNNNNNNNNNNNNNNNNNNNNNNNNNNNNNNNNNNNNNNNNNNNNNNNNNNNNNNNNNNNNNNNNNNNNNNNNNNNNNNNNNNNNNNNNNNNNNNNNNNNNNNNNNNNNNNNNNNNNNNNNNNNNNNNNNNNNNNNNNNNNNNNNNNNNNNNNNNNNNNNNNNNNNNNNNNNNNNNNNNNNNNNNNNNNNNNNNNNNNNNNNNNNNNNNNNNNNNNNNNNNNNNNNNNNNNNNNNNNNNNNNNNNNNNNNNNNNNNNNNNNNNNNNNNNNNNNNNNNNNNNNNNNNNNNNNNNNNNNNNNNNNNNNNNNNNNNNNNNNNNNNNNNNNNNNNNNNNNNNNNNNNNNNNNNNNNNNNNNNNNNNNNNNNNNNNNNNNNNNNNNNNNNNNNNNNNNNNNNNNNNNNNNNNNNNNNNNNNNNNNNNNNNNNNNNNNNNNNNNNNNNNNNNNNNNNNNNNNNNNNNNNNNNNNNNNNNNNNNNNNNNNNNNNNNNNNNNNNNNNNNNNNNNNNNNNNNNNNNNNNNNNNNNNNNNNNNNNNNNNNNNNNNNNNNNNNNNNNNNNNNNNNNNNNNNNNNNNNNNNNNNNNNNNNNNNNNNNNNNNNNNNNNNNNNNNNNNNNNNNNNNNNNNNNNNNNNNNNNNNNNNNNNNNNNNNNNNNNNNNNNNNNNNNNNNNNNNNNNNNNNNNNNNNNNNNNNNNNNNNNNNNNNNNNNNNNNNNNNNNNNNNNNNNNNNNNNNNNNNNNNNNNNNNNNNNNNNNNNNNNNNNNNNNNNNNNNNNNNNNNNNNNNNNNNNNNNNNNNNNNNNNNNNNNNNNNNNNNNNNNNNNNNNNNNNNNNNNNNNNNNNNNNNNNNNNNNNNNNNNNNNNNNNNNNNNNNNNNNNNNNNNNNNNNNNNNNNNNNNNNNNNNNNNNNNNNNNNNNNNNNNNNNNNNNNNNNNNNNNNNNNNNNNNNNNNNNNNNNNNNNNNNNNNNNNNNNNNNNNNNNNNNNNNNNNNNNNNNNNNNNNNNNNNNNNNNNNNNNNNNNNNNNNNNNNNNNNNNNNNNNNNNNNNNNNNNNNNNNNNNNNNNNNNNNNNNNNNNNNNNNNNNNNNNNNNNNNNNNNNNNNNNNNNNNNNNNNNNNNNNNNNNNNNNNNNNNNNNNNNNNNNNNNNNNNNNNNNNNNNNNNNNNNNNNNNNNNNNNNNNNNNNNNNNNNNNNNNNNNNNNNNNNNNNNNNNNNNNNNNNNNNNNNNNNNNNNNNNNNNNNNNNNNNNNNNNNNNNNNNNNNNNNNNNNNNNNNNNNNNNNNNNNNNNNNNNNNNNNNNNNNNNNNNNNNNNNNNNNNNNNNNNNNNNNNNNNNNNNNNNNNNNNNNNNNNNNNNNNNNNNNNNNNNNNNNNNNNNNNNNNNNNNNNNNNNNNNNNNNNNNNNNNNNNNNNNNNNNNNNNNNNNNNNNNNNNNNNNNNNNNNNNNNNNNNNNNNNNNNNNNNNNNNNNNNNNNNNNNNNNNNNNNNNNNNNNNNNNNNNNNNNNNNNNNNNNNNNNNNNNNNNNNNNNNNNNNNNNNNNNNNNNNNNNNNNNNNNNNNNNNNNNNNNNNNNNNNNNNNNNNNNNNNNNNNNNNNNNNNNNNNNNNNNNNNNNNNNNNNNNNNNNNNNNNNNNNNNNNNNNNNNNNNNNNNNNNNNNNNNNNNNNNNNNNNNNNNNNNNNNNNNNNNNNNNNNNNNNNNNNNNNNNNNNNNNNNNNNNNNNNNNNNNNNNNNNNNNNNNNNNNNNNNNNNNNNNNNNNNNNNNNNNNNNNNNNNNNNNNNNNNNNNNNNNNNNNNNNNNNNNNNNNNNNNNNNNNNNNNNNNNNNNNNNNNNNNNNNNNNNNNNNNNNNNNNNNNNNNNNNNNNNNNNNNNNNNNNNNNNNNNNNNNNNNNNNNNNNNNNNNNNNNNNNNNNNNNNNNNNNNNNNNNNNNNNNNNNNNNNNNNNNNNNNNNNNNNNNNNNNNNNNNNNNNNNNNNNNNNNNNNNNNNNNNNNNNNNNNNNNNNNNNNNNNNNNNNNNNNNNNNNNNNNNNNNNNNNNNNNNNNNNNNNNNNNNNNNNNNNNNNNNNNNNNNNNNNNNNNNNNNNNNNNNNNNNNNNNNNNNNNNNNNNNNNNNNNNNNNNNNNNNNNNNNNNNNNNNNNNNNNNNNNNNNNNNNNNNNNNNNNNNNNNNNNNNNNNNNNNNNNNNNNNNNNNNNNNNNNNNNNNNNNNNNNNNNNNNNNNNNNNNNNNNNNNNNNNNNNNNNNNNNNNNNNNNNNNNNNNNNNNNNNNNNNNNNNNNNNNNNNNNNNNNNNNNNNNNNNNNNNNNNNNNNNNNNNNNNNNNNNNNNNNNNNNNNNNNNNNNNNNNNNNNNNNNNNNNNNNNNNNNNNNNNNNNNNNNNNNNNNNNNNNNNNNNNNNNNNNNNNNNNNNNNNNNNNNNNNNNNNNNNNNNNNNNNNNNNNNNNNNNNNNNNNNNNNNNNNNNNNNNNNNNNNNNNNNNNNNNNNNNNNNNNNNNNNNNNNNNNNNNNNNNNNNNNNNNGCUUGCUUCGAGUGAAGACGUCCACACGCAAAAGAUCUUCAUCGUCCACUUUAUUUCACGCGGUGAUUCAUUUAUUGGCUUUAAAUUAUUUUGAUUAGUCAACAUUUAUUGGUCCUCCAUGGAUUUUUGUCAGGACUCAAUACUAGUGACUAUUCAACCCUACUUGAUCCUGUCACUUCAUCUUCAAUAUGAUUUCGCAUAGGCAGUGGUAUUUACAUAUUUAACUUUACUUUUUAUUCUUAAUUUUAUUGAAUGAAUUAAAGAAGAUUAAUUAUACAAAAUUAACAAAAAUAUGUCAAAAAUAAAAAUGAUUGUGUGAAUAAGACUAUCUUUCACAUAAACUGUGGUUUCUUUUACACAAUCGAGCUAGAAACUUGUCUCUUAUACAUUGAAUUGGCUAAUGAUUUACACUCAUCUUUGUGCCUUUUUCAUUGACUAAGGUAAACCUAAACCUAGUGAGAAAAUGUGGUAACUAUUACAAUCGAACGCUAGGAAUUCGUCUCCGACAAUACACAUAUUUGAUAAAGAGCGUUCAAAUUGGUUUUGCUUUUAGCAGUUUAUAAAUACGUCAAAUCCAACGAAAUCAAACCAAACUAAUUAUAGUUUGAUUAGUUCAACCUAAAAUUGCAUUUUUUUUUUCAUUAUAAAAGUCUUACCAAACUUCUUAGAUUGAUUUUUAUACAACGAUAUAUUUUUGCAUAGCUAAAAGCUAAAUCAAAACUUCUUGGAUUGGGGUGGGGUAUAAAUUUGUAUCGAACUCGUCAUUCUUGAGAUUCAAACUUAAGACCUAUUAUUUAUAAGUAAAGAUAAAUACCGUUAGAUCAUAAUAUUAAAUGACAACCGAUUGGAUGGUUUAGUUUGAACAGUAUUUCAUACAACGAAUAUUUACAUUAAAUUGAGAUAAAAUGGACAAGAAUGCUCUCCGGAUCCCUAUUUAGGAACUUCCACCACUAUCUAUGAGAGCUCAUUUAAAGACUUUAAAAAAAUAUUUGAGUCCUUAAAAGAGUAUAUUUUUUUUUUAUGAAAAGUUCUUAUAGUGUAAUCCUUCAAAUUAAUAAAAACUAAAAUAUUGAAAAAUUAUUAUCAAUGGAUGAAAAAACUAAAAAAAAUUCUCUACCCUUAGUUUUUCAAAAAUUAAAAAAAUAAAAAAAUAACGUGAAAAAACCAAAAAUGAAAAUAGAAAACUUCAUUUUAAUCCUUAAAAAAGAUGAGUUUUAGAUUAUAACCAUAUUAAGCUUAAAAUCCAAUUUAGUCCUUAACACUUUAAUCAUAUCAUAUAUUAUUGUAUUUUGAUGUUUUUAUUUUAUCUUUUAUUUUUUAUUUUAAUGUAUAAUUACAUUUAAAUUUAAUUUUAUUUCAUUCAUCAAAUAUAUAUUUUAAUGUCUACAUUUAAGCAACUAAUUUUUUUAUAAUAUAUAUUCCGAUAACAAUUUUGUAUGUUCUUCAUUUAGGUACAUUAAUACAUUUGAAUAUUUUGGUAUAUCCAUCGGUACAAACAUUUAGUUACAUUGAUUCAAUAUAAUGCAUUUCGGUCAAUAUAAUGCAUUUCAUUACGUACACUUUGGUACACACAUUUGAGUAUUGACUUUUAAGUACAUUAAUUCAAUUAUUAUAUUUCGGUAAAUACAUUUAGGUACAUACAUUUUGGUAUUGAUACUUAUGUACAUACAUUUUCGGUAUUAACAUUUAGGUACGUACAUUUUGGUACAUACAGUUCGGUACGUAUAUUUUGGUACAUACAUUUUGGUAUUGAUAUUUAGGUACAUUAAUUCAAUAUAAUACAUUUCGGUACAUACAUUUAGGUUCAUUAUAAUAUAUUUCGGUACAAUCAUGUAGGUACAAAUAUUUCAGUACAAAAAAGUCAAUUUUAUAUAUUUUGGCACAAUCAUUUUUGUACACGUAUGUAUUUAUAUAUUUUUGUAUCAUAAAUUUCUUUUAAUAUUUUCUCAUUUACGUUCAUUUCUAAUUAAAAAAAUUAAAUAUGUGCAUAUUAAUAAAAUUAAAAUUUAGUAUGGAGAGAUUAAAUAAAAAUACACAUUAAAUAACAAAAAUUAAAUGUAAAUUUUGAUAAUAGUACACUCAAGAGAUUAAAUUGAAUAUUUAAUCUAGCAUCAGUUUUUUAUUUUUUUAUUUUAAUCUUUUGCAAGAACUAAUGUUCAAAAACCCUAAAUGAAAAUUUCACGUGGGUGGGAUCAACAAACAAGGUAAAAGACAAAAAUCCAGCUGGUGUGCAGCAAGGACAAAAAACCAGCUGUUGUGCAGCACUGCAUUCCCACGUUUAUGGGUCACUUUUCUGCACAAAAUCAACAGAGGCCCACUAUACAAUUUUCGCAUUUGAGAUUUUCUUUCGAAGUAUUUAGCGAGUUUUUAUAUAUUGAAAUAUUUUUUGACAAAAAAAACAUAUUGAAAUAUUUUAUAGACUUUAAUUUCGACUUAUUAAAAACUUUCUGUCUCUAUAUUUAGAGAUUGUACUAUUGUAAAGACUUGGUUUAGGUUCUUUAUUAUAGAUGCUCUAACAUGACAAAAAAGUAAAAGCAGAGUAAGACCACAUAAAUAUAAAAUCAUUUUAUCUGCAAUCUCUCUCAACAACUUUAGACGAUGGUGGAAACCCAACUUUAACAAAGUAAAUUAAAGAUAUUUAUAAAAAAAAUAAUAACAACUUCAUUAGUACAUUCAAAAGUGUAUGUACGAUAAGGAGAUUCAAAUUAGAUACGUAUUCGCUCUUCAGUACUAACGAGAGUCAUCAGAUAAAAAAAACCUCCAAAUAAUUGUAGACAAUUGGAAUUCACGGAACGACUAUACAAAUUCUACAUAGGUCAUUUGGUUUACAAGUUGAUCACUACGUGUACUUUCAGUAAUAUCUUGGAUUCUUGUUUUCAAUUUGUUUGGAUUUGCAGAUCCUCCAUCUUCUAAGAUAAGAGGAAAAUUUUCCAACACUGCCUUCCUUGUAAUUGCUGUAAUGAGAUGAGUUGUUGCUUUCAUGGGGCAGGUCCUAAUGAAUCCUAUAGCUAUUGGACCCCAUCCCACAUGAAUCAUGUUAUUGGUGGCACCACUGUGUUUGGCAAUCAAUAAUUAAUGAUGGGGUUGGGAAGAAAGGAAGGAUUUAUAUACUCAAGGCAGGGGAUUAACUAAUCGCCAUCAUACCAUUCAUCUCGAUGAAUAUAUUGAUACAAUUUAUUUGCAUUUGCAUAUCCUCCAUCUUCUAAGAUAAGAGGAAAAUUUUCCAACACUGCCUUCCUUGUAAUUGCUGUAAUGAGAUAAGUUGUUGUUUUCAUGGGGCAGGUCCUAAUGAAUCCUAUAGCUAUUGGACCCCAUCCCACAUGAAUCAUGUUAUCGGUGGCACCACUGUGUUUGGCAAUCAAUAAUUAAUGAUGGGGUUGGGAAGAAAUGAAGGAUCUAUAUACUCAAGGCAGGGGAUUAAUUAAUCGCCAUCAUACCAUUCAUCUCGAUGAAUAUAUUGAUACAAUUUAUUUGGAUUUGCAGAUCCUCCAUCUUCUAAGAUAGAGGAAAAUUUUCCAACACUGCCUUCCUUGUAAUUGCUGUAAUGAGAUGAGUUGUUGUUUUCAUGGGGCAAGUCCUAAUGAAUCCUAUGGCUAUUGGACCCAUCCCACUUGUGUUUGGCAUCGGUGGCACCAUUGUGUUUGGCAAUCAAUAAUUAAUGAUGGGGUUGGGAAGAAAUGAAGGAUUUAUAUACUCAAGGCAGGGGAUUAAUUAAUCGCCAUCAUACCAUUCAUCUCGAUGAAUAUAUUGAUAUAGUAUGAGGGAAGUCCAACGAAAUACCUAAGUUAGAAUUCACAAGCAAUUUGAAACCAUUAAAAUUUGAGAAAAUCUCAAAAUCUAUCGAUUGAAUGAUAUAAAAGGGGUAAUGCUAGAAAGACCAUCUAUUUAAACUGUGGUAAUGCUAGGAAGACUAUCUAUUUAAACUAUAUGACGUGAUUAUUGAUGAUUGAAUUAUUACAUAAAUGUUGAUUAACAUGUUUAUUUUCUAUUAGUGACAUAUCAAAUUAUAAAUAGCACAACAAUGCAGCAAGCGGAUAAUCCUUCGUAGUAGCAUCAUGCAAAAUUACGUACAAUAAUUUAAGUAUCAAACAAAAUGUAAACUUCAUUGUAGAAUCAGCCAUGAUGAAUGAAAUAAUGACAUAAAAGUAAAUAAGAAAAGAGCUUGACCUAAUAUAGAUAUUCAAAUCCAAAAUGUCCUUACGAUUAAAACCAAGUUGUAGCAAAGAGGUUUUCAUUAAACCCCCUCCAAAAUUUAUUGAUUGAAUAAUAUAUAAGGUCACAACUCUAACACUUAGACUUGAUACAAAAUUACUGAAAAUAAUACCCUAAAAAAGAGAGAAUUCGACUUAAAAAGCUCAGACAUCACAACAAAACAGUGGGUUGAAUUUGUGACAUUGUUCUUUUUGGCCGGUUCUAAUCGUGAAUUAAUGAUAACAACCAUAAUUCUCCUUUAAAGCAGAUACUUGGUUACAUGAGAGUAUUUCUUUUUUAAAACUGACAUAUCACGACUAUCCAUACUUAAGAAUUUCUUGUGUACCAAACAAUUUAUGUUGAGUAUGGGAAUUUUUAGAUGUUCUUAGGUAUUAGAUUUUUUAUCACACAUUCAACUGUCUCACAAUAUUAGAUUCUCGUGAUUGCACAUUCAACUAUACCACAGAACUCAACUAAAGCAAAGAAGUAUAGUAGAAUUUUGGGAAUUUCAUUAUUAUUUAUUUUAAACAAAGAUCUAACUGUACCAGCUACCCCGGACGUAACAUCUUUGAAAUUGUGGUACCUGAAUUGGAAUUCAAGAUAAAGGGGGAGUAUCUAUGAAAUCCUAAUCUGGGCUUGUUUCCACCUUUGGAUUUCUGUAUACCUGACAUGUGAGCGAUAAGCUUUGUUAUCCGACGGUGGAAGAUUUGUCAACAACAUGAUAGGGUUUUAAGUCAUUGAUUUGGACUUGAAGCUAUGAUUGAUUUGAACUUAUGAAGUAGGGUUUGUUAAUUUUCUGACACCGACUUUUGGAAGGAAGCAGCUUUUGGCUUUUUAUUACUUGUUGAAUCUACCCGCUUCUGCUGAUUGAAUUCACGAAAAAUGAAUUUAAUUACAGAGAAACUAUGCACCAAAUCAUAAAACUUAAAUGGAUAAAAAAGCUUAACAAUAUAUUAAAAAAAGAAUUUCAAACAAUAGUGUAGGAGCCAGCAAAGUUAAAGCCUAAAUAGCUACCGAGCAAAUGGUGCUGUCAUGGAACCUGCAUUUGUGGAAUAUGAACAUAUGGAAAUCACUCCAGGUGAACUAUGGUAUUGUGAAAUCGUACCACGAGUUUCUUCAUUUGAGCCUGGAGUUCUUUCUCGAUGCAUAGACACCUCCAUUUCCAAACAUUGUGUUAAUUGGCACAACACAAAACCCAUGGUUGGGAGGUGGAAGUUGUGCAUGCCAUUGCUGUCUCUAAUGCUUUACAAACCGAAUUCACAUCGAACUCUCCUCGAAUCCUUCGAUCCAAAAUAGUCGUUAAAUCCCCAUUCUGGAACUCAGGAUUCACCCACUCCACUAUGUGGACAAGAUCAUCACUUUCUAUGAUUGCAGGUUGGCCAGUAAUUAUCUCUAAUAGAACUACCCCAAAACUAUAAACAUCAAAUUUUUCAUUCAACCUUUCAUAAUUAUAGUACCUGCAGACCAAAAAAAAAAAUCAUAAAUCACGCACUGCUCAUAGAUUUUUUUUCAAAUGGCCAAAAUUCUAAGAACAUGAAAUCUGAACAUACUCAGGAUCAAGAUGCCCUGUUGUGCCCACGAUUAAUGCCACAUGAGUCUCGUUGUUAUUGGGAAAAACCAUGGACAUACCGAAAUCUACUAUUUUUGCAUCCAAGUUUUUGCUCAAGAGAAUAUUGGCAGUCUUUACAUCUCUAUGCACAAUAUGUGGAUUGCAUUCUUUAUGCAAGUAGUGUAGCCCUGUGAGCCAAAUUUCACAAUAUACAUAGGUUGAAUAAGGCACAUGAACUUACGCAAAUAUAUUAGCCUGCAACAUAAUACGAAACACCAACCUAGCGCAAUAUCUAAAGCCAUCCGAAGUUUCAUUUCCCAAGUCAUAUGUGAGCUUCUAUCUGCAUCCGCAAUGAGAAACAUGAUACUUCAAUAUUUUGAAACCGUCCAAGAUAAAGCUUAUAAAAGUAUAGAACUACGUAUACCUGAGAGAUAUUCUUUUAGGUUUCCAUUGGGCAUGUACUCGUACAUAAGUGCCAAGUUGUCGGUAUCGUCACAGUAUCCAGUAAGCGAGGCCAAGUUUCUAUGAUGGAUACUCAUCACAAGCUCAACCUGCAGCAACAAGGAACUCAUCAAUCUCUAACGUUAUCUCCAACCUAAAGGGUUAAGCUCCCAUAAUGUAGCCCUGUAUUUUCAAUUAUUCAUCUAUACGUAUGAGGUUAGUCAAUUUUUUUUCCUCCAACAGGUAAGAAACCUAUAAUUCCCACCCUCAACUUUAUAAUUUGUUAAACUUUUGUAUUUCGUCGAUUAUUUUUUUCUAAUAAUUUUGGAAUUAGUUUUUGUGUAAUCUAUCUUGUUUUAUUUUUACGAACAUUUUGAUGUAAACAAAAAAAAAUUUAAUUCUGAAAAAAAAUAUUGAUGGUGAAAUAUGAGAAAAUUGAAAUUUUUUUUGUGGAAUAGUGAACAAAUGUAUGAGUAUUUAUAGAAUUUUGAAGGAGUUUUGGUGCUGGAUCUGAUUUCAAUUAAUUAAUAAUAGUAUUUUCACCGUUGGAUUUAAAUUUGAGCCGUUGGAUUUAAAAAUGGAAGUAGUUGGGCAUGCCACGCUGGAUCAAAACACAAUAGGAGCGCCAGUCACUGAAUGAAUCUCAACGGCUUGCCAACCUGAGCCGUAGAAGUUAGAACCACUGCUUUCUUUUGCCCUCGCCCGCAGAGAAUUCCUCCACCCAAGAUUUAUACAUGAGUUUUCCUCAUAAUUACCGUCCUAUACUAAUUAUAACAUAAAUUACAAAUAAAUUACAUAACAGAAAGUGGUUACAAAAAACUUAGAACAAAUAAAGUACAAAUAAAUUGCAUAACGGAAAGUAGAUACAAAGAACUCAUUCAAUAGAUGAUUAAGACGGUAACUCCCUAACAAACUAACACGUAUUCGGAUGAAAAUAGUGGGAUGACCAUAUUAUUUACCAGGAUUUUGGUUUUCUGUAAAGUAAUUAAGAUUAGAUUUGAAUGAUGAUGGAAUUAUGCAUGAAGUUUAUCGACUAAUCAUAUUCAGCUAGUGGUCCCAUUUCGUACUAAUAUUUUAAGAUAUAUAUGCAGUCAACAAUAUUUUGUUUUAUUCUGACUAAUCAGUAGUCACGUUAGUUGUAUAGUGCAGCUGGUAUUAGUCAAGCUAAAGUGAAGAAGUCUCCAUCCAUACGGAGGAAAAAUUCCAAAGUCCAGCACCCGGUUCACGUGUCCAUGCGGCCCUAGAUACAAUAAAGAUUAUAUAUCUCAUCUCUUGAUAUUUGGGGCUCACUACUACUCCAUGUAAUGACUCCAUUCUCACUUUUCACAACACCUUCAUGGCCCUACAUCUUCGGUUUCGAACAAAAGAAUUUCUCAUCCGGAGAAGUUCUUCGGUUCGAAACCUGAGCUAAGGUUAAUAGAGGAGGGGUGAGACCAAAAUUUGGGGUAUGGUGGGCCUCACAAUGAGGGAGUGGGAUAUAGUGCUUUUUUACUGUCUAGGCCGUAGGGAUUUGGUGUUUCGGUUUCUCUACACAAGAAUUUUUCCUCCAUUUUGACAAAUUGGCAAUGACGGCCCCUCUUCUCUAUGUUGUUUAUAGUGUCGAUAUUGUCCCAAUAUACCGAUUGCAGAAAACCCAUAUCAGGAUUAAUAUGUAUUAACAAAAUAUUAAUGCUUUAUUUAAGAAUCAUAACCUUUGGAUGAGUUUACGAUAGAUAAAUACAACAAAGUACAGAUAGUCAAAAGUUCAAACAUUAUUGACGGAUAGUGAAUGUCAAUGAUAAUUCAAGAGUGGUGAGAAAGAUGAUUGGUAUUUAGAACAUCUGGAAGUCACUCGAGGUGAACUAUGGCAUGGUGAAAUCGCAACACGAGUUUCUUCAUUUGAGCAUGGAGUUCUUUCUCGAUGCCUAGACGUACACCUCCGUUUCCAAACAUUGUGUUUGUUGGCACAGCACAAAACCCAUGGUGGCUCUAUGCUGGGAGGUGGAAGUUAUGCAUGUCGUUUCUGUGAUUCCAGGUUGGCCAGUAAAACUCUAAACUUCAUUUUUUUCAUUCGCCAUUGAUAAUUAUAGUACCUGCAGACAAAAAAAGAGUAAUCAUAAGUCACUCACUACUCAUAGAUUUGUUUUAUUUCAAAUGAUCAAAAUUCUAAGACCACGAAAUCUGAACAUACUCGGGAUCAAGAUACCCCACUGUGCUCAUGACCGAUGCCACUAUUGAGUCUUACUAUCGCUGGGAAAAACCAUCUUCCAGGUAGCCACGGUAUACAAUCCCAAAUCCUCCUUUCUCAAUUUCAGUAUGAAAGUUUUCAGUGAUUUCUAAAACCUCAUCAUAAGUAAACUGGGACUUCAUUAAUGCUACAGAAAUUUUCUUAUGCUUUUCUCCAUCUGCAGCUUAAGUAGACAAAAAGAUAUGCGUUCAGACCAAAUGGAUAGAAAUACCACGACGCCACAGUAGCAGCGCCGGUUCUAAGUGUCAAGGGUAUAAAAUGGCACCUGGUUUUCUUGUUCUUCUCAGCUUUCAUACCAGUAUGAGCACUAUAACUUGAAGGGGAGGGUCAUCAUUGAUGGUAACGAUCCUAGUAUUGGAACAACAACGUUCUUCUUGCAUUUGCUUGAAUCUGAGCUAAAAAGAACUUAUAAGCAGACAGAAAAUAUAAAUCUGAAGGACGCAAUACCAUUCGCUUUCAUUAAAGAAAAUGCUAACCUAUUCGGCGUAAACUACAGAAGUCCUUGUAUGGUCUUAAACAGGCUCCUCAGGCAUGGAAUGAGAAGUUUACAAGCUUCUUACCUGGUUUAGGCUUCAAAGCGUCUUUUGCUGAUCCAUCUUUGUUUGUCAAGCAAACAUCCAAUGGUAUUGUGAUCCUCUUACUCUAUGUGGAUGAUAUCAUCCUCACUGGCAGCAGUACAUCUCUUAUGUCUGAAGUCAUUUUAGCUUUGACACAAGAGUUUGAUAUGAAGGACUUGGGCAAUUUACAUUACUUCUUAGGUUUGCAGAUCACUUACAAGAACACAGGCUUGUUUGUUUCUCAAACCAAAUAUAUUCAAGAUCUUCUAGCCAAGGUUGAUAUGCAAGAUGCAAAAUCAUGUGCCACACCUUGCCUUCCUUAUCAUAGGUUAUCUAAGACAGAUGGUACAUCUUAUCAUAGUCCAGAACAAUAUCGCAGUAUCUCCAUGAACGAAACUUGCACAAAGCAGUAGGACGAGGAAACCAGUUGAGAUCUUCAUCUCUCUGUCUCAUUGCAGCCUAUGAACUACCUGGUAUUUAUAACGUGUGACAAUGUCUGGACAUAAAAAACAGAAAAACAUAAACGACACUGGAUUUGUAACCUCAUGCUGCACAACUUGCACAGUACAUGCAUGAUCCUUAUUUCAUGGAGAUGCUUAGUCUACGUCAAUCAAUGGAUCAUUCAAUGUUCAUACUAAGACAGCAAUAUGGUUAAGCAUUUUCUAGUCAAAGCAUUUCAAACAUUGUACAAGUCAGGGAGACAAUCCGAAGUAUUGGACAAAAGUGAUUAAGUCGACAAUAUAGAUACAAACUAGUAGGCUACACUGAUUCACUGCACAACAGAUCCCACACCCAUUUUUAACCCACCAAGUUAUGAACAUGGGAUGAAUGAGAGAGUUUGUAGCUACCUUAGCAUGGUGCUGUCAUGGAACCUGCAUUUGUGGAAUCUGAACAUCUGGAAAUCACUCCAGGUGAACUAUGGUAUGGUGAAAUCGUAACACAAGCUUCUUCAUUCAAGCCAGUUUCUUCAUUUGAGCCUUGAGUUCUUUCUGGAUGCCUAGACACCUUCAUUUCCAAACAUUGUGUUAGUUGACAUGACACAGCACAAAACCCAUGCUGCAGACCCAAAAAAGUAUUCAUAAACCACUCACUGUUCAUAAAUUUGUAUUCAUAACAUGAUAAAAAAAAAUCUAAUAGAACAAGGAAAUUUGAAAAUACUCUGGGUCAAGAUAACCUGCUGUACCCAUGACUGAUGUCACCACUCGAGUCCCAUUAUCACUGGAAAAAACCAUGGAUAUACUGAAAUCUGCUAUUUUCGCGUCCAAGUUUUUGUUGCACUGGGAUUGCUCUCCUCUCUUAAUGCAAUUCUCUUACUGGAUUCCCUUCUUAAGUGAGCUGAAAUACUAAUCAAAUUUAUCUGUGAUUAACGUAUUCUAGAUAACUCGACAUGAUUUUAUUCAAGGAUGAAAGAUUGAAGAAAAAAGUUACAAUUGACUAAACCGAUUACCUUCCACAAAAUUGGUCUCAUAAAACUGUGUUAGUUGAGAGAACCUGCACAGAGUGAGAAGAAACACAGCCUUCUACAAAAGCGUAUCUGCACCAUAACAACCAUGCACAACAAGCCUUAGAACAUAUUCGAAUGCACGUUGAAUGUUGUAAGUUAUACAGAAUGGCCAGAGACUUGUAAACACUUGCAAUUUUACUUCUAAUUACACAUAAAGUACUAAAAGCUUACAACAACAACAACAAAGCCUUUUCCCACUAAGUGGGGUCGGCUAAAAGUACUAAAAGCUUAAUUUCCACAAAAGCCUAAAGUCCUGUUCCAAAAAUAUUAUGAAAGCAAAAUAAUUAAUGUUCUUCCACAAGGCUAGAUAGUCUAUGAUUUUGCAAACCAAAUGGAACUAAGACAAGUGAACAAAACAGAUCAUGAAUUACUGUUCCGGGAAAGAAACCUACACUUGACUGUCGGAAAUGUGUGAAAUCUUGGGCCAGUCGGGCAGGUUGCAUCUUUCUUUAUUCAGAUUCGUACCAGUCCCGAUUGAACUAAGCAAGGAAUAUGUUUGGUUAACACUUAACACUUAACACUUGAGAAAUCGAGAGUGAGUGAACAAUAUUGAACCAAAUAUACAUGAAUAAUUGAUUGGAGAUAAAAAUAAAAAAUACCUCUUAUAUCUGGAAUAUGAUAAAUCUUUGGCCAUUCUGGGCCACUGUUCAUGGUGCAUCUUGGUAUUUACUCUUUGGUUACUAUUAUCUUUAGCAAAUGGAGUAGACUUUGUACUUGAAAGUUGAUGACCAAAUUGACAACUGCCUCCUCUUCAUUUGGCUGCAAUUAAAUCCUAACUAGCUAGUAGCUACCCAGUAAAUGGUGUUGAGCCUGGAGUUCCUUCUCGAUGCCUAGAUACCUCCAUUUCCACAAUUCACAAAACUCAUGGUGGCUCUAUGUUGGGAGGCAUGCCAUGCUGUCUCUGAUGCCUUCCAGACCGAAUUCACUUUAAAUUAUCCUCGAAGCCCUUGAUCGAAAAUAGUCGUUCAAUCCCUGUUCUGGAACUCAAGAUUCACCCACUCCACUAUGUGGACAAGAUCAUCAUUUUCUAUGAAUGCAGGUUGGCCUGUAAAACUCUAAACAUCAAAUUUUUUUCAUUCAACCUUUGCUAAUUAUAGUACCUGCAGACCAAAUAAAGUAAUCAUAGAUCACUCACUGCACAUAGAUUUGUUUUUUUUAACAUAAUCAAAAUUCUAAGAACAGUAGAACAAGAAAUCUAAACAUGCUCGGAAUCAAGAUACCUUGCUGUGCCCAUGACUGAUGCCACCAGAGUCUCAGUGUCACUGGGAAAAACCAUGGACAGACCAAAAUCGCUAUUUUGCAUCCAAGUUUUAAUUCAAGAGAAUGUUGGCUGUCUUUACAUCUCUAUGCACAAUACUGGAUUGUGCAUAUAUAUUAGCAUACAAAAUAACACUAAGCACCUAUCUAACUCAAUAUCUAAUGCUAUCCGAAGUCUCAUUUCCCAAGUUUAUGUGAGCUUCUAUCUGCAUCCGCAACCAGUGACAUGACACUUCAAUAUUUUGAAACCCUCUGUUGGAGGACAACCCUGGACAGACCGAAAUCUGCUAUUUUUUGCAUCUAAGUUUCCGUUGUGCUGUGCUUGCUCUCCCCUCCUAAUGCAAUUCUCUUACUGGAAUCCCUUCUUAAGUGAGCUGAAAUACAAAUCCAAUUUUAUCUGUGAUUAAUGUACUCUAGAUAACUUGACAUGGUUUUAUUCAAGGAUGAAAACCUUGAACAAAGAAGUUACAUAUUGACUAAACAGAUUACCUUCCAUAAAAUUGGUCUGAUAAAACCGUGUGAGUUGAGAGGACAUGCACACAGUGAGAAGAAACACAACCUUGUACAAAAGUGUAUCUGCACCAUAACAAGUAAAAACCAUGCGCAACAUGCCUUAGAACAUAUUUGCAAACCAAAUGGAACUAAGACAAGAGAAGAGAACAAAUCAUGAAUUACUGUUUCGGGAAAGAAACCUACACUUGACUCUGGGAAAUGCGAGAAAUCUUGGGCCAGUCGGGCAAGUGCUUCUUUUAAUUUAGAACGCACCGGUAAAAUUUGGAUUGGCUUCCCUACUGCCAAUAGAUACUUGAGAUUCCGACAACGGUGAAUAGAUAGAUGGUCGAUUCAUGAAAGGUUCCGUCAUCACUCUGGUAAGAGCCUUUUCAAUCAUAUAAUACUGCAGAAAGCGAGAGUGAACGAAGAAUUUUGAACAAAAUAUACAUGGAUAAUUGAUUGGCUCCAAAAAUAAGGGCUCCAAAAAUAAAAACUACCUCAGAUCUGGAAUGUGAGAAAUCUUUGGCCAUUCUGGGCCGCUGUCCUUGGCGCAUCUUUCUUCCAGACGGGGACACCGUCCAAUCAGUAGCUCAUGUAAUUUGGGCAUAGCUUCGACCGUAGGCAGAUACAUCAGGUUCUUACAUUUCCGAAUCGACAACUUAGUAAGAGAUGUGAGGUUGCCCAACCACUCUGGAAGAGCCUCCAGACCAUCGAAUUUCCGAAUUUCCAACUUAGUUAGAGAAGCAGAGUGUUGAAUUUGCGGAGGCAGAGACUUGAGCUUAGGCCACCCGUACAAUCUUAAUUCUUCAAGUUUCGAUGGGACCUGAAUAUCCGGGAAAGAAUCGAGCUCUUGGCAGAAGGCACCGAUCCACAACACUUUCAAACGAGAUAGAGAGUGCAGCCCCUUGGGCAAAUAUUGCAAUUUCCCACAAAAAGAUAAUUGUAAAGAGGAAAGAAAUUGCAAGCUGGACACAUUUUGAUCCGCCAGAGAUAUCAAAUUGGAGCAUUCACUAACAAGCAAAUGGGUAAGAGAUGUGCAGUAUGCAAGCCCACUCGGUAGACUUAUUAAUCCAUCACAUCUCAUAAUAUUCAAUAUAGUGAGGGAUGUGAGGUUGUCUAAACUGGGAAUAGCCUCUAGAUUAGGGCAUUCCCAUAUUUCCAUCUUCUCAAGAGAGACGGGGGUUUGUACUUGUAGCCCAUGACCCGACAAAGUCCUCAAAUUUUGACAAUCCCAGAUACUCAGUUUGCGAAGAGUAGUACAAGAAUGGAGCCCACUCAAUAUACUUGUGAAUCCAUCGUAGUAUUUAAUUGUCAAUUCACAUAGGAAUGUGCAACCAUUUAAAGACAAGUCCCCCUCGAGAGUAGUGCAUCUCUCAAUAACCAAAUCACGGAGUGAGGGCAUACACUGAAUUGAAGUGCAUCUUAGCUUUGGGCAAUUAACUAUUUUCAACUCCUGAAGAGAUUGGGAUGGUGAAUUUGGAAGGAUUCUAGAUCGCCGCAAUCCUCAAUUUUCACCAUCUCAAGUGAGGGGCAAUAUUCUAACCCACAACACAAGCUCGACAAUUUCUCACAUCUCUUAAUUCUCAAUUGACGGAGAUUGGUUACUCGACAAUUUCUCAUCAUCCAAGAUGCAAAUUUAGUACCAUUGAAUUCCUUAAUCGUCAAGCUUUCUAAGUUGGGGUGCGGUUGGAGUCCUUCGAGAAUAUCCUCGUUAAGAAAAUUGCCAUUUUUUUCUUCAGGAGGGACCCAACUCCAUUUUAAUAUCAAUUUUCGUAGGUUUGCCUUUUCCACUAAUUUUGAUUUUAUUGCUUCUUCCUUGUCUCUCACAAAAUCCAAUGAUCCAAUAACUAGUUCCCCUUUCAGUUCAUUUAGCCCACCUAGCUCAUCAAGUCUAUGACGCCUUGCUCUAUCCAAUUUAAAAGAAGGUAGCAUUUGCAGAUGAGUCAAUCUUUUCAUCCCAAAUGGAACUUCCUUAUCCUUAUCAAAAUAAACAUGUCUCAAGUUGAUCAAAUUUUCCAUUUCCCUAGGAAACGUUUUAAGAUUGUCUGUAUUUGACAUUCUUAACGUCUGAAGAUUAUAGAGCUUGCCCAUAGAUUUGGGGAGUGCUUUUAAUUUUGUACUUGAAAUAUUGAGAUACCUCAAGCGUUUCAACUUUCCAAUUGAGAUGGGCAACUCCUCUAUUACAGCCAUGUAUAAAUUCAAUGUCCGUAAAUCUCUGAACCUUUCAAACAUGUUACUGAACUCAAAGCGUCGUGGAGGAAACAAUGAUAGCAAUCUCCUAACGCUUCCUUGUAGAAAUCUUUCAAGUGUCGUGGAAGAAAUCCGGGCAACAUGCUGAAUCUCAAGUGCUCCAUCGUCCAUCCGAUCCAAGUCUCGUGUCAAGCUUUCAAAUUUGAAUACUUCCUCAGCAAGAUCAUGCACAAGAUCGUGCAUCUUGCAUUUGGUAUUCCCAUACUCAUCUUCUCUUUCUCUUCUAUGUGCAUACUGAUAGUUUCUAGCAUAUUGAAAUAAAGAGUUUUGCAAUAGAAUAUUAAAAUAUUCAUUACCUUUAUCCUCCAUGGGAGAAGAAUGGAGAUAUCCUUGAGCCAUCCAGAGUUGGACCAAGUCAUCUUUUUCAAUCUCACAAUCUUUUUCAAACAUUGAGCAAUAUGCAAAACAUUGCUUCAAUGAUGGCUCUCUUAAAUUAUCAAAACUCAACUUCAAGAUCGGCAUGAUUCGGUCCUCUCGAUCUGGUAAUUCCCAUAUUUUACUUUCUAGAAUUGACGACCAUUCCUGUGAAUGCAUCAAGCUUCCUAAAACCUGUUGAUACAUAAGAUAAUUAGUUUCUAUAUGUUGUAGAAUAAUAAAACCUGAUUAGCAAAAUAAUAACAGUGCCAAAUUUUAGUUUUAUUGAAUUUUGACUAACAUUAUUGGCAAGAUAAUGACGCAUUGAACUCAACUUUGUUUUGUAUCGAUGAAAAGUGAAAGACUGCUCCUGUUAGAAGAGAAAUACUAAAGGGACUUGCUAGCCAAGUAAGAAUUGGUUUCAGAAUUAAUUGAAAGAUACUUUAUUAGAUCAGUUAAAUAUAAGUUUUAAUUUUUUUUUAGUACAUCAAUAUGUUUUUAUAUUAAAGGGAGGGAGAGUUCGGCUAAACCACAUAAUGGAUAACAUAAUUUGGUAUCGAAUUCACCAUCCACAAGAUUUGAACCUAAGACCUCUCACUUUCAAGUGAAGAGAAAUACCAUGAUACUGUAGUAUUGGAGCUAUAAGUUUCAAUUAGAUACUUAUGAUAACUGGGUAAUUGAAUGGUUUGUAACAAUGCACUAGGAAGGUAGUAUUUUGAAGGAGCGCUUUGAUCCACAUUUUCUACUUUGACAUGUAUAUAUAAGGUUAAGCUUCGGAGACACUCAUUUUUGAAACAUAUUUUAACACAAGUUUUCGUGGCUUUCAUUCUAUAAUUUUUUUUUUUCAAGGAUCUCAAUCAUUUAUAUUUCAAUUCAUCAUUCAUAAAUCUUUCUUGUAAAAAAUUAGAAAAAUCCAAACUCAUUUUGACAUUUAUUUGUAGUGAAGGAAAAAGCCGAUAUGAUUCUACAAAGAUACACUAAAUUUACGCAAUUGCGCGAUGAGCACAAAGUGAACUAUUCUUUCGCCUUUUACUAAAGAAACACUAAAUUUGAUCCAAUGGUUUUUUUGGUAGAGAUGAUAUUUUAGGGAAGACGUCAAAUAUAAGACGGUUUAAUUGUUGAAAUACAUUAAACACACAAUAUAUAUAUAUAUAUAUAUAUAUAUAUAUAUAUAUAUAUAUUGGUUUUAAGGGAAGGUAUCCACAUUUUUUUUAUAAAAUUAGGGAUCUGUUGUGGGGCCCACACCACAUCGAAUUUUAACGAUCCGAACCGUCUAUUUUUUAAGUUGCACCUCAAAGAUCAUCCUUGCAAAAUAUUAGCCAAAUUGGAAAUAUUUAAGACAUCUAAAUGGGUUCAAAGAAAUUAACGAAUACUUGUUAUAUAAAAAACAACGAAAUUUUAUCUUGAUAAUUAAAUAGGCAAAUGAUUUCAGAUUGAAUUGAAUUGUUGCAAGAAUGAUCUAUGAAUCGAGACUUACAAAAUAGACUAUUUAGAUCAUUGAAGUUCGAUGUGAAGUGGCCUACGGAUUGUGUCAAAAAAUGUGUCUCCCAAUCCUAAUCCAUAUAUAUAUAUAUAUAUAUAUAUAUAUAUAUAUUAUAUAAACAAAAUUGACCCUUUAAAGCUCACUAUUAUGUUUUUCAUGCAAUUUUCCUUUAAAAAUGUUGGACAAAAUUAGAUAUACCAAGUUAAGGCUUUUUAUAAUGGCGAUUAUGUUGAAUAUUUAAUCAUACUUAUAUUACUAACGUAUAGUGAUAUUUUUUUUACCUGUAACUGAAGGGUCUUAAGUUUGACUCAUAUGAAUGGUGAUGACACAUUAUAUUUAUUUGAGUUUGAGAUCUAGUAAUGACUAAUCCAUUAUAUGGCCUAGCCCAAUUAAACUUAGGGGGAGUCUAUCCAGGAGUCUCACUUGACCUUAAUAUAUUCUUUUUCCCAAUAGUUUGAAGCAUUUUUUCCUUUAAGUUUUUGCUACCUAAUAAGGUUUUAAUGAGACACCCAUCUUGGGAUUGUCAUACCCUUGUGUGCGUCCUUUUAGACGUUUAAUCUUUACUUUGCAUUAACUCAUAUUUCUCCUUAAGACUUAUUUUCAUAUGCAAGUUCCUUAUUUAAAACUAGCAUGUUUCUCUAUCAGUGCCUACGAGACGACUUCAUACUAUUUUUACAAAUCUGAUGCAAUAUCUACUUGAGUAUUUACACACUCAAGGGGGAGUGUUGUAAUUAAUAUUUGACAUUGUGUGUGUUUGUACCAUACUUGACCAAUCCCGAAACUACUGAGCAUCGGUCAACGUUAUAGCGUCAAGGACCCAAAAGAGUUUCCCUCCAACCAGAAGGUCAAUCACAGCGAGACACGUGUUGACAUCAGAAGCCAAUCAUAGCGCGACACGUGUCAACAUCAGAAGCCAAUCACACGUGUCAAUGUCAGAAUGAAACUAGAAACUCUCUUCUAUAAAUAGAGAUCAUUCUCUCACAAUAUUUCCUAAUGUCAUUUGUACUAAAUCAUUCACUUGUACUCACUAAAGGAGAGCUUGAACCUAUGUACUUGUGUAAACCCUUCACAAUUAAUGAGAACUCAUCUACUCCGUGGACGUAGCCAAUCUGGGUGAACCACGUACAUCUUGUGUUUGCUUCCCUGUCUCUAUCCAUUUACAUACUUAUCCACACUAGUGACCGGAGCAAUCUAGCGAAGGUCACAAACUUUACAUUUUCUGUUGUACCAAAGUCCUUACUGAUUUUGUGCAUCAACAUUUGGCGCCGUCUGUGGGAACGACACUUAUUCCCAUUCUCUUCAGCUUUGCCAAGCUGGUUUCCACCAUUCGUACACUCUCUUUUGACCAGGCAUCCCUCUCCAACAUGGGGAGCAAAGGAAGCCAGAGCACACAGAAUGACACCCAUCUUGCACCUAGUGCAAAGCAACGAAAGAAGGAAGGAAAUAAGGCUACUCUUCAAGCUAAAGUCGAUGAGCUAGAAGCUCAGAACAACAAGAUAGCAAUGAAGAAUGAGAUCCUCCGGGAGCAGUAUGAGAAGCUUUUUUAGACGCUCCACGAAACUAGGCAUACUCAAACACGCGAGCUCGUUGCCCCUGUAGACAUCAACCAUCAUCUGGGUGCCCCCCAACAUGGAGGGUAACCUCCCUUCGACAUGGGUAUCCCUGAUGAGGAGCGAGCUAAUCAUCAAAACAUUGAUCAACAUGAGACUUCUCUCAACCAGAUGCUUCGACCCAAAGUAGAAGAAGUGGAGGAAGAUACCUCCUUGCAGAAGGGUUGGAACUUAUCAAUCUCUAACCAACGAGACAAGGCACUUGCAAUUCCAAGGAAUUAAAAUCCUAACUAUCAAACCUCUGUUUGGAAUGCCCUAGCUCCUUGAGUUGACGAUGGAGAAAGUAUUUUAACCGCAACUUGAGUGCCAUCUUCCAAGUAGCCAUGGUAUACAAUCCCAAAUCCUCCUUUCCCAAUUUCAGUUUGAAAGUUUUUGGUGAUUUUUAAAACCUCGUCACAAGUAAACUGGGACUUCAUUGAUGCUACUGGUGUGCUACAUGUGUUUUGUUAUGUUUCUCCAUCUGCAGCUUAAGGACAAAAAGUUAUGAGUUCUAACUGGAUAGGAAUACCACUACGCCAUAGUAGCAGCGCUAUUUCUAACUAUAUAAUUAUCAAGGGCAUAAAAUGGCACCUGGUUUUCUUAUUCUUCUCAGCUUCCAGACCAGUAAGAGCACUAUAACUUGAAGGAGGGCCAUUGUUGAAAGUAAUGAUCCAAGUAUUGGAACAACAAUGUUCUUCUUGCACUUGCUUGAAUCUGAGCUAAAAAGAACUUAUCAGCAGAUAGAAAAUAUAAAUCUGAAGGACGCAAUACCAUUUGCUUUCGUUAAAGAAAAUGCUAACCUAUUCAGCACUCUCCAUGAACGAAACUUGCACAGAGCAGUAGGACGAGGAAACCAGUUGAGAUCUUCAUCUGUCUCAUUGCAGCCUAUGAACUACCUGGUAUUUAAAAUGUGUGACAAUGUCCUGACCAAAAAAACAGAAAAACAUAUAUGACAGUGUUGAUUUGUAAUCUCAUGCUGCACAACUUGCAGAGUACAUACAUGAUCCUUUACAUGGGGAUGCUUAGUCUACGUCAAUCAAUGGAUCAUGCAAUGUUCAUACUAAGAGAGCAAUUUGGUCAACCCAACGUAUUUUCUAGUCAAAGCAUUUAAAACAUUGUUCCUAUUAGGGUUAUGUGGUGUGAUACAAGUCAGGGAGAUAACCCGAAGUAUUAGACAAAAGUGAUUAAGUCGAGGACAAUAUAGAUGCAUACUUGUAUUUAGCCUAGACUGAUUCACUGCACAACAGAUCCCAACCCCAUUUUUAACCCACCAAGUUUUGAACAUGGGAUGAACGAGAGAGUUUGUAGCUACCUAGCAUGCUGCUGUCAUGGAACGUGCAUUUGUGGAAUCUGAACAUCUGGAAAUCACUCUAGGUGAACUCUGGUAUUGUGAGAUCAUAACAAGAGUUUCUUCAUUUGAGCCUGGAGUUCUUUCUCGAUGCUUAGACACCUCCAUUACAUACAUUUUAUUAGUUGGCACAGCACAAAACCAACCAUGGUGGCUCUAUGUUGGGAGGUGGAAGUUGUGCAUGCCAUUGCUGUCUUUAAUGAUUUCCUGACCGAAUUCACAUCGAACUUUCUUUGAAUCCUUCGAUCCAAAUUAGUUGUUAAAUCACCAUUCUGGAACUCAGAAUUCACCCACUCCACGAUGCAGACAAGAUCAUCACUUUCUAUGAUUGCAGCCUUGCAGGUUGGCCCGUAAAACUCUAAAAUUCAACCUUUGAUAAUUAUAGUACCUGCAGACAAUAAAAAGUAAUCAUAAAUAAACCACUCACUGUUCAUACAUUUGUAUUUAUAACAUGAUAAACAAUCUAAUAGAACACAGAAAUUUGAAUAUACUCGCAAUCAAGAUAACCCGCUCUGCCCAUGACCUAUGUCACCACACGAGUCCCAUUAUCACUGGAAAAAACCACAGACAGACCGAAACCUGCUCUUUUCGCAUCCAAGUUUUCGUUGUACUGUGCUUGCUCUCCCCUCUUAAUGCAAUUCUUCUAUUGGAUUCCCUUCUUGAGUGUAGCUGAAAUACAAAUCCAAUUUAUCUGUGAUUAACGUAUUCUAGAUAACUCGACAUGAUUUUAUUCAAGGAUGAAAGACCGAAGAAAGAAGGUGUAUAUUGGCUAAACAGACUACCUUACACAAAACUGGUCUCAUAAAAUUGUAUCUGCACCAUAACACCAUGUGGAAGAUGUCUUAGAACAUAUUCGAAUGCACAUUGGACGUUAUAACAUAUACAGAAUGACCACGGAUUCGUAAACAGUUGCAAAUGUACUUCUAUUAACUCAUAUUUAAGGACUAAAAAGCUUAAUCUCCACAAAAGUCUAAAGUGUUGUUCCAAAAAGAUUGUGAAAGCAAAGAAAUUAAUGUUCUUCCAUGAGGCUAGAAAGUGUAUGAUUUUGCAAACUAAAUGCAACUAAGACAAGAGAACAGAACCAAUCACGAAUUACUGUUUCGGGAAAGAAACUUACACUUGACUGUCAGAAAUGCAAGAAAUCUUGGGCCAGUUGAGCAGGUUACUUCUUUUAAUUUAGAACACAACAGUAAAAUGUAGACUGGCUUUCCUACUGUCGACAGAUACUUCAGGUUCCAACAACGGUGAGUAGAUAGAUCGUCGACACAUGAAAGGUUCCGUCAUCACUCUGGUAAGACCCUUCUGAAUCAUCCAGUGCCAUUGUUGAUGGUAAUGAUCCAAGUAUUGGAACAACAAUAUUCUUCUUGAGCUUGCUUGAAUCUAAUCUAAAAAUAACUUAUCAGCAGAUACAACAACAACAACAACAACAACAAAGCCUUUUCCCACUAAGUGGGGUCGGCUAAAAAUAACUUAUCAGCAGAUAGAAAAUAUAAAUCUGAAGGACGCAACGCCAUUCACAAAACUUGCCCAGAGCAGCAGGACGAGGAAACCAGUUGAGAUCUUCAUCUCUCUGUCUCAUUGCAGCCUAUGAACUACCAGGUAUUUAAAACGCAUGACAAUAUCCCGGCCAAAAAAAUUGAAAAACGUAUAUGAGUGCGAAUGAUCCUUAUUACAUGGGGAUGCUUAGUGUACGUCAAUCAAAAUGCAAUGUUCAUACUAGAGCAAUUUGGUCAAGCCAACGUAUUUUCUAGUCAAAGCAUUUCAAACAAUGUUCCUGUUAGGGUUAUGUGCUGUGAUACAACCCGAAGUAUUGGACAAAAGUGAUUAAGUUGAGUACAAUAUAGAUACAUAUUAUUAUGUAGCCUACACUGAUUCACUACAUAACAGAUCCCACACCCAUUUUUAACCCACCCAGUUUUGAACAUGGGAUGAAUGAGAGUUUGUAGCUACCUAGCUAUUAAGGGUGAAAAUGUAAUACAAUUAGUAAUAUAAUUAGGUAGUUAGUAUUUGGUUAAAGUAGUUAGGAUUUCUAUAUAAACAGUAUGUGUAAUCUUCAUUUGAGUUAGUUAAUACAAAUCCUAUUUCUCUCUCUAAACUCUCUGUCUCUCAAACUCUCUGUAUUGAUCUUUCUUCUCUUCAUCUUUCUUGUUGAUUUUCUUUCAAUUCCCAAAUAUUACAAUGUAGUUAAUAUGGUAUCAGAGCCACCAGGCUCACGCCAUGGAUUCUGGUGGUUUCACUUCCCAUUAUUUUACAUUUGGUUCUAGCUUAGUUCUAUCCAAAUUUUCAUUAGAUGUUAGGAAUUACGAUAAGUUUCUGGGUGCUUCCACGAUCGUUCUUUUACUUCUGGGUUGAUGUGUUUCUGGGUUGAUUUCUUUCUGAUCAAAUUCAUGAGUCUAUUCCCGAUCGAAAGCGAGAGAUCGAAAGUUGGAGAAAAUUUCAAAGCAAAAUGGUGGCAGAGCAAAUGCAGAGAGUAGCAUCUCCACCGUCGCAAUCGAUUGAGGCGCCGAAGAAGAAUAGAAUUCAGGUCUCCAACAAUAAGAAACCGCUCUUCUCGUUAAUCUUGCUAAGAGGUACAUAAAGCAGUACUAGGAGACUCAGUAUUCUGGGUCCGAUUGCGGAGGUUUCUUUGAUAUCUUGAUCAUGGCGGUUGGGCAACUCUUGGCGUUUGCACUACUUGCCUGGUAAUGUUGCUUUUCCGAUUCAGUUGCUUAAUUUCAUUAUUGGGUAACUUGAUUUGUUGAUUCUUGGAGGGUUCUUAGAGAUCUUUGAUCAGAACAGUGGACUGUGAAUUGGGUUCAAUUACUUGCUUUGAUUAGUAGAUGACUAGCACAGUUUUUCGAUUCAAGGAGGUGGUGUUGCUAAUUCCUUAAUUGGGUAUAUGAAGAAACAGUUGUUAAUUACUUAAUUGGUAAUUCUGAUUCUUGAAGAUGGUUUUGGGGAUUCAAUUUGUUCAGUUUGGACUGUUGCUCAAAGAAAGUACUGUUUUAUAAUCUGUUUUUGUAUAGGAAAUGGUUGUUGUUUGUUCAAGAUUGCAAAUCUUGGGAGCUCUUCAGGUUAUGAUUAUGUGCACUCCAACUGUUUGAAGGAAUGGGUCAGUAAAUUCUUUGAUCUCUACUCUGUUCUCUGGUAUGGAAGAAAGAUCAGACAUGGGUGCAGUCCAGGUGUUUGUUGAAAUGCCCAACUCAAACGUUUCAUGUGAAGUCUUUGUGGUAGUCUUAGCUGAACUUUUGUGGGAUCAAUUAAAAACCAAAAGGACUCAUUCUAGAAGCUCGUCAAAAGUGCAACAACCAUUUAGUUCUUGGUUCAUGGAUGAUCUUCUUGCAUUUUUUGAUAGAUCGGAAGAUACGACAAAUGAAUGUAUAGUAUGUGUUGUCAUUUACAACAUUGAUGGACCUGGACUAAGGGAAUCAGAAACCCAACAGUGUCUUGCAUGAGUUGUUUCUUGUUCUUAUAUUUGCAUUUUGGCCUCUAUAUGACAGCAUGUUUAGUGCACUGUGAAGUGGGAUGUCCUCCGAAUGUGAGCUCAUACAACACCAUGUUUAGUGCAUUGUGGAACUGUGGAGACAGAGUUUGAGCUUCGCAAAUGGUAUCAGAAAUGUUAAGCAAAGGAAUAGAUCCCGAUGGGAUUACUUACAAUUCGUUUACAUCGUGUUUGUGCAGUAUAUUUUCUUAUCUCAGCCUAUAAUUUCAUAGUCUAACCAACUCAGUUGUUAGCAUGAAUCUACAGUAAGUCCGGUUAUACGAUGAAGGAAGUUGUGAACGGUCAAUCCCACGAAGGGUAAUUCCGUGAUGUGAAUAGGUAAAUCCCACGAAAGGUAGAAGUUGUUAACGGUAAAUCCCACAAAGGGUAAUUCCGUGAUGUGAGUAGGUAAAUCCCACGAAGGGUAAUCCUACAUAGAUGUUGAUUUUCAAUUGUGAAGGCCGAUGCCAUUGUUCAAAGAAGUUGUUUUUUGGUAAAAUCCACAAAGGGCGAUCCCGUGGUGCUAUAGUUAAGGCCGAUGCCAUUGUUCAAAGAAGUUGUUUUUUGGUAAAAUCCACAAAGGGCGAUCCCGUGGUGCUAUAGUUAAGGCCGAUGCCACACUAUAGUUUGUUAAUUUUCUGUUUUUGUAAAUAUUAAAGGCCGAAGCCAAGUUGAAUGAGAUUGUUGACGGUGAAUCCCAUGAAGGGUAAUCCCGUAAGAAAUUGUUAUAACCGGCAUGAGGGUGUGCUACGACUCCUUUAUAGAAGGUUGUUCUUUGUGAAGAUACUGUUAGAGGCAGGGGAAGGAUGUCAUGAUUUCGGUCCACUGGUUGGAGUCAGAAGCUGGAAAUAGCAAGAUGAACAACUUCAUUAUUACACACUACUCCAAACUGCAAGUGACAGAGCAAUGGAACAUUAUUUGCCCAGAUCAAGUUGAAUGAGUUGAAAUUGGACACAGUUUGAUAACAUUUGAAGCAGAGAAGAUACUCAUUUUUGCCAUUUUACACACCCAUGAUGGAACAGUUGUUUUCUUGUUCUUUUUAUAAGAUGAAGUUGUUGAUGUCUGAUUAAAGUACUUUGAAAAUUGCUUUCAACUUUUGGAAGAUUGGUGCACCCAAACAUGGGGAAUUGGGUUACUCUUCCUUAGCGCCAUUGAUCGGUCUGCUCCAAUCUCAAUAUGAGUUUCCCCAGUUGAGAUUGAGGGGGAGUAUUAAGGGUGAAAAUGUAAUACAGUUAGUAAUAUAGUUAGGUAGUUAGUAUUUGGUUAAAGUAGUCAGGAUUUCUAUAUAAACAGUAUGUGUAAUCUUCAUUUGAGUUAGUUAAUACAAAUCCUAUUUCUCUCUCUAAACUCUCUGUCUCUCAAACUCUCUGUAUUGAUCUUUCUUCUCUUCAUCUUUCUUGUUGAUUUUCUUUCAAUUCCCAAAUAUUACAAUGUAGUUAAUACUAGCAUGGUGCAGUCAUGGAACCUGCAUUUGUGGAAUCUGAACAUCUGGAAAUCACUCUAGGUGAACUAUGGUAUGGUGAAAUCGUAACACGAGUUUAUUCAUUUGAGCCUGGAGUUCUUUCUGGAUGCCUAGGCACCUCCAUUUCCAAACGUUGUGUUAGUUGACAUGACACUGCACAAAACUCAUGCUGCAGACCAAAAAAAGUAAUCAUACACCACUAACUGUUCUUACAUUUGUAUCCAUAACAUGAUAAAAAAUCUAAACCACGAACAAAUCAAGAUAACCCGCUGUGCCCAUGAUUGAUGUCACCACACAAGUCCCAUUAUCACUGGAAAAAACGAUGGACAUGCUCAAAUCUGCUAUUUUCGAGUCCAAGUUUUCGUUGCGCUGGGAUUGCCUCCUCUCUUAAUGCAAUUCUCUUGCUGGAUUCCCUUCUUAAGUAAGCUGAAAUACAAAUCAAUUUAUCUGUGAUUAACGUAUUUUACAUAACUUGACAUGAUCUUAUUCGAGGAUGAAAGAUGGAAGAAAGAAGUUACAUUUUAACUAAACAUAUUACCUUCCAUAAAAUUGGUAUAAUAAAACUGUGUUCGUUGGGUGAACCCACUGCCGUAGAUACUUGAGAUUCCCACAGCUCUGAAUAGAUAGUUCGUCCACACACGAAAGGUUCCGUCAUCACUCUGGCAAGAGCCUUUUGAAUCAUCAAGUGACAAUGCUUCCGAUUCUUCACCCGACUAAUAUCCCGUUUAUUGCAGAAAACGAGAGUGAGUGAACAAUAUUGGACAAAAUAUACAUGGAUAAUUGAUUGCAAAUAAAAAUAAGGGCUCCAAAAUAAAAAUUACCUUUGACAACUGGAAUGUGAUAAAUCUUUGGCUAUUCUGGGCCGUCCCUAGCGCAUCUUUCUUGGAGACGGGGACACCAUCGGAUCUCUAGCUUAUGUAAUUUGGUUAGGCGUUGCAUAGCUUCGACCGCAGGCAGAAACAUCAGAUUCUUACAAUAGGAAAUUUCCAACUUUGUAAGAGAUGUAAGGUUGCCCAACCACUCUGGAAGAGCCUCCACACCAUGGAACUUAUAAAUGGACAAAGAUGUUAGACAAGUAGAGUGUUGAAUUGGCUGAGGCAGAGACUUGAGCUUAGGCCACCCGUAUAAUAUUAAUUUUUCCGAUGGGACCUGAAGAUCCGGGAAAGAAUCGAGCUGCUUGCAGAACUUACCGAUCCACAACCUUUUCAAACCAGAUAGAGAGUGCAGCCCCUUGGGCAAAUAUUGUAAUUUCCGACAAUUAGAUACAGAUAGAGAGGAAAGAGAUUGCAAGCUGGACAAAUUGUGAUCUGCUAGAGAUAUCAAAUUGUGGCAACCAUCGACAUACAAACUGGUAAGAGAUAUGCAGGAUGCAAGCCCACUCGGUAUACUUGUUAAUCGACCGCAAUCCACAAUCUGCAACUCAGUGAGGGAUGUAAGGUUGUCUAUACUGGGAAUAGCCUCUAGAUCAGGGCAUUCGCUGAUAAUUAGAACUUCAAGUGAGACGGGGGUUUGUAGCCCAUGACCCGACAACGUCCUCAAAUUUGGACAAUGCCAAAUACUUAGGGGGGUGUAUUCAAUUGAGAAUGUGAGAGAUUUUAAUGGAUUUAUAAAUCUAUGGAUUUUUAUGGAGUUUAAUUGAUUUGUAGAGAUUCCAUAUAAAAUUUUGAUUCAAUUCCCUCGAAAUCUCAUGGGAAGAGGUGAGAUUUGUGGUUACUUAAAAUACACUAUGAAAUCUCUCCAAUUCCCUCUAAUUCCUCGACUUUCUCAAAUUCUUUAAAAUCAAUUUCUAAUUGAAUACAUCUGGAAUGUUAUAAACUUCUUUAAAAUCUUAAUUGAAUACACCUGGAUUUCUAAGGAUUUUAAUAAACUAUUUAAAAAUUCUAAUUGAAUACACCUAGAAUUUCAGAGAAUCCCUUAAAAUCCUGAUUGAAUACCCCUAGAUUCAUUAAAAGAAUUAAAAUCCCUUAAAAUCCCAAUUGAAUACACCCCCUUAGUGUGCGAAGACUAGUACAAGAAUGGCGCCCACUCAGUAUACUUUUGAAUCCAUUGCAAUUUUCAAUAAACAAAUCAUGGAGGGAUGUGCAACCGUUUAAAGACAAGUCAUCCUCCUCCUCCUCCGGUAAGAAAUCUACCGACUUCUCAAUUCACAAAAGACGGAGUGAGGGCAAACUGUGAAUUGAAGUGCAUCUUAGCUUUCAGCCUCCAACUAUUCUCAACUCCUCCGAUGAGAAACCCGUUCUGCCCAUGACCAAUGUCCCUACACAAGUCUCAUUAUCACUGGAAAAAAAACCAUGGACAGACCGAAAUCUGCUAUUUUUUGCAUCUAAGUUUCCGUUGUGCUGCGCUUGCUCUCCUCUCCUAAUGCAAUUCUCUUACUGGAAUCCCUUCUUAAGUGAGCUGAAAUACAAAUCCAAUUUUAUCUGUGAAGACUGUGAUUAAUGUAUUCUAGAUAACUUGACAUGGUUUUAUUCAAGGAUGAAAGCUUUGAACAAAGAAGUUACAUAUUGACUAAACAUAUUACCUUCCAUAAAAUUGGUCUAAUAAAACUGUGUGAGUUGAGAGGACCUGCACACAGUGAGAAGAAACACAACCUUGUACAAAACUGCGAGAAAUCUUGCGCCAGUCGGGCGGAUUGCUUGUUUUAAUUUAGAAGGCAACAGUAAAAUUUGGAUUGGCUUCCCUACUGCCGAGUGCCGAUAGAUACUUGAGAUUCCCACAACGGUGAAUAGAUAAAUGGUCGAUUCAUGAAAGGUUCCGUCACCACUCUGGUAAGAGCCUUUUCAAUCAUCAAGUGACAAUCAUUCUGCUGUCAAUACUGCAGAAAACGAGAGUGAAUGAAGAAUUUAGAACAAAAGAUACAUGGAUAAUUGAUUGGAGAUAAAAAUGAGCACUCCAAAAAAAAAAAUUACCUCAGAUGUGGAAUGUGAGAAAUCUUUGGCCAUUCUGGGCCGCUGUCCUUGGCGCAUCUUUCUUCCAGACGGGGACACCGUCCAAUCUCUAGAUCAUGUAAUUUGGUUAGGCGUUGCAUAGCUUCGACCGUAGGCAGAUACAUCAGAUUCUUACAUUUCCAAAUUGACAACCGUGUAAGAGAUGUGAGGUUGCCCAACCAUUCUGGAAGAGCCUCCAGACCAUCGAAACAAGAAAUGGACAAACGUGUUAGAGAAGCAGAGUGUUGAAUUUGCUGAGGCAGAGACUGGAGCUUAGGCCACCCGUACAAUCUUAAUUGUUUCGAUGGGACCUGAAAAUCAGGGAAAGAAUCGAGCUCUUGGCAGAAGGCACCGAUAGACAACACUUCCAAACGAGAUAGAGAGUGCAGCCCCUUGGGAAAAUAUUGUAAUUUCCCACAUUCAGAUAAAUAUAAAGAGGAAAGAGAUUGCAAGCUGGACACAUUGUGAUCCGCCAGAGAUAUCAAAUUGUCGCAUGAGUCGACCAGUAAUUUGGUAAGAGAUGUGCAGGAUGCGAGGCCACUUGGUAUACUUGUUAAUCGAUCGCAGUUGCCAAUAGACAAUUCAAGGAGGGAUGUGAGGUUGUCUAAACUGGGAAGAGCCUCCAGAUUACUGCAAUGCUUGAUACUUAGAUGUUCAAGAGAGACGGGGGUUUGUAGCCCAGGACCCGACAAAGUCCUCAAAUUUGGACAUUUAUAAAUAUCCAUUGUGCGAAGACUGGUACAAGAAAGGAGCCCACUCAGUAUACUUUUGAAUCCAUCGCAGUAUCUAAUAAUCAAAUGACGGAGGGAUGUGCAACCGUUUAAAGACAAGUCUUCCUCGAGAGUAGUGCAUCUCUCAAUAACCAAAUCACGGAGUGAGGGCAUAUUCUGAAUUGAAGUGCAUCUUAACUUUGGGCAAUCAACUAUUUUCAACUCCUCAAGAGACUGGGAUGAUGAAAUUUGGAAGGAUUCUAGAUUGCGGCAAUAUUUAAUUUCCACUGUCUCAAGUGAAGGGCAAUAGUCUAACCCACAACACAAGCUCAACAAUUUCUCACAACUCCUAAUUCUCAAUUCACGGAGAUUGGUUACUCGACUGCAUAUAUUUUCUAUUGGCAUGGCGUUAUCAACAUAACGUAUAUCUAACUCCCUGAGAGAUGGAAAAUGAGUGGGAGCACUUGCCAAUCCCCGACAAUGCUCUAUUGUCAACUGCUCAAGGCAGGGAAACACUACUAAGGCUGCUUUCUCACCUGUUGACCUCACUUUCUCAACAACCGCUUCCUUCCAUUCACUUAAUGAUGGGCAAUGGAUAAAUGAUAAGCUUUUCAAUGCUGGAAACAAAGUCACCUCCGUGGCCGCCUCAUCAUUAUUAAUGUAUUUAUAACCAUAAAACUCAACUCCAACACAUUUAAGCUUCUCCAUAUUCUCAAAUAAAAUACGUCUAAGAUUCGGCAAGUGUCCGAGUGGUGGGACUGCUUCACAUUCUACACAACAGCUUAACUCAAUCUCUAUUAAAUUGAUGGGCAACGAAUCGCUCAUCAUCCAUGAUGCAAAUUUAGUACCCUUGAAUUCCUCAAUCCUCAAGCUUUCUAUGUUGGGGUGCGGCUGGAGUCCUUCAAGAAUAUCCUCGUCAAGAAAAUUGCCAUUUCUUUCUUCAGGAGGGACCCACCCCCAUUUUAAUAUCAAUUUUCGUAGGUUUGCCUUUUUCACUAAUUUUGAUUUCAUUGCUUCUUCCUUGUCUCUCACAAAUUCCAAUGAUCCAAUAACUAGUUUCCCUUUCAGUUCAUUUAACCCACCUAGCUCAUCAAGUCUAUGACGCCUUGCUCUAUCCAAUUUAAAAGAAGAUAGUGUUUGCAGAUGAGUCAAUCUUGUCAUUCCAAAUGGAACUUCCACAUCCCCGUCGAAAUAAACAUGUCUCAAGUUGAUCAAAUUUUCCAUUUCCCUAGGAAACGUUUUAAGCCUCCAUGCUCUUAACAUUCUUAACGUUUGAAGAUUAUAGAGCUUGCCAACAGAUUUUGGGAGUUCUUUUAUUCCUGUCCAGGAAAUGUUGAGAUACCUCAAGCGUUUCAACUUUCCAAUUGAAUUGGGCAACUCCUCAAUUUCAGCAUCGAAUAAAUUCAACAUCCGUAAACCUUUAAACCUUUCAAAGAUGUUACCACUAGGGACCUUGCAAUCAACAAACAACGACCGCAAUCUCUUAACACUCCCUUUUGGAAUUCUUUCAAGUGUAGUGGAAGAAAUCCGCGCAACAUGCUGAAUCUCAAGUGCAUCAUCAUCCAUCUGAUCCAAGUCUCGCGUCAAGCUUUCAAAUUUGAAUGCUUUUUCUGCAAGAUCAUGCACCAGAUCGUGCAUCUUGCAAAUGGUAAUACUGUACUCUUCUCUAGCAUCUUGAAAUAAAGAAUUUUGCAAUAGAAUAUUAAAAUAUUCAUUACCUAUAUCCUCCAUACUCACGUUGGUAGAAGAAUGGAGAUAUCCUUGAGCCAUCCAGAGCUGGACCAAGUCAUCUUUUUCAAUUUCAAAAUCUUUCACAAACAUUGAGCAAUAUGCAAAACAUUGCUUCAAUAAUGACGGUGUUAAAUUAUCAAAACUCAACUUCAAGACCGACAUGAUUUUCUCCUCUUCAUUUGGUAAUUCCCAUAUUUUACUUUCUAGAAUUGACGACCAUUCACGCCUGCUAUUUUUAGAACGCAUCAGGCUUCCUAAAACCUGUUGAUAUAUAAGUUAGUUUCUACGUAUUUUAUAAUAUAAAAAGGUGAUUAGCACAAUAAUAAUCCCAAAUUAUAGUUUCAUUGAAUUUUGAAUAGAGUGAUUAGCAAAACAAAGAUGCAUUAAACUCAACUUUGUUUUGUAUAGACCAGAAGUGCAAGAUUGCUCUCCAAUAGUUUUGCUUGUUAGAAGAGAAAUACUACGGAGACUUGCUAGCCAAGUAAGAAUUAGUCUCAGAAUUAAACUCAAAGAUCCUUGAUUAGAUCAUUUAAAUGUGUUAAUUUAAUACUUAUAUGAUAACCGAGUAAUUGAACAGUUUGUAACAAUGCACUAGGAAAGUAGUAUUUUGAAGGAGCGUUUUGAUCCAAAUUUUUUAUAGUGUUCUACAAAGAAACACUAAAUUUAUGCAGCCGCGGGGUGAGCAUAGAGCGAACUAUUCUUUCGCCUUUUACUAAAGAAACGCUAAAUUUGAUCCAACGGUCAUACGACUUCGGAUUUGGGUGAUCUUUUGUAAUGAUCAUUUUGAGGAAACACAAAAAUAGACGGUUAAAUCGUUGAAAUAUACAAACCUAUAUAUAUAUAUAUAUAUAUAUAUAUUAUAAACAAAUUGAUCCUUUAAAAGCUCAUUAUUAUGUUUUUCAUGCAAUUUUCUUACAAAAAUGUUGGGACAAGAUUAAAUUUUACUGAGUUAAGGUUUUUUAUAAUGGCGAUUUUGUUGAAUAUUUAAUCAUACUUAUAUUAGCAAACUAAAAGAUCUUAAGUUCGACUCAUAUGAAUGAGGAUAACUUAUUAUAUUUGUUUGAGUUCGAAACCAUACUCAUACAUGACCCAGCCCAAUUCCCGUUAAGAGUAGAAUAGUAGAAAUCAUAGUCAUACAUUACCCUAAUUCUGCAAACUAAUCCUUUAUGGAGAAAGCCACCAAUCUAUGUCUUCGACUGGCGACCCAUUUUUGUGUGUAAUUAAUGUCUCAUAUUACAAACUUAUCUCUGAACUACUCAUUAAUCUUUUAAUAUCUAUUUUAGGUAAACGUAUUUGACAAAACCAAGAUGUUUUUAUUCCCAUUCAAUUGAUUAAUUCAAUAUGGGAUAUCGGAGUGAUGCUAGAGAGACCAACUACUUCAAUCACACUCAUAGAUCACAUGAUGUGUUAGUUGAUGGUUGGACUUAUUAUUCAAAUCAUUAAAGAAAGAAUCCAACUAUCAACUGCUACAUCAUGCGGUCUACAAAAUAUGGUAUCCCUACUCCCUAGCAUAAAAUUGCAAGAAAACUUGAUAUGAAAAACAAUUUGGGUCAUAAUCGUUAUCAAUUUGCAUCAUCUUUCUCUAUGAUUAAAACUGUAGAUUUUUUGUUUCAAAGUGUUUUCUAUUUCAUGAGUAAUUCCGAAUGUACAAUGCAGUAUAUACAGGCAAGAGAAACAAAUGGUUAGAAGCAACCAUCUUUACAUGAAACCCUAGAGACCGGUUAAACCUAGGACACAAGCUUUUCCUUAAUUUAAGGUGAUUUACAUCAAAUCCUAGACUAAGAAGUAAUCAGCAAGUUAAGUGCCUUGAAUCAAGGAACUAGAAAAACUGGCGGUUGACUUGUGUAUCUAUGGUUACUUGUGGACUUGAUAUGAGAUGACAUGCUAGGGUUUAGUGUGACUGGUUCCAACACUCCCCCUCAAGCUGGAUCGUGAAGUGUAGUCGAGCCAAGCUUGCUCAGAAGCCUAUGUAACUGAGAAAAGGGUAGAGCCUUAGUAAAUAAGUCAGCCAAUUGAUCAUGACUUUGAGUGAAUUGAGUCUGAAUGACUUGUGUUUGAACUUGAGCUCAGAUGAAAUGGCAGUCCACCUCAAUGUGCUUGGUUCUUUCAUGAAAAACAGGAUUAGCUACAAUGUGCAUGGCAGCUUGGUUAUCACACAUGAGAGACAUAAGGGCUUGAUGUGAGAGCCCUAAAUCUGAAACCAAGCCUUUAAGCCAAAUCAGUAAGCAUGCAGUGGCUGCCAUUGCUUAAUACUUUGCUUCAGCACUCAAUCGUGCUAUAACAUGUUGCUUCUUACUCUUCCAUGUCACGAGGUUUCCCCUAAUGAAAGUACAAUAUGUAAUGGUAGAUUUUCUGUCAAUUGCAUUACCUGCCCAGUCUGCAUCGGUGUACGCACUAAUUUCUAUGGACUGAUUGUUUGACAUAAGAAUGCCUCUGUCCAAUGAACCUUUGAGAUAACGAAGAACACAUUUACCAAGGUAAAGAUGUUGCAUUGUGGGAGCAUGCAUAAACUGACUAACUAAGCUGACAACAUAGGUGAUGUCUGGAUGUGUGAUAGUGAGGUAGAUAAGCUUACCAACAAAUCUUUGGUAGUAGCUUAUGUUGGUGAGAGGUUCUCCAGUAGAAUCAAUCUUCAUUUUGCUGUCAAUAGGUGUGAUGGCAGGCUUGCAAUAGAGAUUAGCCUCAGUGAGUAAAUUAACAACAUUCUUUCUUUGACUGAGGAACAACCCUUUGUGAGAGGUGGUCAUUUCAAUGCCAAGAAAGUACUUUAAUCUCCCAAGAUCUUUGAUGGAAGAUGUGUGGUGUAAGGAGUGUUUCAAGGCUUUGAUUCACUCUCAUUGUCACCAGUGAUGAUUAGAUCGUCAACAUAGAUGAGAACCACAAGUUUUCCACUUGAACCACUUCAAAUAAAUAACAAGGAAUCAACAUUGCUUCUUAUGAACUCUGUUUUUUCUAAGACAAAACUUAGCUUGGCAUACCAUGCUCUCGGAGAUUGCUUGAGUCCAUAGAUUGCCUUAUGUAGUUUACAAACCAUUCUUUUUUCCACUUGAGUGUAACCUAGUGGGGGUUGCAUGUAGACUUCUUGAAGUUCUUCAUGGAGAAAGGCAUUCUUUAUGCCUUUCUAUUGAACCAUCUGCCUUGAGCUUAGUUUUGUAAAACCACCAGCUUCCAACAGCAUUCUUUCCUAGAGGCAACUUGACAAUGCUCCAGGUAUUGUUCUCUUCCAAUGCAUUCAGCUCUUCAGCCAUAGCUAAUUUCCAAUAUGGCAAGGAAACAGCUUCUAAGAAUGUUCUUGGUUCAGCAAUUUUGGAGACUUCAGUAAGAAAUGCACGGUGAGAAGUUGAAUACUUUAAGUAAUGUAGUACAUCAGAGAUAGGGUACCUUAAGGCAUAAGUGACAUAGUCCAAUAGCCUCGCUGGAGGUUUUCUUGUCCAAGCAAGAUUUCUUCGUGCACCUUGAGUUGGCUGUGAUGAUUGUUCAUUGUCAACUUGAUUUUUAGAGCCAUGCUCAACGUCCUCUUGUGAAAUGACCUAUGGAUUUGAGAGGUUUGUGACUUGGUGCACCUCCCCAUUGCCUUGAGUGCCUUGCUGGAACAUCAUCAUCUUGUUCUAUGUACAUAGGUAAUGGGACCAAGUCAUGUAGAGACCCCCCUCCACCAGAAGCAUGCUUGGUGGUUAGAAGAAAUGAGUGUCUUCAUAAAAAAAAAACAUCUCUUGAGACAAUGCAUUUUGUUGGUAGGGGAUUGAAGCAUUUGUACCUUUUUUGUGUAGAUGAGUACCCUACAAACACACAUUUUGCAGCCCUAGCCUCCAGUUUGUCACGAUGUUGAGGCUACACAUGAACAAAGCAUGAGCAACCAAACACUUUCAAGUGAGACAGGUUGAUAGACCUCUUUUCUAGAGUUUCACAAGGAGAUUUAAACCAUAGAACAUGACUGGGUAGUCGGUUGAUGAGGUAUGUAGCUGUCAAAAUUGCAUAGGACCAAAACUUCUUUGGAACAUUCAUGUGUAACAUCAAUGCACGAGUCUUUUCAAGUAGGUCUCGGUUCUUCCGUUCAGCAAUCCCAUUUUGCUGUGGGGUUCCCACAUAGCUAGUUUGAUGUACAAUUCAUUUUGAACUCAAGUAUUGAACCAUGGUGUUGGAUAAAAACUCAAUGCCAUUAUCUGAUCUUAGUGUUUUAAUAGUUGAAUGAAAUUGGUUGGACACGAGUGUAUGAAAGUCUUGAAGGAUAGUUGAAACUUCACUUUUAGAUUUCAUGAGAUAAAGAAAAGUGACACGAGUGCAAUCAUCUACAAAUAUGACAAUGUAUGUGUAACCUUCCAUUGAUUCAAUAGUAGGACCCCAUACAUCGGUGUGAACAAGUUCGAAAUGUAUGCUAGAUCCUUACAUUGAGGUUCCAAAAGGUAACCUAGCAAACUUUGAGAAAUGACAAGUAUCACACUUAAUCAAUAGGUGACAAAACUUGGGAAAUAGUUUUGACAAAACAACUUCGGAUGGAUGGGCUAGCCUUUGGUGACAAAGUUGUUGAUUCUUGGAAAAGCUUGGUUGAACUUGAAGGGCUUUUGACAAAAGGGGUUUCGUGCAAAAAUAAUAGAGACCAUUUUGAUAGAAUCUUUCACCAAUCGUCCUCUUGGUGAGCAUCCUGAAAAAUUACAUUUGUGGGUGAGAAUAUGGCUAGGUAAUUUAGAGUGUUAGUGAGUUGUCCUACGUACAUCAACUGAAAUGGAAAAGAGGGUACGUAUAAGGAAGUAGACUCUAUGGUGUUUGAGACUAAACCUAGUUUUCCUCUUCCCAUGACCAAGACAUUUUUUCUAUUUGCAAUUGACACAUGAGAUGGUUUUGACAAGACUUGAAAAUCAUGUAAGUUUGAGGCUUUAUUUGUUAUGUUAUCAGAAGCACCUGAGUUAAUUGUCCAACAAUCAUGAUUAAAACUAGUUUAUAGUGUAGUUGAGAAUGCUUUGAAGAUACUUGGGACUGCAUCUUGUGAAACAUGAUCAUGAUCAGCUAGAAAUCCUGCAAACUGUCCAAGAAGUGUAGUUUGUUUGUUCCCUUCACCCUUGAUGUUUGUGCAGCUUCUCCAUGAUUCUUGGUUUGCAAGUAAGUUGCAAACUCGUUGAUAAGAGUAACAGGAUUGGUUGUGAAAUCCAUCAAGCCAUGAGUGAGUGAGUUGGUAGCAUGGUUGGCAACAUGCUAAGCCUUGAGAGGAGCCACUGAUGAGGAUCUUGGAACCAUCAUCCUAUUGUCUUUUAAUUUGGGCUUGAGUUCAGGGUGCAGCUCCCAACACCUCUCUUAUGUGUGACCAUAUGCAUUGCAAUACUUACACUUUAGAUGUGGAGUCUUUCCUCGGUACAUUUUGGCAUCAUGGUUUCUGUGGUUUGCAACAUACCCUUGAGCCUCAUAUAGCUUGAGAUUAGGCUCCACAUUCAUCACCCUUAUUCUUGCUUCUUCACGUUGCACUGUGACACAAACAGUCUUGAAUGAUGGUAGCUCCACGCUCAUUAAUAUGUGACUCCAGAGAUCCUCAUAUUCUGAGCUGAGGCUUGCGAGCAGUUGAUAGAUCUUAUUCUCCUCAACUCUUUUAAGAAGAAUAGUGGGAUCCGUGGUGUGAGGGAGGCCCUAAAUGUUGAACAAAAGACUUAUUUUCUUCCUGGAGGCAAGCAAUAUCUCUUUUCAAUUGGAAUACCCUGGCGUAGUUAUUCUAGUUCCCAUACAUAUCCUUCACAGAUUUCCACAAAUCUUGCAAGGAUUCACAGUAACUGAAUAUCUCAACAACAUGUUUCUCCAAAGUGUUGAGUAACAAGGACAUGACAAGUUGAUCCUUGCACAGCCAUGCUCCAUAGGUCUGAAAAGAAGAAUCUGGAAUUUCAACACUUCCAUUGAUGAACCCUAACUUUCCCCUUCCUCCUAGAGCGAGUGAAACUACCCUAGACCAAGGAAGGUAGUUGAGCUCAUUCAGCAGCACCGAGCAUAGGCGCUGGUUGGUAUUGACUUCAGCAUUCAAAAAAUUCGAGGGAGCAACCUGAGAGUUUUCUCCCUCAAGAUUGACUAUGCUUUCCUCAGCCAUUACAAAAGUUUAAACGAACACCAGUGGAAACAACACGGGCAGAGACAAGUCAAGGAUGACACUGCUCUGAUACCAUGUAGAUUUUUGGUUUCAAAGUGUUUUCUAUUUCAUGAGUAAUUCUGAAUGUACAAUGCAGUAUAUAUAGGCGAGAGAAACAAAUGGUUACAAGCAACCAUCUUUACAUGAAACCCUAGAGACCAGUUAAACCUAGGACACAAGUUUUUCCUUAAUUUAAGGUGAUUUACAUCAAAUCCAAGAAUAAGAAGUAAUCAGCAAGUUAAGUGCCUUGAAUCAAGGAGCUGGAAAACUAGCGAUUGACUUGUGUAUCCAUGAUUACUUGUAGACUUGAUAUGAGAUGACAUGCUAGGGUUGCUUUUGCUAGGGUUUAGUGUGACUGGUUCCAACAAAAACAGUUGGGCUUUAAUGACACGGAUUAAAUCUUAUUGGGUUUGAGAGUCAUGUUUUCCUAGACUUCAAUGACUAAGAAAAUGAUUAUCACUCACUGUUAAAUGUUUAAUCCAACAGUACAGAAAAAAGUAUAGUAAAAAAGUUAAAUGAGCACCAACCAUUAGAUUAAGAUCGAACGGUGGGUGACCACCAUUUUCUUGGUAAUUGGAUUAUAGGAGAACAAUUCUGUUGGGUUUUAUAGGGUUUCUUCUGUUUGAGUGGUUAAUUGGCUAUUCAAUCUUAUUGACCUCAAACCUAUGUGGCUAAAAGAAAUAGAGGAUUCAAAGCCAAGUCUAUGUUUGUCUCCUUUAAGAAAAUUUAGAGUAAUACUGUUGAUGUAAUCAAAUUUACUCCCUUAUUUGUGUAGUUUAUACUUUAACAUUAGUUUAUACGACUUCAUGCAUAAAAUUUGUUUAUAUAACAUUUUUUUAUAUAGCAUUUUUCCAUUCGUUGUCUUAAUCCACUUUGCUUUUCUAGGCACUUGAAGAUGAUCUACCCUCGCCCAUUACACCCAGAAACUCCCCACCCCUCCUUCUAAAUCUAUAUUUAUGUUAUUAAAAUAAAAAACCAAACAAAAGACAGCAAGGGGGAAUAUGAUAAUAGACAUACCUUUGCCACCAAUGGUACACCGGCACACUUUUCAGCUAUCGCCCUUCCAAUGCCCUCUUGAUCUGAAUCUAGAGAACGAGCAUUACCAUUUCGUAAUGCUUCACCCCUUAAUAUGGACCAACAAUCCUCGUUUGAUAGGAGCCCCAAAUCACACUUCGGCAUUGUCCCCGUGAUUAAUGCAACCUUUUCACUGCGGGUAGUAACAAUGGUAAUGCUUCCGGGAGCAGAAUUGAGCAUCGACAAACAAUCCGUAAAACUGCUCCAUAAAUCCUCAGCUUCAUUCCAAACAUCAUCGAGUAUCAGCAUAUAUCUCUUCCCUUUCAACCUUUCUUUGAGGUUAUUCAGCGAUGCUUCCCGACUUGUACAUCCUGCCAAUUUAAGGGACUCUAACAUCCGAUUUAGAAUCGAAUUAACGUAAAAAGGGUUGGAUACACACACCCACAUUUUUUCCUGGAAAUGUCCACCAAUAGCAUCAUCAUUGAAUAUUGAUUUUGCCAAAGUCGUCUUUCCAAGUCCUCCCAAUCCCACAACGGCCAUAACCGAAAGGUUAUUUUCCUGAUUCUUGGACUCGAUCAAGGUUGCAAUGAUAUCCGACACUGUCUUCUCCCUUCCAAUGAUCUUCUCAUCCUGACGGAAGCUUGAGACGGUUUCUCUGUUCCCCAUAGCUGGAAGGGUUUGAUCUUCUCUCCUUGCAACUAAGCCAAUGAAAGAUGCCUCACUCUUGAGAACCGCCAGGGACGCAUUGAUGUUCUUAAUCUUGUGUGCCAUCUUUUGACGAAAUAAAAUGGGAUUGGAGAGCGAAAAGAAGUUAAGUACCUUCUUCUUCAUGUGGUUUUGCAGUUCUGCUUUACGCCGGAGAACUUCAUAGUUGAUGUCCUCCAAGACAUCAUCAGCAUCAUGAGCUACGUCUUUCAGUUUUUUCACCCAGUCCUCCAACGCCUUGCGCUUGUGAGGUGGUUGGUGGGCAACAUCGCCUAAGUAAUCUUGAAUCGCAAGUGACGAUUGUUGAAGCUCAGUUAGCUCUUUAUUGAAUCCUCGGAAAAGACUGAUUUCUUGAGCAGCAAGUGAAGCGACCGACUUCAGUAUUCCCUCCACCGGAAAAGUGAUGAGACCUUCUAGCACCUUUACAGGAUCCAUACCCGCCCGAUAAGGGGAGAUUAGAGAGUAGGAAGCAGAGAACUGAGAGAAAGCCAAGGAAGGACACAAGAAGAGCGAAUUAGAUGAAUGAAAGGCUUAACAAUAAUUCAAGAAAAUGUGGUAUAAGAAGAAAGGACCCUUUAUAAUUGACGCCACUUUACGCCUGUGAGCGUCAACAUAAUGUUCAAGAGUGGAGGCCAACUUUAAUAAAGUAACGAGGAUUGAAUAGGAAAGAUAAAAAGAAGACAAAAAUAUAAACCCAUCUUAUUAGCAAAUGUGUUCCAAAAAUUAAUUACCUAGCAUUAUUCUAUCUAUAUUAUCAAGAGAACUUUCAUUGUCAACCUUUCUCGAAAAUAAGAAUUAUAUCAUUGUUUUUCUUAUUUUACCCUUAACCUUUUCUUAAAAUGACAAUCAUAUCCUCAGUUUUUUUAAUUUUACCCUCAUUUUUGAUACACAAUAUUUACAUAAAGAAGACAAAAUUGUAAUUAUAUAAUAUUAAGAAAAAUAUGCCCUUAUGAAGAGAAACUGUCUCAUCAUCAUUGUCUCAUACUUUUUAAAAAAAAUUUAAAAACUAAUCACUCCUUAAUCAAAAACAAAAAAGAAAAUGAAAUUAUUCACACACUAAGUGUGCUCAUCUGCCAGUUCAUAUAAAAGAUAACAGAUAGAAGAUGACAACUUUCACUUGGGCUUUCUAGUAAAUUAAUGAAAAUACACUAAAACCUAAAGAUGCUAAUUCAACAUGAUAAAUGACAGAAUUCGGCCUAAAAUGCUCAUGCAUCACAACAAAGUGGUGAAUUAAAUUUGUGAUUUUUCUGAAAAGCCGGUUCAAUGCAUAAAUAUUAUCAUGAAUUAACGAUAACGAUCAGAAUUCUCCUUGAGAGCAACAGGGGCAAGUUCUUGAGCCACGGCUUUACCUACUGAAACCUUUCUCCUAACAAAUGAGACGCCGGAUAACUUGCUGCGCAUCCAAGGCCAUCUUGAGCCCUUCAACCCCACCAACAUAACAUCCGACUCUAUUCCAAUCAAACAUGGGCCCCGCACGUCCCCACACGGCACAUUCCCUGACCCCCUUCGUCCUCAAUUUCCCUCCAAGAAUGUUACAUGGACAUCAACAUUCAAGUAUGAUGCAUAAACUGUAGUUUCAUCAUCCUUCCAACACGCAAUAUUUUAGUAUGCGUUGGUUGCAUCGAAUAUUUCAGACUGGAUUAGUUUUAGAGGCUAAGUUAAAUUAUGUUAAUAUAAACUAAACUUAAUUCAUAUGAUAAUACGUUUAAUGCAAUGUCAGAUUAAGACACAAAAUAAUUAAGAAAAAGGCAAAUGAAAAUCCAAUUACUUUGCUUUUAAAUCAGCAUAAACUUUUUUCUCAAAUAAUUCAAGAAAAUGUGGAUAAGAAGAUGAGAGAUACAUAUCAAGAUGGUAGGACCCCUUAUAAUUGAUGCCACUUUACAAUUGUGAACUUAAUUUGGUGAGACUGAGCACUUUUCUAAUAGUAUGGAGACAUAAAAUGGCAAAAAAUUGUAAAGCAAAGCAAGACCACAUAAAUGUAAAUCCAUCGUAUCAGCAAAGAUUUUUUCUGGACAAUUUUAGACAAUAGUGGAGAUUCAACUUUAUUAUAUGAAGAUAAUUCUAGUGUUCGGUCUUUUGAUCAAUCUGGCGAUGUGUUGCACACUCACACUAAUAUGAGCAUCAUUAUAUUGUGUUUUAUCAACCUUAAAAUUAACCCCACCCCACACGAUGGAGUGAGUCUAGUGCCGAAAAAUCAUUGUAUCAACCUCUCUAGACAACUUUAGAUGAUAAUAGAGAUCCGACUUCAAUAAAAUUAAGGAAAGAACAAAAAAUAAUAAUGCAACAGAGGAAAAAAAAAAGGGAGCACGUAAGUACAAAGAUUAUAUAAAAGAGAGAAAUGCUAAGUAACUCUCUUAAGUUGAGAUUCUAUGUGGACUUUUCGUUACUUUAUGUUUGUAAAAAAUUAUUUUAUAAUAUUGACAAGAAAAAAAAUUACAAAAAAUUUAUAGAGAAUCACACUUUUGAAAAAAUCUCCGAGAUUCUUGGCUUUUAUUACAGCUAUCCAACUAUCAAUAGCAUGCAUUGUUUUAGGAUGGAAUUUGGAAGCAUUUGAGACGGUCAUCCACGCACCAGAGAGAUGAAAGUCGUCAUGUAACUCUACCAACACGUAAUAGGGGUGGAAAAGCAAGGAGACAAAAUUGGUAUUGUAACCCUACCGACGCGUAAUAGAACGGUGGAAAAGCAGGUGCUGCUUUUUCAAGAAAACCAAGGGAAUGACGUUUCCACUUCCCAAUGGAAAACCACGAUGCCACUAUUUAAUCACUGGAUGGUUAAGAUUGAAAUUUCGCAAAAGAUUCAUGCAUAUACGAUAUUUAGUUAAUAAUUUAAUCAUUUGUAAUUACAUUAUUGAAUUUGUGAAUUUGAUUUAAAAUUUUUAAUUUCUCUAAUAUUACCAAUAUUGAAACACCUAACCCAACUCAAGCUCCUUCAAUCAACAAAAGAAAAAGUCAUCCACCUCCAUCAAAAUUGAGAUAAAAUGGACCAGAAUGCUCUCAUGAUCCUUCUCUCCAAAUCUGAUUGGGUCAUUUUCUUGAGUCGAGUAAUAGCAUUAAUAAGUUACAUAUUCUAUUAAUCGCCGAUAAAAUUCAAACUUACACCAUUAUACAAGGAUACAAAACAUUUCCAUCACUAUAAUAAAAGACCACUUGCGACCGGGUCAUUUAAUUUAAAUCGCCCAUCCCAGCGUGUGGCAACUUCUUUCUUUUCAUACUUUCUCUGCGUGAAGACGUCUACACGCGAAAGAUCUUCAUCGUCCACCUUAUUUCACGCGGUGAUUCAUUUAUUGACUUAAACUUGUUUCGAUUAGUCAACAAAUAUAGGUCUUCCAUGAAUUUUUGUCAGGACUCAGUGCUAGUGACUAUUCAAACCCUACCUAAUUCUCACAUCUUCACCAUGAUUAGUCAACAAAUAUUGGUUUUAACUUUUUACUAUACUAUAAUGUUUAGUCUCUAAAUUAUCUAAUAUUCUGUUAUCGGCCCCACGCGUUGUCCCCACAUGGCACAUCCCAUUUCUUCCUCAAUUUCCUCCAAUAAUGUUUACAUGGACGUCAAUAUUAAUUCAAGUAUAAUGGACAAGGUGUAGUUUCAUCGUCCUUCCAAUAUGCUAUAUUUGAGUAUGCGUUUGUUGCAAUGAAUUAUUUCAUAUUGAAAUAUAAAUACAAAUAUUAAACUGAAUUGACUUAAAAUACACUAAAUUUGACUAAUUUAAUGAAACGUUUGAUCUAAUUUCAAACUAAAUAGCAAAGUAAUUAAUAAAAUGGUAAGUUCAUCCCAACAAAAUUUACCACAUCACUAGUUUCAUCCCAACAAAAUUUGCAUAGUUCGAAUUAUUUAGGUUGAAAUGUUCACAAGAAAUAUUUUACGACAAUGUAAGAUUAAAUUAAUUCAAAGAAAGUUAACACAAACACAAAACUUUGUAACCAAUCAAAUUAUCAUAUAAAAUCGUAAAAACCAUAAAUUUAUGAAUUCUACCAUAGGAACUCACUCAUUGAAGGUAAUAUUGCUUUAGGGACACAAAGAUUCUUUUUAAAUCCUUAAAUGAGUCCUUAAAAGUGAUGGUUCAAGUCCCUAAAUCUCUAACACCUUGAGAGAUGAAAUAAAUUCAAAUCCGUAAAUCUCUAAACCUUUGGAACAUAAUAUUGGGGACCUUGCCAUAAAAAAUAAAGGGUGACUCUGAAUGCAGUCAUUAAUCACUAAUAUUGUUUGAUUGAAAUCUUAUUAGUUCUAAGUUUUUUUUAUCAAAGUCUUUGACUUUGUACGUCUCUUCAUAUUGAUAUUAAUGUAGUUUCAUAUCAACUAAUUAUUUUUGAAGUUCCUUAAUUCUUGGACUUCAAAUUUUGUAAUAAAUUAAUUCCUGAAAAAGCAUAAGACACAUAAUAAAUAGUAAAAUUUGUAACGAAUAGAACAUUUAUCUACCAAUAAUCAAGCAUUACAUUCUAAACACAUAAAAAACAAUGUACACAUAUAAUUGGAUUUUAAAAAAAAAGAAUUUAUCAUUAUAAUUGAGAAAUUUAGAAAAAUAAUCAAAAUUUGAACCUCAUAGAAAAUUAUAGCCGUUUUUUAAGUUAAUGAUAAUUAUAACCAAAGUUGAUGUAAAAGUAUUAACAUAUAUACUCAUGAGGUUCUCUCCGCCACCUCCAAUUCUUCAAACUUUUAGACCGUCUCCGAGGAGUUAAGCUCUCCAGUCCAACAUAAUAUCUAGGUUUUUCGUUUCAGUAGGUAAUCGUUAUAACCAUGGUGGGCAUGGCCACGAAAGGUACUAUUUUUCUUACGAUUCCUAACAUAUUCCUUCAAUUUUUGUUCUUUAAUUUUUCUGAUUUUUGUUGCAUUUGAUUUUCUAAACAUAUUAGAUUAGAUUUCGACCUCUUUCAUCAACACUGCGAAACCGAUGUUCCGAUUGGCCGGGCAAAGUCAUGGUACACCAUCCCAUUUCAGAUUGUAAAAGGUUGACUUUUGGUUUCUGGCUUUUAACUUUGAGCUUUUGGUUUUUGUUUUUUAAUAUUUUCACGUAGAAAUAGCAUUAUUAAUAUGGGAGCACAACAAUAUAUAUGAACCUACAGAGAAAUUAAAGAAAAACAGAGAUGUUGGUCUGCCAUAUGUAAAUUGACAUAUUUGGCUUCUAGCAUUGGGAAGAAAGAAAUUGUGUAUAUUUGAAUUAUAAAUUGCAUUUUCCAUCCAAAUUAAGUAUUUAAAAUUAUUGCCGACAAGAGGAGUUUUGUGAUUAGUCGCCUGCAGGUACGCGUAGACUCAUAUUUACUAUUCACAAAAUGUCAUUAUCGUUCCCGCGUGCAUACGUACGAUCCACCCGUCCAUUCUUGAUUUGUAAAUAUUAUAAACAUAAGUAGCUACUAUGAACGCAUAUGCCAUGACAAUUCUUUUUUUUUUUUUAUAAUUUAUUUUAUUUUUGCUUCUUUGAUUGUGAUAUCCCAGCAAAUUGAGGUUACCCCGUCAAACAAAAUCACUAAUAAAUUCGAUUUAGUAGUUGGCAGUCGGCUAUGGUGGGUGCGCCCAUGGUUUCAAGUCUAAUUUGCAUUUUUUAUUAAUAGUUGGCACGGUCACAUGGUGGUAACCACUUAUUUGUCUUUUGAUUGAUGCAGAUCCGGAUUAAAAAACAAAUGGUCUUUCUAAUUAGGAUAUUUUAUUACUAAUUGUGUUGAUCAAUGAUUGUUUGGCUAUUUGUAACUUGUAAGGUUCAUGAGUGUUGAAAGAGAAAACCGAACACAAGAUUUCAGUUGUAAGUACUAAAUGUAUGCUCUUAACCACUAGAGUUAUAAGUUUUUUGUGUGCUCAAUGUUCGACUCUCGUUCUUUCUAAACAUGAAUUGUGUGGACCAUUGGAUCUGAUGGAGAAUUGGACACCUUAGCAUCAUUGAAGUGAAACAUGCUAUUUGCUCCUCAAGAGGCUAUUUUUCAUGCAGACCUUACGUGCAGAUCAGAUAUAGUACUUUGGAUCUAAUUUGAACUACCGAAAUCAAAACAAGUUUAGGGUGAAACCAGCUCACAAUAAAACAAAGCUCAUUGGUGGAACAGGGUCUGAAAAACCCGUAUAAUUCAUCGGCACAACUCGAAUAUCUCAUCCUUUUUCGUUUUUUUUUUCUUUUCCCGCAAUGGAUUUGGAAUUCCCCAUGGCUGAUGUCACCACACGAGUCUCAUUAUCACCGGAAAAAACCAUGGACAUACUAAAAUCUGCUAUUUUCGUGUCCAAGUUUUCGUUGCACUGGGAUUACUCUCCACUCUUAAUCCAAUUCUCUUACUGGAUUCCCUUCUUAAGUGAGCUGAAAUACUAAUCAAAUUUAUCUGUGAUUAACAUAUUCUAGAAAACUCGGCAUGAUUUUAUUCAAGGAUGAAAGAUUGAAGAAAAAGAGUUACAUAUUGACUAAACAGAUUACCUUCCACAAAAUUGGUCUCAUAAAACUGUGUUAGUUGGGAGAACCUGCACAGAGUGAGAAGAAACACAACCUUCUACAAAAGCGUAUCUGCAGAGUGAGAAGAAACCUUCUACAAAAGUUGCAUCUUUCUUUAUUCAGAUUCGUACCAGUCCCGAUAACACUUAACACAUGAGAAAACGAGAGUGAGUGAACAAUAUUGAAUCAAAUAUUCAUGAAUAAUUGAUUGGAGAUAAAAAUAAAAAAUACCUCUGAUAUCUGGAAUAUGAUAAAUCUUCGGCCAUCUUGGGCCACUGUUCUUGGCGCAUUCUUUCUGCCAGACGUUGGUGAUUGGUAUUUAGUCUUUGGUUACUAUUAUCUUUAGCAAAUGGAGUAGACUUGUCCUUGAAAGUUGAUGACCAAAUUGACAACUACCUCCUCUUCAUUUGGCUACAAUUAAAUCCUAACUAGCUAGUAGCUACCCAGCAAAUGGUGUUGUCAUGGGACCUGCAUUGGUGGAAUAUGAACAUCUGGAAUUCAAUCCAGCUGAAUUAUGGUAUGGUGAAAUCGUAACACAAGUUUCUUCAUUUCAGCCGGGAGUUCCUUCUCGAUGCCUAGACACCUCCAUUUCCACAAUUCACAAAACUCAUGGUGGCUCUAUGUUGGGAGGCAUGCCGUGCUGUCUCUGAUGCUUCCAGACCGAAUUCACAUUGAACUCUCCUCGAAGCCUUUGAUCCAAAAUAGUAUUUCAAUCCCUGUUCUGGAACUCAAGAUUCACCCACUCCACUAUGUGGACAAGAUCAUCAUUUUCUAUGAUUGCAGGUUGGCCAGUAAAAAUCUAAACAUCAAUUUUUUUUUCUUUCAACCUUGCUAAUUAUAGUAUCUGCAGACCAAAUAAAGUAAUCAUAGAUCACUCACUGCUCAUAGAUUUGUUUUUUUUUUUUAACAUGAUCAAAAUUCUAAGAACAGUAGAACACAGAAAUCUGAACAAGCUCGGUAUCCCAUGACCGAUGCCACCAGAGUCUCAGUGUCACUGGGAAAAACCAUGGACAUACCAAACUCUGCUAUUUUGCAUCCAAGUUUUAAUUCAAGAGAAUGUUGGCAGUCUUUACAUCUCUAUGCACAAUACUGGAUUGUGCAUAUAUAUUAGCAUACAAAAUAACACUAAGCACCUAUCUAACGCAAUAUCUAAUGCUAUCCGAAGUCUCAUUUCCCAAGUUUAUGUGAGCUUUGUUGAAUUAUAAGUCUCUAGCUGAUUGAGUAUUAGAAAUAAGAUGAGUUUUAAUGUGUGUAUUCACUUGAGCAUAUCUGCCAAGUGUAAGGUUAAAUGAUGUAAGGCCAUGAGUGCUAUGUGGUGUUUGAUCCAUGUAAUUAGGUUGAUGAGUGACUAAGUUUAAAAGUAGUGUUUUGUGUGGUCCUAAAGCUAAGGCCAUCAGUUAAAUGUAAAGCAGUGUUAGUGCGCAUUUUUCUGUGCAGUACAAAUAUUCCUCUGCAAUACUUUUGCAGCAGAGAGAACAAGAAAGAAAAACUUUUCGGUUCAACUUCUAUCUUUGCUUUGCUUCUGUUCAGCAUUCUGAAAAUAAACCCAGCAAAAUCAAGUUACACUAACAUGGCCUCAGAGCCUUGUUUCGAUUAGAUCUGGGCGUGUUUCUGUGAGCUCAAACAUCACCGUUUCUGGACUCGGUGAAGUUUGCCGGAGUUUGUUUGUGAGCUAAGAACUACGUGUUUCUGGAUUCACACAAGCUCACGAUGGCUGGAUCUGGGAGUGCUGAAGUGAGGACCCCGAUCUUCUCCGGUGAGAACUACGAGUUCUGGAGAAUCAAAAUGGUUACCAUUUUCAAGUCAUAUGGACUGUGGAAUCUGGUGGAAAAAGGGAUUUCGGUUUCUGAUUCGAAGAAGAAGAAAGCUAAGACUGAUGAAGAUACAGAUGUUGAUGCUGACGAUGAUGAGAAAAUGGCUGCAACCUUCAUGAAAGAUGCAAAAGCACUCGGAAUCAUUCAAAACGCAGUCUCUGAUCAGAUUUUCCCUCGAAUCGCAAACGCAGACUCAGCAAAAAUGGCAUGGGAUCUGUUAUAUGGCGAAUAUCACGGUGGGGAUCAGGUAAGAUUUGUGAAACUCCAGAAUCUUAAACGAGAAUUUGAAUACACUAGAAUGCGUGAUGAUGAAUCUUUGACUGGGUAUCUUACUCGUUUAAAUGAUCUGAUUAAUCAAAUGAAGACGUUUGGUGAAAUUCUGUCAAAUGAGAGAUUAGUUCAGAAGGUGUUAAUCAGUCUCACUAAGAUAUAUGAUCCUAUAUGCUUAGUGAUAGAAAACACCAAAUGUUUAGAAUCUGUUGAAUUGCAAGAGGUACUAGCUAUAUUGAAGAGUCAAGAGCAGAGGUUUGAUUUGCAUUCCUCUGAUGCAACUGAGAGAGCAUUUUCUUCUCUUACUGUUAGUUCAAAAGGGCAGAAUCGAAGUUAUGCUCAGUCUAGUACUUUUAAACCACAGAAAAAUUGGAAUCAAAAGGGUAAGAAAUGGGAUUUAAAACCAAAGUUUCAGCAAAAAUCAUACACAAAUGUUGCACAGAAUAGUAUUUCCUCACAGAUUAUGGGUCAAGAGAGUGUAAAACCUCAAUGUAAGGUGUGUUCAAAGUUUCAUUAUGGUGAAUGUAGAUAUAAGGGGAAAUCCAAGUGCCAUAACUGUGAUAGAUUUGGUCAUUGGGCCAGAGAGAGUGUACUGUUGGAAAGUCUGUUCAAAAGGCAAACUGUGCAAGUCAAAUGGAAGUGACAGGAAACUUAUUUUAUGCAAACUGUGCAGUUGCUGAGACUAAGGUUAAUGGAGAUUGGUACAUAGAUAGUGGCUGCAGUAAUCAUAUGACAGGAAAUGUUGAUCUUCUUGUUGAUGUGAAUACAAAUGUUGCAGGGAAAGUUCAAAUGCCAACAGGAGGGUUAGUUAAUGUGGCAGGAAUGGGAUCACUGGAAAUUGAGACUAACAGAGGAAGAAAAUACAUUCGAGAAGUCAUGUACUUACCUGGUUUGAAGGAGAAUCUAUUAAGUGUAGGACAAAUGGAUGAGCACGGAUACUAUCUUGUGUUUGGUGGACAUAUGUGUACUGUUUUUGAUGGUCCUUCUCUGAAAUGUCAAAUUAUCCGUGUAAAAAUGAAAGAAAACAGGUGCUAUCCUCUAUCUCUACGGCCUGAGAAACAACUUGUGUUGAAGACCAGUUUUGCUCAUUGUUCUCUGACUUGGCACAGAAGAUUAGGUCACCUACACUUUGGUGGAAUUAAGAAAUUGAAGGAUAAUGACAUGGUACAUGGAUUACCAUAUCUAGAUGAGUAUGACAAAGUGUGUGAAGGCUGUCAAUAUGGUAAGCAACACAGAGAAAGGUUUCCUAGUGGUCAAGCACAAAGAGCUGGUGCUCCACUUGAAUUGGUUCAUGUAGAUCUGUGUGGACCGAUGAGAAUCGAGUCUACUGGAGGAAACAAGUACUUUAUGUUGCUUGUAGAUGAUGCAACCAUGAUGAUAUGGGUGUAUUUUCUUAGAUUCAAAUAUGAAGCUUUUACUUGUUUUCAGAAAUUCAAGGCCAUGACUGAGUUGCAAAGUGGAAUGAAGGUAAAAUGUGUAAGGAGUGAUAGAGGAGGGGAGUUCUUAUCAAAUGAAUUCAAGCAAUACUGUGACACAGAGGGAAUCCAAAGGCAACUGUCUCUCUCUUACACUCCACAGCAAAAUGGAGUGGUUGAAAGAAAAAACAGAACUGUGAUUGAAAUGGCCAAGUCUAUGCUUCAUGACAAAGGAAUGCCUUACUAUAUGUGGGCAGAAGCUGUGCAUACUGCUGUCUAUCUGUUAAACAGAUGCCCUACCAAAUCACUGGAUAGUAUAACACCUUUUGAAGCUUACAGCAAAAGGAAACCAGGUAUUGCUCAUUUGAAGGUUUUUGGCUCAGUUUGUUAUGUUCAUACUCCAUCCGAGCUAAGACACAAGCUAGAACCCAAGAGUAUAAAAGGAGUCUUUGUUGGAUAUGCAAAAUGUGAGAAAGGCUAUAGAGUAUUUGAUCCAAUCUCUAAGAGACUGAUUCUGUCAAGAGAUGUUGUGUUCGAUGAAAACUCAGCUUGGGAUUGGGAAAGAAGCACUGAAAGAUAUAUGUCACUGCCUACUUAUGAGUUUGACUCUGUUGAUACACAAAGAAGUGAAAAUGCAGAAAAUGACCCUCAAGUUUCAAGUGAUUUAUCAUCUGGAAUAUUGGAAGAAGCUGCAAGUGGUAUUGAUGAUACACAGAUCAACUCUCAGUCAAGUGCAGGUGUGAAUGACACUCAGUUUUUUGAUCAUACUCCAUUAAAAUGGAGAAAGCUGGAUGAUGUUCUUGCUCAGUGUAAUCUUUGUAUUAUAGAACCAGAGAAAUAUGAAGAUGCAGCUAAGGAUGAAUCUUGGAUGAAUGCUAUGAAGGAUGAGCUCUCCAUGAUUGAAAAGAAUGCAACCUGGGAGUUAGUGGACAGGCCAAGUAACAAGCCUAUAAUUGGAGUAAAAUGGGUGUGUUUAAAACCAAACUCAACCUGGAUGGAACUGUGCAAAAGAACAAGGCAAGGCUUGUUGCAAAGGGAUAUGCACAGAAACCAGGAAUAGACUACAAUGAGACCUUUGCUCCUGUUGCUCGAUUAGAUACAAUCAGAACCCUUAUAGCAUUGGCUGCACAAAAGAGUUGGAAACUCUAUCAACUUGAUGUUAAAUCGGCUUUUUUAAAUGGUGUUCUAGAGGAGGAGGUUUAUGUGGAGCAACCUGAUGGUUUUGUAGCUAAAGGGGAGGAAGACAGGGUAUAUAAACUUCACAAAGCCUUGUAUGGUCUAAAACAGGCACCACGGGCCUGGUAUGGAGAGAUAGAUACAUAUUUCUCACAAUGUGGUUUCACAAGAAGUUUAAGUGAACCAACACUGUACAUCAAGACAGAAGAGGAAGGCAUUUUGAUUGUGUCGAUCUAUGUGGAUGACAUAAUCUAUACUGGGAGCAACAAACAAAUGCUUGAAGAAUUCAAGGAAGACAUGAAACGAAAGUAUGAGAUGACUGAUUUGGGCCUUCUCCAUCAUUUUCUUGGAAUGGGAAUAAUUCAAACCACUUCAAGCAUUUUCAUCCACCAAAAAGAAAUAUGCAAACUCUCUGUUAGACAAAUUUGGUCUAAAAGAGUGCAAACCUGUGCUUACUCCAUUGGUUGCAACUGAGAAGUUAACCACGGAUGAUGGAAGUGGUGCUGCAAGUGAAGAAUUAUAGAAGUUUGGUGGGAAGUCUCUUAUAUCUCAUUGCAACCAGGCCUGAUAUUAUGUAUGCAUCCAGUCUGUUAGCCAGAUUUAUGCACUGCCCUACCAGUAAGCAUGUUGGAACUGCUAAAAGAGUGCUAAGAUACAUUAAGGGUACACUUGAUUAUGGUCUGGAAUAUGUGAAGGGUAAGGACUCAAUGUUAAUUGGGUUCUGUGACAGUGACUGGAGUGGAUCAAUUGAGGACAGUAAAAGUACUUCUGGUUAUGCUUUCUCCUUUGGCAGUGGAGUAUUCUCUUGGGCAUCUGUGAAGCAAAAUUGCGUUGCUCUUUCCACUGCAGAAGCAGAGUACAUCAGUGCUUCAGAAGCAACUACUCAAGCCAUUUGGUUGAGAUUUGUUCUUGAAGACUUUGGUGAAUUUCAAACCGAAGCCACUCCAGUGCACUGUGACAACACCUCAGCAAUUGCAAUCACCAAGAACUCUGUGUUUCAUCAAAAGACCAAACACAUUAACAGAAGAUACCAUUUCAUCAAGGAUGCACUGAAGGAUGGCAUCAUUGAUCUGGUGUACUGUCCAACUAAUGAGCAACUUGCUGAUAUCUUCACAAAACCUUUGCCUAAAGAUCGGUUUAAUUAUCUCAGGAGCAUGCUAGGAGUGAAAUCAGCUCAAGACUUAAAGGGGAGUGUUGAAUUAUAAGUCUCUAGCUGAUUGAGUAUUAGAAAUAAGAUGAGUUUUAAUGUGUGUAUUCACUUGAGCAUAUCUGCCAAGUGUAAGGUUAAAUGAUGUAAGGCCAUGAGUGCCAUGUGGUGUUUGAUCCAUGUAAUUAGGUUGAUGAGUGACUAAGAUUAAAAGUAGUGUUUUGUGUGGUCCUAAAGCUAAGGCCAUCAGUUAAAUGUAAAGCAGUGUUAGUGCGCAUUUUUCUGUGCAGUACAAAUAUUCCUCUGCAAUACUUUUGCAGCAGAGAGAACAAGAAAGAAAAACUUUUCGGUUCAACUUCUAUCUUUGCUUUGCUUCUGUUCAGCAUUCUGAAAAUAAACCCAGCAAAAUCAAGUUACACUAACAAGCUUCUAUCUGCAUCCGCAACCAUUGACAUGACACUUAAAUAUUUUGAAACCCUCUGUUGGAGGACAAUGCUAUGUAAAAUAUAGAAUUACAUACCUGAUCGGAGAUAUUCUUUUAGGUUUUCGUUAAGCAUGUACUUGUAUAUAAGUGCCAACUUGUCGAUAUCAUCACAGUAUCCAAUAAAUGAGGCCAAGUUUCUAUGAUGGAUUCUCUUCAGGAGCUCAACCUGCAGCCACAAGGAACUCAUCAAUCUCUAACCAACGAGACGAGGCAUUUAACUUGCAUUCCAAGGAAUUAAAUUCAAACUGUCAAACCUCUGUUUGGAACUCCCUAGCUGAGCUAGCUCCUUGAGAUGACGAUGUAGAACCACAUCUUGAGUGCCGUAUUUCAACUAUCCAUGGUACAAUCCCAAAUCCCCCUUUCCCGAUUUCAGUUUUAAAGUUUUUGGUGAUUUCUAAAACCUCAUCAUAAGUGAACUAGAACUUCUGAAGCUACAGGAGUUUUGUUACGUUUUCUCCAUUUGCAGCUUAAGUAGACAAAAAGAUAUGUGUUCAGACUAACUGGUCAGAAAUACUACUGCACCAUAGUAGGAGCGCCGGUUCUAACUGAAUAAGUAUCAAAGGUAUAAAAUGGUACCUGGUUUUCUUAUUCUUCUCAGCUUCCAUACCAGUAUGAGCACUAUAACUAGGAGGAGAGGCCACUGCUGACAGUAAUGAUCCAAGUAUUGGAACAACCAUGUUCUCCUUGCACUUGAUUGAAUCUGAACUAAAACAGGACUUAUAAGCACAUCGAAAAUCUGAAGGACACAAUACCAUUAGCUUUCAUUAAAGAAAAUGCUAACCUAUUCGGUGCUCUCCAUGAACGAAACUUGCACAGAGCAGUAGGACGAGGAAACCAGUUGAGAUCUUCUUCUCUCUUUGUCUCACUGCAGCCUAUGAACUACCUGGUAUUUAAAACGCGUGACAAUGUUCCGACCAAAAAAGCAGAAAAACGUAUGUGACAGUGUGGAUUUGUACCUCAUGCUGCACAACUUUACAUGAAACAUGAUCCUUAUCACACGGAGAUGCUCAGUCUACAUCAAUCAAUGGAUCAUGCAAUGUUCAUACUAAGAGAGCAAUUUGGUUAAGCCAACGUAUUUUCUAGUCAAAACAUUUCAAGCAUUGUUCCAAAUUGAUUAAGUAGAGGACAAUAUCGAUAUAUAUUAGUAUUUAGCCUACGCUGAUUCACUACACAACAGAUCCCACACCCAUUUUUAACCCAUCAAGUUUUGAACAUGGAAUGAAUGAGAUAGUUUGUAGGAACCAGCAAAGGUAAAGCCUAAAUAGCUACCUAGCAUGUUGCUGUCAUUGAACCUGCAUUUGUGGAAUCUGAACCAAUGGAAAUCACUCUAGGUGAACUCUGGCAUGGUGAAAUUGUAACACAAGUUUCUUCAUUUGAGCCUGGAGUUCUUUGUCGAUGCCUAGAGACCUUUAUUCCAUACAUUGUGUUAGUUGGCACAGCACAGAACCCAUGGUGGUUAUAUGUUGGCACGUGAAAGUUGUGCAUGCCAUUGCUGUCUCUAAAGCUUUCCAGGCCGAAUUCACAUCCAACGCUCCUCGAAUCAUUUGAUACAAAAUCGUUGUUAAAUCCCAUUCUGGAACUCAGGGUUCACCCACUGCACUAUGUGGACAAGAUCAUCAAUUUCUAUGAUUGCAGGUUGGCCAGUAAAACUCUCAAAAUCAAUUUUUUUCAUUCUACCUUCGACAAUUAUAGUACCUGCAGACCAAAAAAAAGUAAUAUCAAACCACUCACUGUUCAUGCAUUUGUAUUUAUAACAUGAUAAAAAAAAUCUAAUAGAACGCAGAAACUUGAACAUACUCUAGAUCAAGAUAACCCACUCUGCCCAUGACCGACGUUACCACACAAGUCUCAUUAUCACUGAAAACAACCCUGGACAGACCGAAAUCUUCUAUUUACGCGUCCAAGCUUUUAUUGCACUGCGCUUGCUCCUCUCUUAAUGCAAUUCUCCUACUGGAUUCCCUUCUUAAGUGAGCUGAAAUACAAAUCCAAUUUAUCUGUGUUUAAAGUAUUCUAGAUAACUCGACCUGAUUUUAUUCAAGGAUGAAAGAUUGAAGAAAGAAGUUACAUAUUGACUAAACAGAUUACCUUCUAAAAAAUUGGUCUAAGAAAACUGUGUUAGUUGAGAGAACCUGCACACAGUGAGAAGAAACACAACCUUGUACAAAAGUGUAUCUCAACAUAUGGAAAUCACUCUAGGUGAACUCUGGCAUGGUGAAAUCGUAACACGAGUUUCUUCAUUUGAGCCUGGCGUUCUUUCUCGACACUUAGACACCUUCAUUCCAAACACUUCCAAACGAGAUAGAGAGUGCAGCCCCUUGGGCAAAUAUUGUAAUUUCCCACAUUUAUAUAAUUCCAAAUGAGAUAGAGAUUGCAAGCUGGAGACAUUGUGAUCCGGCAGAGAUAUCAAAUUGGAGCAUUCACUGACACGCAAAUCGGUAGACUUAUUAAUCCAUCACAUCCCCUAAUUAUCAACUCAGUGAGGGAGGUGGGAAUAGCCUCUAGAUUAGGGUAAAAAUAUAUAUCCAUCUUCUGAAGAGAGACGGGGGUUUGUAGCCCGUGACCCGACAAAGUCCUCAAAUUUGGACAAUUACAGAUCUGCAGUGUGCAAAGACUAGUUCAAGAAUGGAGCCCACGUAUACUUGCGAAUCCAUCGCAGUGUUCAAUAGACAAUCAGCGGAGGGAUGUGCAACCCUUUAAAGACAAGUCCCCCUCGAGAGUAGUGCAUCUCUCAAAAACCAGAUCAUGAAGUGAGGCAGACUCUGAAGUACGUCUUAGCUUUGGGCAAUCAAUUAUUUUCAACUCCUGAAGAGAUUGGGAUGGUGAAAUUUGGAAGGAUUCUAGAUUGCCGCAAUCCUCAAUUUCCACCGUCUCAAGUGAGGGGCAAUAUUCUAACCCACAACACAAGCUCGACAAUUUCUCACAGCUCCUAAUUCUCAAUUGAUGGAGAUUGGUUACUCGACAAUUUCUCAUCAUUCAAGAUGCAAAUUUAGUACCCUUGAAUUCCUCAAUCGUCAAGCUUUCUAAGUUGGGGUGCGGUUGGAAUCCUUCAAGAAUAUCCUCGUCAAGAAAAUUGCCAUUUCUUUCUUUAGGAGGGACCCGCCCCCAUUUUAAUAUCAAUUUUCGUAGGUUUGCCUUUUCCACUAAUUUUGAUUUCACUGCUUCUUCCUUGUCUCUCACAUAUUCUAAUGCUCCAAUAACUAGUUCCCCUUUCAAUUCAUUUAACCUGCCCAACUCAUCAAUUCUAUGACGCCUUGCUCUUUCCAAUUUAAAUGAAGGUAGCGUCUGCAGAUGAGUCAAUCUUGUCAUCCCAAAUGGAACUUCCACAUCCUCGUCGAAAUAAACAUGUCUGAAGUUGAUCAAAUUUUCCAUUUCCUUAGGAAACGUCUUAAGACUAUAUGUUCUUGACAUUUUUAACGUCUGAAGAUUAUAGAGCUUGCCAAUAGAUUUUGGGAGUUUUUUUACUUUUGUCCUUUAAAUGUUGAGAUACCUUAAUCGUUUCAACUUUCCAAUUGAAUUGGGCAACUCCUCAAUUUCAACAUGGAAAAAAUUCAACAUCUGUAAACCUUUAAACCUUUGAAAGAUGUUUUAACGAAAUAUUCCCGGUACUAUUCACUUUUGACGAAAAAUCACAUUUUUACCGUUCCUUGAUAUUGUUCACUACACCUUUAUUUGUCAUUUUUCAUUCAAACUAUUUUUUUUUUUUAACUUUUCAUUAGUUUUCCUUUGAAAAAUAAAUAAAUAAAUAUGGCAUCAGUCAUACAAAGUCAAGCUUUCUAAACCUCUUUUAUGGACAGAUACGGAUUUCACGGUUCGAAGCUCAAUCAACAAGUAAUAUGGACCACUCAAAUUGAAUUCAAUAGUACUAAUUAACUCAUUUGCUGCCUCACCUUACAUAAUCUAAAGACUUCAAUGUCUCUUUCACACAAAGGGCCCAAAUUUUCUGGUCCUUAAGCUCUGAAUACUAAUGUCAGGAGGGGAUCCAAAUUCCUGUUUAUUAUCCAUCUGUCAAAUUGUCAACUGUUUGCUUUAGCUUGUUGUCCUAGUUUCUCUCUUCCUCAUCCUCCUCUAGCUAGCUUUUGGACUCCGGCAUCCGAAUCACAUGUCCAUGCGGCCCUAGACACAUUAAAGCUUACCUACUCAAUGUAAUGACUCCAUUCCCCUCUCCAACUACCUUCAUGGCCCAACACCUCCAGAGGUUUCAAACGAAAGAAUUUCUAGGUUCUUGUGUCCGAAACCCCAGCUAAGUUUAAUAGACGAGGGGUGGGAACAUAAUAUCUUGUAUCGUGGGCCUCACAAUCAUGGAGAUAUAGUGCUUUUUAGUGUCCAAGCCAUAUGAAUUAGGUGGUCCGGUUGCUCUAAACUAGAAUUUUAUCCUCAAUUUGACAAAUUAACAAUGGCUAAUUGGCUAUGCGUCUCCCUCUCUAUGUUGUUAAUAGUGUCGAUAUUGUCCCAUCACAUCAAUUGAAGAAAAACCCCUAUCAGGAAUAAUAUGUAUUAACAAAACAUGAUGCUUUAUUUGAGAAUUUAUUUGAGAAUCAUAGCCUUUGGAUGAGUUCACGAUAGAUAAAUACCACAAAGUAUAGAUAGUCAAAGUUCAAACAUUAUUGACGGAUGGUGAAUGUGAACGAUAAUUCAAGAGUAGUGAGAAAGAUGAUUGGUAUUAAGUCUUUGGUCACUAUUAUCUUGAAAGUUGAUGACCAAAAUGACAACUGCCUCCUUCUUUUGGCUGCAACAGCAGAAAUAGGAUGCUUACAUGGAACCUGCAUUUGUGGAAUAUGAACAUCUGGAAAUUACUCCGGGUGAACUCGUAACACGAGUUUCUUCAUUUGAGCAUGGAGCUCUUUCUCGAUGCCUAGAUGUACACCUCCAUUUCCAAACACUCUGUUAACGCACAGCACAAAACUCUCUGCUGAGAGGUGGAAGUUGUGCAUGCAAUUGCUGUCUCUAAUGGUUUCCAGAACGAAUUCACGUCAAACUCUCCUCAAAUCUUUCGAUCUCAAAACCCCGUUCUGGAACUCAGGAAUCAGGAUUCACCAACUCCACUAUGUAGAGAAGAUCAUCAUUUUCUAUGAUUGCAAGUUGGCCAGUAAAACUCUAAACAUCAAUUUUUUUCAGUCAACCUUUGAUAAUUAUAGUACCUGCAGAUCAAAUAAAGUAAUCAUAGAUCAUUCACUGCUCAUAGAUUUGUUUGUUUUUUUAAAUCAAAAUUCUAAGAACACGAAAUCUGAACAUACUCAAGAUCAAGAUACCCCGCUGUACUCAUGGCCGAUGUCACCACGAGUCUCACUGUCACUGGGAAAUGCCAUGGACAGACCGAAAUCUGCUAUUUUUGCUCCAAGUUUUCACUUAAGAGAAUGUUGGCAGUAUUUACAUCUCUAUGCACAGUACGUGGAUUGCACCUUUAUGCAAGUAAAUAGUCCUGUGAGCCAAAUUUCACAAUAUACAUAUGUUGAAUUAGGCAUAUGAACUUGCACAAUUAUAUUAGCGUACGAAAUAACACAACGCACCAACCUAUAGGCAAUAUCUAGUGUUAUCCGAAGUCUCAUUUCCCAAGUCACAUGUGAGCUUCUAUCUGCAUGCAGCCAUUGACGUGACACUUCAAUAUUUUGAAACCCUCUGAUGGAGGACAAUGCUUAUAAAAUAUAGAUCUACAUACCUGAGAGAUAUUCUUUUAGGUUUCCUUUAGGAAUGUACUCGUAUGUAAUAUAAGUACCAAGUAAUCGGUAUCAACACAGUAUCCAAUAAAUGAGGCCAAGUUUCUAUGAUGUAUUCUCAUCAGGAGCUCAACCUGCAGCGACAAGGAACUCAUCAAUCUCUAACCAACGAGACAAGGCACUUGCAAUUCCAAGGAAUUAAAAUCCUAACUGUCAAACCUCUGUUUGGAAUCCCCUAGCUCCUUGAGUUGACGAUGGAGAAAGUAUUUUAACCGCAACUUGAGUGCCAUCUUCCAAGUAGCCAUGGUAUACAAUCCCAAAUCCUCAUUUCCCAAUUUCAGUUUGAAAGUUUUCGGUGAUUUUUAAAACCUCAUCACAAGUAAACUGGGACUUCAUUGAUGCUACCGGUGUGCUACAGGUGUUUUGUUAUGUUUUUCUCCAUCUGCAGCUUAAGGACAAAAAGUUAUGAGUUCAGACUAACUGGAUAGGAAUACCACUACGCCUUAGUAGCAGUGCCGUUUCUAACUAAAUAAGUAUCAAGGUUAUAAAAUGGUACCUGGUUUUCUUAUUCUUCUCAGCUUCCAGACCAGUAAGAGCACUACAACUUGAAGGAGGGCCAUUGUUGAAAGUAAUGAUCCAAGUAUUGGAACAACAAUGUUCUUCUUGCACUUGCUUGAAUCUGAGCUAAAAAGAACUUAUCAGCAGAUAGAAAAUAUAAAUCUGAAGGACGCAAUACCGUUCGCUUUCGUUAAAGAAAAUGCUAACCUACUCAGCACUCUCCAUGAAUGAAACUUGCACAUAGCAGUACGACGAGGAAACCAGUUGAGAUCUUCACCUCUCUGUCUCAUUGCAGCCUGUGAACUACCUGGUAUUUAAAAUGUGUGACAAUGUCCUGACCAAAAAAACAGAAAAACGUAUAUGACGGUGUGGAUUUGAAACCUCAUGCUGCACAACUUGCAGAGUACAUACAAGAUCCUUAUUACAUGGGGAUGCUUAGUCUACCCCAAUCAAUGGAUCAUGCAAUGUUCAUACUAAGAGAGCAAUUUGGUCAAGCCAACGCAUUUUCUAGUCAAAGCAUUUAAAACAUUGUUCCUAUUAGGGUUAUGUGGUGUGAUACAAGUCAGGGAGACAACCCGAAGUAUUAGACAAAAGUGAUUAAGUCGAGGACAAAAUAGAUGCAUACUUGUAUUUAGCCUACACUGAUUCACUGCACAACAGAUCCCACACCCAUUUUUAACCGACCAAGUUUUGAACAUGGGAUGAAUGAGAGAGUUUGAGGCUACCUAGCAUGGUGCUGUCAUGGAACCUGCAUUUGUGGAAUUUGAACAUCUGGAAAUCACUCUAGGUGAACUCUGGGGUGGUGAGAUCAUAACACGAGUUUCUUCAUUUGAGCCUGGAGUUCUUUCUCGAUGCUUAGACACCUCCAUUCCAUACAUUUUGUUAGUUGGCACAGCACAAAACCAACCAUGGUGGCUCUAUGUUGGGAGGUGGAAGUUGUGCAAGCCAUUGCUGUCUUUAAUGGUUUCCUGACCGAAUUCACAUCGAAAUUUAUAUGAAUCGUUCGAUGCAAAUUAGUUGUUAAAUCACCAUUCUGGAACUCAGGAUUCACCCACUCCACGAUGUGGACAAGAUCAUCACUUUCUAUGAUUGCAGCCUUGCAGGUUAGCCAGUAAAACUCUAAAAUUCAACCCUUGAUAAUUAUAGUACCUACAGACAAUAAAAAGUAAUCAUAAAUAAACCACUCACUGUUCAUACAUUUGUAUUUAUAACAUGAUAAAAAAUCUAAUAGAACAUGGAAAUUUGAACAUACUCGGGAUCAAGAUAACCCGCUCUGCCCAUGACUGAUGUCACCACACUAGUCCCAUUAUCACUCGAAAAAACCACAGACAGACCAAAACCUGCUAUUUUCGCGUCCAAGUUUUUGUUGUACUGUGCUUGCUCUCCUCUCUUAAUGCAAUUCUCAUAUUUGAUUCCCUUCUUAAGUGUAGCUGAAAUACAAAUCCAAUUUAUCUGUGAUUAACAUAUUCUAGAUAACUCGACAUGAUUUUAUUCAAGGAUGAAAGAUUGAAGAAAGAAGGUGCAUAUUGACGAUACAGAUUACCUUACACAAAAUUGGUCUCAGAAAAGUGUAUCUGCACCAUAACACCAUGUGGAACAUGUCUUAGAACAUAUUUGAAUGCACAUUGGAUGUUAAAACAUAUACAGAAUGACCACGGAUUCGUAAACAGUUGCAAAUGUACUUCUAUUUACUCAUAUUUAAGGACUAAAAAGCUUAAUUUCCACAAAAGUCUUAAGUGCUGUUCCAAAAAGAUUGUGAAAGCAAAGAAAUUAAUGUUCUUCCACGAGGCUAGAAAAUGUAUGAUUUUGCAAACUAAAUGCAACUAAGACAAGAGAACAGAACCAAUCACGAAUUACUGUUUCGGGAAAGAAAUCUACACUUGACAGUUGGAAAUGCGAGAAAUCUUGGGCCAGUCAAGCAGGGUGCUUCUUUUAAUUUAGAACACAACAGUAAAAUUUGAACUGGCUUCCCUACUGUCAAUAGAUACUCCAGGUUCCCACAACGGUGAGUAGAUAGAUCAUCGACACAUGAAAGGUUCCGUCAUCACUCUGGUAAGACCCUUCUGAAUCAUCAAGUGCCAUUGUUGAUAGUAAUGAUCCAAGUAUUGGAACAACAAUAUUCUUCUUAAGCUUGCUUGAAUCUGAUCUAAAAAUAACUUAUCAGCAGAUAGAAAAUAUAAAUCUGAAGGACGCAAUGCCAUUCGCUUUUGUUAAAGGAAAUGCUAACCUAUCGGGCACUCUCCAUGAACAAAACUUGCACAGAGCAGUAGGACGAGGAAACCAGUUGAGAUCUUCAUCUCUCUGUCUCAUUGCAGCCUAUGAACUACCAGGUAUUUAAAACGCGUGACAAUGUCCCAACCAAAAAAACAGAAAAAACGUAUAUGAGUGUGGAUUUGUAACCUCAUGCUGCACAAUGAUCCUUAUCACAUGGGGAUGCUUAGUGUACGUCAAUCAAUGGAUAAUGCAAUGUUCAUACUAGAGCAAUUUGGUCAAGUCUAACAUAUUUUCUAGUCAAAGCAUUUCAAACAAUGUUACUGUUAGGGUUAUGUGCUGUGAUACAACCCGAAGUAUUGGACAAAAGUGAUUGAGUUGAGGACAAUAUAGAUACAUACUAGUAUGUAGCCUACACUGAUUCACUGCAUAAAAGAUCCCAAACCCAUUUUUAACCCACCAAGUUUUGAACAUGGGAUGAAUGAGAGUUUGUAGCUCCCUAGCAUGGUGCAGUCAUGGAACCUGCAUUUGUGGAAUCUGAACGUCUGGAAAUCACUCUAGGUGAACUAUGGUAUGGUGAAAUCGUAACACGAGUUUAUUCAUUUGAGCCUGGAGUUCUUUUUGGAUGCCUAGGCACCUCCAUUUCCAAACGUUGUGUUAGUUGACUUGACACGGCACAAAACCCAUGCUGCAGACCAAAAAAAGUAAUCAUAAACCACUAACUGUUCUUACAUUUGUAUUCAUAACAUGAUAAAAAUCUAAAGGAACAAGGAAAUUUGAACAUACUCUGGAUCAAGAUAACCUGCUGUGCCCAUGACUGAUGUCACCACACGAGUCCCAUUAUCACUGGAAAAAACCAUGGACAUACUGAAAUUUGCUAUUUUCGCAUCCAAGUUUUCGUUGCGCUGGGAUCGCCUCCUCUCUUAAUGCAAUUCUCUUACUGGAUUCCCUUCUUAAGUAAGCUGAAAUACAAAUCCAAUUUAUCUGUGAUUAACGUAUUUUACAUAACUUGACAUGAUUUUAUUGGAGGAUGAAAGAUGGAAGAAAGAAGCUCCAUGUUAACUAAACAGAUUACUUUCCAUAAAAUUGGUCUAAUAAAACUGUGUUAGUUGGGUGAACCUGCACAUAGUGAGAUGAAACACAACCCCGUAAAAAAGUGUAUCUGCACGAUAACAAUCAAAUGGAACUAAGACAAGGGAACAGAACAAAUCGUGAAUUACUGUUUCGGGAAAGAAACCUACAUUUGAUUGUCGGAAAUGUGAGAAAUGUUGGGCCAGUGAGGUAGGUUGCAUUUUCUUUUAAUUUAGAACGCAACAGAAAAAAUUGUACCGGCUUCCCCACUGCUGUAGAUGCUUCAGAUUCCCACAGCUGUGAAUAGAUAGAUCGUCCACACACGAAGGGUUCCGUCAUCACUCUGACAAGAGCCUUUUGACUCAUCAAGGGUUCCGUCCACACACGAAGGAUUCCGAUUCUUCACUCAACUAAUAUCCCGUUUACUGCAGAAAACGAGAGUGAGUGAACAAUAUUGGACAAAAUAAAAUAUACAUGGAUAAUUGAUUGGAAAUAAAAAUAAGGGCUCCAAAAAUUAAAAUUACCUCUGAUAACUGGAAUGUGAUAAAUCUUUGGCCAUUCAGGGCCGUCCUUGGCGCAUCUUUCUUUGAGACGGGGACACCAUCGGAUCUGUAGCUUACGUAAUUUGGUUAGGCGUUGCAUAGCUUCGACCGUAGGCAGAUGCAUCAGAUUCUUACAUUUCCAAAUUUCCAACUCUGUAAGAGAUGUAAGGUUGCCCAACCACUCUGGAAGAGCCUCCACACCAUGGAAAUAUUUAAUAGACAAAGAUGUUAGAGAAGUAGAGUGUUGAAUUGGCUGAGGCAGAGACUUGAGCUUAGGCCACCCGUAUAAUAUUAAUUUUUCCGAUGGGACCUGAAGAUCCGGGAAAGAAUCGAGCUCCUUGCAGAACUUACCGAUCCACAACCUUUUCAAACGAGAUAGAGAGUGCAGCCCCUUGGGCAAAUAUUGUAAUUUCCCACAAUUAGACACAGAUAGAGAGGAAAGAGAUUGCAAGCUGGACAAAUUGUGAUCCGCCAGAGAUAUCAAAUUGCGGCAAUCAUCGACAGACAAACUGGUAAGAGACGUGCAGGAUGCAAGCCCACUCGGUAUACUUGUUAAUCGACCGCAUUUCCUAAUCUUCAACUCAGUGAGGAAUGUAAGGUUGUCUAAACUGGGAAUAGCCUCUAGACGAGGGCAAUUAAAGAUACUUAGACCUUCGAGAGAGACGGGGGUUUGUAGCCCAUGACCCGACAAAGUCCUCAAAUUACGACAAUUCCAGAUAAUUAGUGUGCGAAGACUAGUACAAGAUUGGAGCCCAUUCAGUAUACUUUUGAAUCCAUUGCAUUCUUUAAUAAACAAAUAACAGAGGGAUGUGCAACCGUUUAAAGACAAGUCGUCCUCCCCGUCCGCCUCCGGUGAGAAAUCUACCGAGUUCUCGAUUUGCAAAUGACGGAGUGAAGACAGACUGUGAAUUGAAGUGCAUCUUAACUUUGGGCAAAGAGCUAUGUACAACCGUUCAAGAGAUUGGGAUGAUGAAAUUGGAAUGGAUUUUAGAUUGGGGCAAUCCACAAUAUCAAUACUUUGAAGUUUCCGCAAGUGUCCGAGCGGUGGGACCUCCUCACAUUUUUUGCAAUUGGAUAGUUGAAUCUCUGUUAACGAAUCACUCAUCAUACAUGAUGCAAAUUUAGCACCCAUAAAUUUCACAAUCCUCAAGCUUUCUAAAUUGGGGGGCGACUGAAGGCCUUCAAGAAUAUCCUGGUCAAGAAAAUUGCCAUUUCUUUCCGUAUAAUGGCUCCUCUUCCAUUUUAAUUCCAAUUUUCGUAUGUGUGUUUUUCCCACUAAAUUUGAUUUCAUUGCUUCUUUCUUGUCUCUCACAUAUUCCAAUGAUCCAAUAACUAGUUCCCCUUUCACUUCAUUUAGCCCGCCCAGCUCAUCAAUUGUAUGACGCCUUGCUCUAUCCAAAGUAAAGGAACGUAGUGCUUGCAGGUGAGUCAAUUGUGUUAUCCGAAAUGGAAAUUCCUUAUCCUUAUUGAAAUAAACAUGCCUCAAGUUGAUCAAAUUUUCCAUUUCCCUAGGAAACGUUUUAAGAUUGUAUGUUUUUGACAUUCUUAACGUCUGAAGAUUAUAGAGCUUGCCAAUAGAUUUGGGGAGUUCUUUUAUUUAUGUCCUUGAAAUAUUGAGAUACCUCAAGCGUUUCAACUCUCCAAUUGAGAUGGGCAACUCCUCUAUUUCAGCCUUGUAUAAAUUUAACGUCCGUAAAUCUCUAAACCUUUCAAACAUGUUACUGAACUCAAAGCGUCGUGGAGGAAACAACGACCGCAAUCUCGUAACACUCCCUUGUAGAAAUCUUUCAAGUGUGGUGGAAGAAAUCCGGGCAACAUGCUGAAUCUCAAGUGCUCUAUCGUCCAUCCAAUCCAAGUCUCGCGUUAAGCUUUCAAAUUUGAAUACUUCCUCAGCAAGAUCAUGCACAAGAUCAUGCAUCUUGCAUUUGGUAUUCCCAUACUCAUCUUCUCUUUCUCUUCUAUGUGCAUACUCAUAGUUUCUAGCAUCUUGAAAUAAAGAGUUUUGCAAUAGAAUAUUAAAAUGUUCAUUACCUUUAUCCUCCAUGGGAGAAGAAUGGAGAUAUCCUUGAGCCAUCCAGAGCUGGACCAAGUCAUCUUUUUCAAUUUCACAAUCUUUUUCAAACAUUGAGCAAUAUGCAAAACAUUGCUUCAAUGAUGGCUCUCUUAAAUUAUCAAAACUCAACUUCAAGAUCGACAUGAUUUGGUCCUCUCCAUUUGGUAAUUCCCAUAUUUUACUUUCUAGAAUUGACGACCAUUCCUGUGAACGCAUCAAGCUUCCUAAAACCUGUUGAUACAUAAGAUAAUUAGUUUCUAUAUGUUUUAGAAUAUAAAAAGCUGAUCAGCAAAAUAAUAACAGUGCCAAAUUAUAGUUUUAUUGAAUUUUGACUAUAGUUAUUGGCAAUAUAAAAGACGCAUUGAACUCAACUUUGUUUUGUAUCGAUGAAAAGUGAAAGACUGCUCUUGCUAGAAGAGAAAUACUUAAGGGACUUGCUAGCCAAGUAAGAAUUGGUCUCAGAAUUAAUUGAAAGAUACUUUAUUAGAUCAUUUAAAUAUAAGUUUUAAAUUUUUUUUUGAGUACAUCAAUAUAUUUUUACACCAAAAGAUUGGAGAGUUCGGCUAAACCACACAAUGGACAACCUAAUUUGGUAUCGAAUUCGGCAUCCACAAGAUUUGAACCUAAAACCUUUCACUUCUAAAUGAAGAAGAAUAUUAUGAUACUGUAGUACUAAGGGGCUAUAAGUGUCAAUUAGAUACUUAUGAUAACUGAGUAACUGAAUGGUUCGUAACAAUGCACUAGGAAUGUAGUAUUUUGAAGGAGAGCUUUGAUCCACAUUUUCUAGAGCGUUUACAUGUAUAUAUAAGGUUAAGAUUCGGAGACACUCAUUUUUGAAACAUAUUUUAACACAAGUUUUCGUGGCUUUCAUUCUGUAAUUUUUUUUUCAAGGAUCUCAAUCGUUUAUAUUUCAAUUCAUCAUUCAUAGAUCUUUCUUGUAAAAAUUUAGACAAAUCCAAACUCAUUUUGACAUUUAUUGGUAGUGAAGAAAAAAGCCGAUACGAUUCUACAAAGAUACACUAAAUUUAUGCAGUUGCACGAUGAGCACAAAGUGAACUAUUCUUUCGCCUUUUACUAAAGAAACACUGAAUUUGAUCCAAUGGUCAUAUGACUUCAGAUUUGGAUGAUUUUUUGAUAGAGAUGAUAUUUUAGGGAAGACAUAAAAUAUAAGACGGUUAGAUCGUUGAAAUACGUUAAACACACAAUAUAUAUAUACACACACACAGAGCUUAAGGGGAGGGAUCCCCAUUUUUUGGAAAAAAAUGGGGACACGCUCCCCACCGUUAGAUUGACUUUAAUGAAAUUGUGUGAUUGAGAUUGUGUGGCCUGUGUUUUAAUCUCAACCACACAAUUUCAUUAAAGUCAAUCUAAUGGUGAGGAGCGUGUCCCCAUUUUUUUGAAAAAAUGGGGAUCCCUCCCCUUAAGCAAUUCCUAUAUACAUAUAUAUUAUAUAUAUAUAUAUAUAUAUAUAUAUGUAUGUAUAUAUGUAGAUAUAUGUAUAUAUGUAUAUAUAUGUAUAUAGAGAGAGCUUAAGGGGAGGGAUCCUCAUUUUUUGAAAAAAAUGGGGAUUAGGUGUGGGGCCCACUUCACAUCAAAUUUCAACGAUUCGAACCGUCUAUUUUGUUAGUUUCGAUUCAUAGAUCAUCCUUGCAAAAUAUUAGCUAAAUUGGAAAUGUUUAAGACAUCUAAUUGGGUUCAAGGAAAUGAACGAAUACUUUGUUAUAUAAGAAAAUAUGAAAUUUGAUAUUGAUAAUUAAAUAGGCAAAUGGUUUCGGAUUGAAUUGAAUUUUUGCAAGUAUGAUCUAUGAAUCGAGACUAACAAAAUAGACGGUUCGGAUCGUUGAAAUUUGAUGUGAAGUGGGCCCCACACCUAAUCCCCAUUUUUUUCAAAAAAUGGGGAUCCCUCCCCUUAAGCUCUCUGUAUGUAUAUAUAUGUAUAUAUGUAUAUAUAUGUAUAUGAAGGCUUUAAGGGAAGGGAUCCACAUUUUUUUUUAUAUAAAUAGGGAUCUGUUGUGGGGCCAUACCACAUCGAAUUUUAACGAUUCGAACCGUCUAUUUUUCAAAUUGCAUCUCAUAGAUCAUUCUUGCAAAAUAUUAGCCAAAUCGGAAAUAUUUAAGACAUCUAAUUGGGUUCAAAGAAAUUAAUGAAUACUUGUUAUAUAAGAAACAAUGAAAUUUUACCUUGAUAAUUAAAUAGGCUAAUGAUUUCGGAUUGAAUUGAAUUGUUGCAAGAAUGAUCUAUGAAUCGAGACUUUCGAAAUAGACUGUUCGGAUGAAGUUCGAUGUGAAGUGGGCCUAUGGAUUGUUCAAAAAAUGUGUCUCCCAAUCCUAAUCCAUAUAUAUGUUAUAUAAACAAAAUUGACCCUUUAAAGCUCACUAUUAUGUUUUUCAUGCAAUUUUCCUUUAAAAUUGUUGGACAAAAUUAGAUAUACCAAGUUAAGGCUUUUUAUAAUGGCGAUUCUGUUGAAUAUUUAAUCAUACUUAUAUUACUAACAUAUAAUAAUAUUCUUUUUUACCUGUAACUGAAGGGUUUUUAAGUUUUUGACUCAUAUGAAUGGUGAUGACACAUUAUAUUUAUUUGAGUUUGAGUUAGAAAUCUAGAUAAUUGUAUGUUUGACUCUGAAUAAAUAAUUAAAACUUAAAAUUAUGUAAUUGAUGCAUUAUUUAGGAGUUCAAUUAUCUGCUAUUUUUUAGGGAGAAAGAGGCAUAAAUAGUAGUAGUUCGAACAAAAAAACAUAAUUGGACUCACUUAAAAUGUAGCCUAUGAUUUUGGGCCUCUAUCUAAAAACCUUAAUAUAAUAAUAUAUGAAUACAUAUCUUCGCCGCCAAUGGUACACCAGCACACUUUUUAGCUAUGGCCCUUCCAAUGCACUCUUGAUCUGAAUCUAGAGAAGAAGCAUUACCAUCUGGUAAUGCUUCACCCUUUAAUACAGACCAACAAUCCUCCACCGAUAGGCCCUUCAAAUCACACCUCGGCAUUGUCUCAGUGAUUGAUGCAACCUUAGCACUACGGGUAGUAACAAUGGCAAUGCUUCCGGGACCUGAAUUGAGUUUCGACAAACAGUCCAUAAACUCCCUCCAAAAAUUCUUCUCUUCAUUCCAAACAUCAUCAAGUAUCAGAAUAUAUCUCUUGUCUGUCAACCUUUCUUUGAGGUCAUUCAGCAAUGCUUCCCGAGUUGUAAGUCCUGUCCUGUUUGAGUUAAGGGAUUCUAACAUCCGAUUUAGAAUCGAAUUAACCUCAAAAGUGUCGGAUACACACAACCACAUUUUUUCAACAAAAGGCGUACGAAUAGCAUCAUGAUUGAAUAUUGAUUUUGCCAAAGUCGUCUUUCCGAGUCCUCCCAUUCCCACAACGGCCAUAACCGAAAGGUUAUUUUCCUGAUUCUUGGACAUCAAGAUUUUAAUGAUAUCCGACACAAUUUUCUCCCUUCCAAUGAUCUUGUCAUACUGACCGAAGCUCGAGUCAGUUUCUCUGUUCCUCAUAAUUGGAGGAGGGCUAUGAUCUACUGGCCUUACAACUAAGCCAAUGGAAGGUGCCUCACUCUUGAGACCCGCCAGUGACGCAUUGAUGUUCUUAAUCUUUUGUGCCAUCUUUUGACGAAAUAAAAUGGGAUUGGAAAGCGAAAAGAAGUCAAGUACCUUCUUCUUCAUGUGGUUUUGAAUUUCUACUUUACGCCGGAGAACGUCGUAGUUGAUGUCCUCCAAGACGUCAUCGGCAUCGUGAGCUACGUCUUUCAGUUUCUUGACCCAGUUUCUGACUGCCAUGCUCCGAUCCUGUGGUUGGUGGGCAACAUCGCCUAAGUACUGUUCAAUUUCCUCUAACGAUACAGCAAGCUCAGUUGCUUCUUUUUUAAAAUCCUCGGAAAAGACAGAUUUCUUGAGCAGCAAGCGAACCGACCGACUUCAGUAUUCCCUCCACCGGAUAAGUGAUGAGACCUUGUAGCACAUCCAUACUCGCGCGAGAAAGGGAGAUUAGAGAGUAGAAAGCAGAGAACUGAGAGAAAGCCAAGGAAGGACACAAGAAGAGCGAAUAAGAUGAAUGAAAGGCUUAACAAUAAUUCAAGAAAAUGUGGUAUAAGAAGAAAGGACCCCUUAUAAUUGACGCCACUUACCUGUGAGCGUCAACAUAAUGUUCAAGAGCAAUAUUAACCCAUCUUAUCAGCAAAGAUUCUUUCUACAACUUUAGUAAAUAGUGGAGGCGGACUUUGAUUAGUCAAUAUUUAUUGGUCUUCCAUGGAUUUUUGUCAGGACUUAGUACUGGUGACUAUUCAACCCUACCCGGUCCUGUCACUUCAUCUUCUACAUGAUUUCGCGUAGGCAGUGGUAUUUACACAUUUAACUUUACUUUUCAUUCUUAAUUUUACUGAAUGAAUUGAAAAAGAAUAAUUAUACAAAAUUAACAAAAAUGUGUCAGAAAUAAAAAUGAUUGUGUGAAUAAGACUUUCACAUAAAAUGUGUUUUCUUUUACACAAUCGAGCUAGAAACUUGUCUCUUACACAUCGAAUUGACUAUGGUAAACCUAAACCUAACGACAAAAUGCGGUAGCUAUUACGAUCAAACGCUAGGAAUUCGUCUCCAACCCUACACAUAUCUGAUAAAGAGCGAUUAAAUUGGUCUUGGUUUUAGCAGUUUAUACAUACGUCAAAUCCAACGAAAUCAAACCAAACUAAUUAUAGUUUGAUUUAGUUCAACCUAAAAUUGCAUUUUUUUUUCAUUAUAAAAGUCAUACCAAACUUCUUAGAUUGAUUUUUAUACAACGAUAUAUAUACAGAGAUAAAAGUUAAAUCAAAACUUUUUGGAUUGGGGUGUAGUAUAAAUUUGUAUUGAACUCUUCAUUCAUGAAUUUCAAACUUAAGACCUAUUAUUUAUAAGUAAAGAAAAUUAUUGUUAGAUCAUAAUAUUAAAUGACACCCUCUUGGAUGGUUUAGUUUGAACAGUAUUUUCAUACAACGAUAUAUUUACGUUAAAUUGAGAUAAAAUGGACAAGAAUACUCUCCGAAUCUCUAUUUAGGAACUUCCACCACUAUCUCUGAGAGCUUAUUUAAAGAUUUUAAAGAAAUAUUUGGGUCUUUAAAAGAAUAUUGUUUUUUAUGAAAAGUUCUUAUAGUGUAAUCUUCAGAUUAAUAUAAAAACUAAAAUAUUGAAAAAUUAUUAUUCAUGGAUGAAAAAACCUAAAAAAAUAUCUCUACCCUUAGUUUUUCAACAAUUAAAAAAAAAUUACGUGAAAAACCAAAAAUGAAAAUUUCACGUGGGUGGGAAUCGUGGGAUCAACAAACAAGGUAAAAGACAAAAAACCAACUGGUGUGGGUCACUUUUCUCCAAAAUCAACAGAGGCCCACUAUACAAUUUUCACAUUUGAGAUUUUCUUUUGAAGUAUUUAGCGAGUUUUUAUCAAGGAACAAAAUGCCGAUAAUAUCGGUGAUAUUUCGCCGAUAUUAUCGGUUUUUCAGGGUACCGAUAUUUUAAUAGGUAUCCAAUGGGUUUUCGUCAAAAUAUUGCGAUAUUUCCGAAACUAUCGCGAUAUUUUGGAACUGUGCUACUCGGAGAAGAACGCCGGAGCUUCUACAGCUCCGGCCGAUUACAAACGCAAACCUUAGACUCCGAUCUAAUUACCAACGUGAAGAGGAAAGAGAGAGGAGUAAGUUUAUACCCUUGGUUCGCCGUGAAAUGGCUGAAGGUUUUCGGAAAGCUCCUUAACAGUCACGGGUUCGCCGGAGUUGGGUGAGCUUUCCCUUGACCUGAUCUCGUUCCAUAACACACACAUAAGCUUACCUAACUGGAGAAAAUGAAGAAAACUCACCGGAGGUUUCUGGGUUUCGUCAAUCUUGCAGAGACAAGAGGAAGAGAGAGAAAGACGAGGUUUUGAUGGUGAUGCCGUCUACGGAACGAUGGUGUGGGUGCCGUGUACUAGGGUAAUCAUGGGAGAAAGAGUGAGAGUGAUGAGAGGGUUUCGAGAGAGAAGAGAGUGUGCAGAGAAGGAAAGAAAGAGAAGAAGAAAGAAAGGGGGUCUCGGGUAGGAUCUGGUUGAUCUCGGUGACGAUGGUGAUGAAGCCAGAGGAGGAAGAGGAGGAGGGAAGGCGGCGGAGGGAGAAGGAGUAGGAGGAAACGAAGAGGGUUUUGCAGGGGCGGAGAUUGCGAAGAGGGAGAUGAGGGCGAUGAGGAGGAGGAGGGAUCGUUUACUCGUUCUCUCUGUCUUCUCUUCUUUCUCGUUUCAAUUGGCAAUUUAGGGAUUUAAGCAAGUUUUAGGCCCCCAAAUCAUCUACUUAUAUUGCCCUAAAAAACUCCAAGUAAUUACAACAUCGUAUUAGAAUUGUAAUUGAUCCUUGUUAGAUUUGGUUUAGAAAUUCUAUGUAAUUUAGUGAUUGUUUCAUAUUAGGUUUAGAUUUGAAUUUUUUACUCCAUUCAGAUUUUAAAGGAUUAUAAUAGAUUUAAAAAUUUAUGAAUUUUGAUGAAGUUUAAUAAUUUUUAAAACUUUUAUGUAAAAUUUUAAGUGAAUUCCCUCAAAUUUUCAGGGAGCGAUUUGAGAAUGUUUAAAAUAUUAUGUGAAAUAUUUCUAAUUUUUUCGAGUUUCCCAACUUUUUAAAAAUCUCUUCGAAUCAAUUUCUAAAUGAAUACAUUUGGAAUGUAUGAAUAUCUUAAAAAUCAUGAUCGAAUACCCAAAAAACUUUAAAGAAUCACUUAAAAUCCUGAUUAAAUACCCUUAGAUUUUUAAGGAGAAUUAAAAUGUUUAUAAGCCCCAAUUGGAUGUACCGCUUAAUUUAACUAAUUGACACAACACAACAAAACUAGUUAAGAUUACAAAUUAACACAAAAGACGACUUGAUGCGAGGUCAUAUCUAAAAAACUUGCCGCAAUAAGCCCCAAUUGGUGUGUUUAAACUUCUUUCAUUAAUUACUACAUAUUUUCUACACUCACAUGUUUGUCAGCUCGCUAUAUAAUCAACUUGAUAAUGUUAAAUCCAUCAUGCAAUGCAUUUCCUUCCAAUUUUUUGUGAUAAACUAAUAGAUAAUUGACUAAAUAAACAUCCUGCAAAGUUUUUCAAUAAAAAAUUUCCAAGUUUUUCUUACAAUUUUCGUGGUUUCCAUGUAAUUUUUAUCGAUAUCGAUAUUAUCCCGAUAUUUCCAUCGAUUUUCCGUGUUUUCGGACUACCGAUAUUUCCGAUAUUACCGAUAUUUAAUACCUUGGUUUUUAUAUAGGGAGUUUUAACGAAAAACCCACGGUACUGUUCACUUUAACGAAAAACCACAUUUUUACACUAAAAAGUCAAACCUGGUACUAUUCACUUUACCUUUUAUUUUGUCCUUAUCAUUAAAACUCAAAGUUUUCAAGCUUUUUUCAUUAGUUUUCCUUUUUAUAUAUUUGAAUAUUUUUUGACAAAAAAAAUAUUGGAAUAUUUUAAAGACUUUAUUUUCGACUCUUUAAAUACUUUUUGUCUUUAUGUUUAGAGAUUGUACUAUUAUAAAGACUUUGUUUAGAUUCUCUAUUGGAGAUGUUCAAACAUGACAAAAAGGUGAAAGUAGAGCAAGACCACAUAAAUAUAAAUUCAUCUUAUCUGUAAUCUCUUUCGACAACUUUAGAUGAUAGUGUAGACCCAACUUUAACAAAGUAAAUUAAAGAUAUUUAUUAAAAAAUAAUAACAACUUCGUUAGUACAUUCAAAAGUGUAUGUAUGAUAAGAAGAUCCUAAGUAUUCGUUUUUCAGUACUAACGAGAGUCAUCAGAUUGAAAUACCUCCAAGUAAUUGUAAACGAUUCGAAUUCACGGAACAACUAUACAAAUUCAACAUAUGUCAUUUGGUUUCCAAGUUGAUCACUACGUGUAUUUCAAUCAAGGAUGAAAAAAUCGAUAAUAUCGGCGACAUCGUUUUUUUGAAGUUCCGAAAUUUUUUUAACUAUCCAACCUAUUUUCAUCAAAAUAUCGCGAUAUUAUCGAUAAUACCAAUAAUAUCGCGAUAUUAUCGAUAAUACCAAUAAUAUCGCGAUAUUUUCGAAAUUAUCGACAAUAUCGUGAUAUUUUAUUAAAAAAAUACUUAAAUAUGUUGAGAAAACUCAACACAUAGUUAACUUGAUCAUGGCCCAAAGGCCAAACAAGUUUUGGUUAUCUCUCCAGGGAAGUGAGUUUUAUAGCAAAAAUUCAUUUCUCACUUCCUUGCAUGGGCGAUGUGGGACUCGCCCAAUGGGGGAAAAAAUCAAAAUUUCGGCCGAAAUUUUACACUCACUUUAAACGGCCAUAACUUUGUCAAAACUCAACGAAAUCAAGCAAGACAAAAACUAAAGUUGUAGCCCUCGAAGAGACUAAGAGAAUGGUACCUCACACUAUGUCUUAAUCGUAGUGGUUUGGCCGGAAAAUGCCUCGAAAGUCACUGAGGUCGCUGAGGUCGUCGGAAACUGGGUAAGAUUCAAAUGAGUAUAACUUUUUCAAUACGCAACGAAAUUGAGUGAAACAAAAAGGAAAGUUGUAGCCCUCGAAGAGACGAAGAUAAUGGUACCUCACACGAUGUCUGAAUCGUCGUGGUUUGGCCGGAAAAUUCCUCGAAAGUCACUGAGGUCGCUGAGGUCGUCGGAAACUGGGUAAGAUUCAAAUGAGUAUAAUUUUUUCAAUACGCAACGAAAUUGAGUGAAACAAAAAGGAAAGUUGUAGCCCUCGAAGAGACGAAGAGAAUGGUACCUCACACGACGUCUGACUCGUUGUGGUUUGGCCGGAAAUUGCCUCGAAAUCUACUGAGGUCGCCGGAAACUGGGUAAGAUUCAAAUGAGCUUUUUCAAUACGCAACGAAAUUGAGUGAAACAAAAAGGAAAGUUGUAGCCCUCGAAGAGACGAAGAGAUUGAUACCUUGCACGUCAGCCCAAAAUUCAAAUUGACACACUCCUAGCUUCCAAAAUUCAAUACUUUUUACUUUAUAUCAAGUUGAAAAAACAUAAUCGGCAUCCAAAUUAAAGUUUAAUCUUAUUCAAUGUAUUGAUUUUCAAUCGUUAAUUGAUAUACUAUAAUUUGGAACUUCAACGCCUAGACGCAUGCUUAUGUGUAAGAAAUUUAAAUUGUCAAAUUCGGCACAUUAUUCUUCAUCAUUUUAUUCACUUCCCUUUUUUUUUUUUUUAAUAUCCUAAAUAAAACCUCCAAAUAUUGUACUAAUUAAUUAUAUAUAAAUGAUUAUGGUGUGUUUAAACUUCUUUCAUUAAUUACUACAUAUUUUCUACACUCACAAUGUUUGCCAGCUCGGUAUAUAAUCAACUUAAAUCAGUUAAAUCCAUCAUGCAAUGCAUUUCCUUCCAAUUUUUUUGUGAGAAACUAAUAGAUAAUUGACUAAAUAAACAUCCUACAAAGUUUCAUUAAAAAUUUCCAAGUUUUUCUUACAAUUUCCGUGGUUUCCAUGUAAUUUUUAUCGAUAUCGAUAUUAUCCCGAUAUUUCCGUGUUUUCGGACUACCGAUAUUUCCGAUAUUACCGAUAUUUUCUUCCUUGCUUUCAAUAAUAUCUUGUUUAGAAUUUGUUUGGAUUUGCAGAUCCUCCAUCUUCUAACAUAGAGGAAAUUUCUCCAACACUGCCUUCCUUGUAAUUGUUGUAAUGAGAUGCGUUGUUGUUUUCAUGGGGCAGGUCCUAAUGAAUCCUAUAGCUAUUGGACCCCAUCCCACUUGUGUUUGGCAUCGGUGGCACCAUUGUGUUUGGCAAUCAAUGCAAAAUUACGUACAAUAAUUUAAGUAUCAAACAAAAUGUAAACUUCAUUUUGAACAUAUGGAGUAGGGUUUGUUGCAAGUAUAUUAUUGGAGAUCGAAUAAUGACAUGAGACUAAUAAUAAUUUCUGGUGUAAUUUGUUAAUUUUCUGAGUAUUCCACUGACUUUUUGGAAGGCUGGCUGGUGGAGGAAGCUGCUUUUAGCUUUUUAUUACUUCUUGAAACUACCCGCUUCGGAUUUGAAUUUACCAAAAGCAACUUUCAGCUGUUAACUGCAAUUUAUGCAGCUGAUAAGAGAUAUAACCCACUCUACACCUCGUAACGAAAAAAAAAACCCUUCUAUAGACACUUUGAUCACGUCAUCUAUAGAGUUAUUUAGUGUAAGAGCUUUUCUAAUACGUUGAAACUCAUUUUCAAGUGAGAGACAUCAAAUUUGACUCACAUAAAUAGUAAAUUUGAAAACAUUUUUUGUCGAAAAAAAAUAUGUUUGUUACUUAAUUGUUAUAUGUUGGAUGUCGAGUUUCUAUUAGAAAAUAUUUCUUGUAUAUAAAAGGAAAACAAUUUUAAUUUCAUUAUGUACACAUGUCAAUAUCACUGGCAAUUUGACCAAAUGGCUACUAUUUGGUGUUUUAACUGCAAAUGCAUGAAAUCAGUGAGAGAUUUUUCAAUGUGAUCGAUACACAAAAUAAUAUAUCACGUGUCACUAUAUAAAUUUUUAUGUAUGUUAAAAAGUUAAUAACUUAAAAAAUAAAAUUUCUCACAAAUUCUAUAAAAACAUGUGAUGUACCAUUCGUGUUCCGAUCACAAUGAAAAAUUUCUCGAAACCUUCACGCUUGCUUCCUCAAUCACCAACAUUGACCAUUCUCUCUUUCCCAUUAAAAAAAUUAAUAAAUAUGGCGUCAGUCAUACAAAGUCAAGCUUUCUAAACUCUUUUAUGGACAGAUGCGGAUUUUAGGGUUCAAAGCUUAACCAACGGGUAAUUCGGAUCAUUUAACUUGAUUUUAAUAGUACUAAUUAACUCAUUCUGCUGCCUCAUUUUACGCAAUCUAAAGACUUCAACGUCUUUUGGACCUAAAUUUUCUGGUCCUUAGGCUCUGAACCCUAAUGUCAGAAGGGGAACAAAUUCCUCUUUAUUAUCCAUCUGUCAAAUAUUCAACUGUUUGCUUUUAGCUCGUUGUCCUAGUUUCUAUAUUCCUCAUCCUCCUCUAGCUAGCUUUUAGAGUCCGGCAUCCGAAUCACAUGUCCAUGCGGCCCUAGACACAUUAAAGCUUCCCUACUCCAUGUAAUGACUCCACUCCCCUCUCCCUCCACCUUCAUGGCCCAACACCUUUGGGUUUCGGACAAAAUAAUUUAUACAUCUAGAGAGGUUCUUGUGUCUGAAACCCCAGCUAAGUUUAAUAGAGGAGGUGGGAUCAUAAUUUGGUGUAUCGUGGGCCACACAAUCAGGGAGAUAUACUGCUUUUUUAGUGUCCAAGUCAUAGGGAUCAGGUGGAUUGGUUGCUCUAAACUAGAAUUUUAUCCUCAAUUUGACAAAUUAACAAUGGCUAAUUGGCUAUGCCGCUCCCUCUCUAUGUUGUUAAUAGUGUCAAUAUUGUCCCGUUACAUCGAUUGAAGAAAAACCCAUAUCAGGAAUAAUAUGUAUAAACAAAAUAUGAUGCUUUAUUUGAGAAUUUAUUUGAGAAUCAUGGCCUUGGAUGAGUUUACGAUAGAUAAAUACCACAAAGUAUAGAUAGUCAAAAGUUCAAACAUUAUUGACGGAUGGUGAAUGUGAAUGAUAAUUCAAGAGUAGUGAGAAAGAUGAUUGGUAUUUAGUCUUUGGUCACUAUUAUCUUGAAAGUUGAUGACCAAAAUGACAACUGCCUCCCCUUCUUUUGGCUGCAACAGCAGAAAUAGGAUGCUUACAUGGAACCGGCAUUUGUGGAAUAUGAACAUCUGGAAAUUACUCCACUACGUAAGACAAGAUCAUCACUUUCUGUGAUUGCAGGUUGGCCAGUAAAACUCUAAACAUCAAUUUUUUUUCAUUCAACCUUUGAUAAUUAUAGUACCUGCAGACCAAAUAAAGUAAUCAUAGAUCACUCACUGCUCAUAGAUUUGUUUUUUUUUUUUAAAUCAAAAUUCUAAGAACACGAAAUAUGAACAUACUCAGGAUCGAGAUACCCUGCUGUGCUCAUGACCGAAGCCACCACGAGUUUCACUGUCACUGGGAAAAGCCAUGGACAGACCGAGAUCUGCUAUUUUUGCGUCCAAGUUUUCACUUAAGAGAAUGUUGGCAGUAUUUGCGUCUCUAUGCACAAUACGUGGAUUGCACCUUUAUGCAAGGAAAUAGUCCUGUGAGCCAAAUUUCACAAUAUACAUAAGUUGAAUUAGGCAUAUGAACUUGCGCAAGUAUAUUAGCGUACGAAAUAUCACGAAGCACCAACCUAACGCAAUAUCUAGUGUUAUCCGAAGUCUCAUUUCCCAAGUCGCAUGUGACCUUCUAUCUGCAUUUUUAGCCAUUGACGUGACACUUCAAUAUUUUGAAACCCUCUGAUGGAGGACAAUGCUUAUAAAAUAUAGAACUACACACCUGAGAGAUAUUCUUUUAGGUUUCCUUUAGGCAUGUACUCGUAUGUAAUAUGAGUACCAGGUAGUAUCAUCACAGUAUCCAAUAAAUGAGGCCAAGUUUCUAUGAUGUAUUCUCAUCACGAGCUCAACCUGCAGCAACAAGGAACACAUCAAUCUCUAACCAACGAGACAAGGCACUUGCAAUUCCAAGGAAUUUAAAUCCUAACUGCCAAACCUCUGUUUGGAACUCCCUAGCUCCUUGAGUUGACGAUGGAGAAAGUAUUUUAACCGCAACUUGAGUGCCAUCUUCCAAGUAGCCAUGGUAUACAAUCCCAAGUCCUCCUUUCCCAAUUUCAGUUUGAAAGUUUUCGGUGAUUUCUAAAACCUCGUCGUAAGUAAACUGGGACUUCAUUGAUGCUACUGGUGUGCUACAGGUGUUUUGUUAUGUUUUUCUCCAUCUGCAGCUUAAGGACAAAAAGUUAUGAGUGCAGGCUAACUGCAUAGGAAUACCACAACGCCAUAGUAGCAGCGCUGUUUCUAACUAAAUAAGUAUCAAGGGUAUAAAAUGGUACCUGGUUUUCUUAUUCUUCUCAGCUUCCAGACCAGUAAGAGCACUAUAACUUGAAGAAGGGCCAUUGUUGAAAGUAAUGAUCCAAGUAUUGUUCAAAGUAAUGAUCCAAGUAUUGGAACAACAAUGAUCUUCUUGUACUUGCUUGAAUCUGAGCUAAAAAGAACUUAUCAGCAGAUAGAAAAUAUAAAUCUGAAGGACGCAAUACCAUUCGCUUUCGUUAAAGAAAAUGCUAACCUAUUCAGCACUCUCCAUGAACGAAACUUGCACAAAGCAGUAGGACGAGGAAACCAGUUGAGAUCUUCAUCUCUCUGUCUCAUUGCAGCCUAUGAACUACCUGGUAUUUAAAAUGUGUGACAAUGUCCCGACCAAAAAAACAGAAAAACGUAUAUGACAGUGUGGAUUUGUAACCACAUGCCGCACAACUUGCAGAGUACAUACGUGAUCCUUAUUACAUGGGGAUGCUUAGUCUACGUCAAUCAAAACCUUCCCCAGAAAACUAAAUCCCUAAUAUCAGAAUUUCAAAAACCCUAACCCUUGGGAUCCUGCUGACAGCGCUGGGGCUGGGCUGACGGUGCUGGGGUGACGGCAGUGGGGUGAUGGCGGUGUGGCGACGAUGUUGCUCCAAGCGGUGGCGUGGCGACCAGACCGGUGUUCUGGGCUUCUGGGCUUCUGGCGCGCGAGAGAAGAAGAAGCAAGAAGGCAGAAGGCAGAAGGCAGAGGUAGACGAAGGCGAUCGAAUUCGAAGGUAUGGUAUGAAGACUGAAAAUCCUUACCCAAACGGCGUUGUUUUGGGUUUGGAUGGUUUUCAAAAAACAAAAAAAAGGGUAUGACAAGGCGCCUGGACGCCCUGAGGCGCGCCUCCGCCGCCUCGGCGUCUCCGGCGAAGCAUUUCGCCUACUCCAGAAAAACUGAGGCGUUUGCCUCACCGCCCAGCCUCAAAGGCGCCCUAGGCGCGCCUCGAGGCGAGUUCUUUAAAACAUUGCUUAGAACUUAUUCGAAUGCACAUUGGACGUUAUAACAUAUACAGAAUGACCACGGAUUCGUAAACAGUUGCAAAUGUACUUCUAUUUACUCAUAUUUAAGGACCAAAAAGCUUAAUUUCCACAAAAGUCUAAAGUGCUGUUCCAAAAAGAUUGUGAAAGCAAAGAAAUUAAUGUUCUUCCACGAGGCUAGAAAGUGUAUGACUUUGCAAACUAAAUGCAACUAAGACAAAAGAACAGAACCAAUCACGAAUUACUGUUUCGGGAAAGAAACCUACACUUGACUGUAUGAAAUGCGGGAAAUCUUGGGCCAGUCGAGCAGUUGCUUCUUUUAAUUUAGAACACAACAGUAAAAUUUGGACUGGCUUCCCUACUGUCGAUAGAUACUUCAGGUUCCCACAACGGUGAGCAGAUAGAUCAUCGACACAUGUAAGGUCCCAUCAUCACUCUGGUAAGACCCUUCUGAAUCAAGUGCCAUUGUUGAUAGUAAUGAUCCAAGUAUUGGAACAACAAUAUUCUUCUUGAGCUUGCUUGAAUCUGAUUUAAAAAUAACUUAUCAGCAGACAGAAAAUAUAAAUUCUGAAGGACGCAAUGCCAUUCGCUUUCGUUAAAGGAAAUGCUAACCUAUUGGGCACUCUCCAUGAACAAACUUGCAGAGAGCAGUAGGACGAGGAAACCAGUUGAGAUCUUCAUCUCUCUGUCUCAUUGCAGCCUAUGAACUACCAGGUAUUUAAAACACGUGACAAUGUCCCGACCAAAAAAACAGAAAAACGUAUGAGUGUGGACUUGUAACCUCAUGCUGCCUGCACAAUGAUCCUUAUUACAUGGGGAUGCUUAGUGUACGUCAAUCAAUGGAUAAUGCAAUGUUCAUACUAGAGCAAUUUGGUCAAGCCAACGUAUUUUCUAGUCAAAGCAUUUCAAACAAUGUUCCUGUUAGGGUUAUGUGCUGUGAUACAACUCGAAGUAUUGGACAAAAGUGAUUAAGUUGAGGACAAUAUAGAUACAUACUAGUAUGUAGCCUACACUGAUUCACUGCACAACAGAUCCCACACCCAUUUUUAGCCCACCAAGUUUUGAACAUGGGAUGAAUGAGAGUUUGUAGCUACCUAGCAUGGUGCAGUCAUGGAACCUGCAUUUGUGGAAUCUGAACAUCUGGAAAUCACUCUAGGUGUACUAUGGUAUGAUGAAAUCGUACAAAACCCAUGCUGCAGUCAUGGAACCUCCAUUUCCAAACGUUGUGUUAGUUGACACGACACAGCACAAAACCCAUGCUGCAGACCAAAAAAAAGUAAUCAUAAACCAACUGUUCUUACAUUUGUAUUCAUAACAUGAUAAAAAAUCAAAUAGAACAAGGAAAUUUGAACAUACUCUAGAUCAAGAGAACCCGCUGUGCCCAUGACUGAUGUCACCACACAAGUCCCAUUAUCACUGGAAAAAACCAUGGACAUACUGAAAUCUGCUAUUUCCACAUCCAAGUUUUCGUUGCGCUGGGAUUGCCUCCUCUCUUAAUGCAAUUCUCUUACUGGAUUCCCUUCUUAAAUAGGCUGAAAUACAAAUCCAAUUCAUCUGUGAUUAACGUAUUUUACAUAACUUGACGUGCUUUUAUUCGAGGAUGAAAGAUGGAAGAAAGAAGUUACAUAUUAACUAAACAGAUUACCUUCCAUAAAAUUGGUCUAAUAAAACUGUGUUAGUUUGGUGAACAGAUUACCCUGUACAAAAGUGUAUCUGCACCAUAACAAUCAAAUGGACCUAAGACAAGAGAACAGAACAAAUCGUUAAUGACUGUUUCGGGAAAGAAACCUACACUUGACUGUUGGAAAUGUGAGAAAGGUUGCAUUUUCUUUAAAUUUAGAACACCACAGAAAAAAUUGUACUGGCUUCCCCACUGCUGUAGAUGCUUCAGAUUCCCAACAGCUGUGAAAAGAUAGAUCGUCCACACACGAAAGGUUCUGUCAUCACUCUGGCAAGAGCCUUUUGAAUCAUCGAGUGACAAUGAUUCCGAUUCUGACUAAUAUCCCGUUUACUGCAGAAAACUAGAGUGAGUGAACAAUAUUGGACAAAAUAUACAUGAUAAUUGAUUGGAAAUAAAAAUAAGGGCUCAAAAAAUAAAAAUUACCUCGGAUAACUGGAAUGUGAGAAAUCUUUGGCCAUUCUGGGCCGUCCUUGGUGCAUCUUUCCUUGAGACGGGGACACCUUUGGAUCUCUAGCUUAUGUAAUUUGGUUAGGCAUUGCAUAGCUUCGACCGUAGGCAGAUACAUCAGAUUCUCACACCAGGAAAUUUCCAACUCUGUAAGAGAUGUAAGGUUGCCCAACCAUUCUGGAAGAGCCUCCACACCAUCGAAAGCAGAAAUGGACAAAGAUGUUAGAGAAGUAGAGUGUUGAAUUGGCCGAGGCAGAGACUUGAGCUUAGGCCACCUGUACAAUGCUAAUUCUUCCAGUUUCGAUGGGACCUGAAAAUCUGGGAAAGAAUCGAGCUCUUUGCAGAAUAAAUCGAGCUCCUUCCAGUUUUGGUGUGAUACAAGUCAGAGAGACAAUCCGAAGUAUUGGACAAAAGUGAUUAAGUCGAGGAAAUAUAGAUACAAACUAGUAUUUAGCGUACACUGAUUCACUGCACAACAGAUCCCACACCCAUUUUUAACCCACCAAGUUAUGAACAUGGUAUGAAUGAGAGAGUUUGUAGCUACCUAGCAUGGUGCUGUCAUGGAACCUGCAUUUGUGGAAUCUGAACAUCUGGAAAUCACUCUAGGUGAACUAUGGAAUGGUGAAAUCGUAACACAAGUUUCUUCAUUCAAGCCAGUUUCUUCAUUUGAGCCUUGAGUUCUUUCUGGAUGCCUGGACACCUUCAUUUCCAAACAUUGUGUUAGUUGACAUGACACAGCACAAAACCCAUGCUGCAGACCAAAAAAAGUAUUCAUAAACCACUCACUGUUCAUACAUUUGUAUUCAUAACAUGAUAAAAAAAAUCUAAUAGAACAAGGAAAUUUGAAAAUACUAUAGGUCAAGAUAACCCACUGUGCCCAUGACUGAUGUCACCACACGAGUCCCAUUAUCACUGGAAAAAACCAUGGACAUACUGAAAUCUGCUAUUUUCGCGUCCAAGUUUUCAUUGCUCUGGGAUUGCUCUCCUGUCUAACUGCAAUUCUCUUACUGGAUUCCCUUCUUAAGUGAGCUGAAAUACUAAACCAAUUUAUCUGUGAUUAACGUAUUCUAGAUAACUCGACAUGAUUUUAUUCAAGGAUGAAAGAUUGAAGAAAAAAGUUACAUAUUGACUAAACAGAUUACCUUCCACAAAAUUGGUCUCAUAAAACUGUGUUAGUUGAGAGAACCUGCACAGAGUGAGAAGAAACACAGCCUUCUACAAAAGUGUAUCUGCACCAUAACAACCAUGCACAACAAGCCUUAGAACAUAUUCGAAUGCACGUUGAAUGUCGUAAGUUAUACAGAAUGGCCACAGACUUGCAAACACUUGCAAUUUUACUUCUAAUUAGUAAUUACUAAAAGCUUAAUUUCCACAAAAGCCUAAAGUCCUACAACAACAACAACAACAACAAAGCCUUUUCCCACUAAGUGGGGUCGGCUAUAUGAAUCCUAGAACGCCAUUGCGCUCGGUUUUGUGUCAUGUCCUCCGUUAGAUCCAAGUACUCCAAGUCUUUUCUUAGAGUCUCUUCCAAAGUUUUCCUAGGUCUUCCUCUACCCCUUCGGCCCUGAACCUCUGUCCCGUAGUCACAUCUUCGAACUGGAGCGUCAGUCGGCCUUCUUUGCACAUGUCCAAAUCACCGGAGCCGAUUUUCUCUCAUCUUUCCUACAAUUCCGGCUACUCCUACUUUACCUCGGAUAUCCUCAUUCCCAAUCUUAUCCUUUCUCGUGUGCCCAUACAUCCCACGAAGCAUCCUCAUCUCCGCUACACCCAUUUUGUGUACGUGUUGAUGCUUCACCGCCCAACAUUCUGUGCCAUACAACAUCACUGGCCUUAUUGCCGUCCUAUAAAAUUUUCCCUUGAGCUUCAGUGGCCUACGACGGUCACACAACACGCCGGAUGCAUUCUUACACUUCAUCCAUCCAGCUCGUAUUCUAUGGUUGAGAUCUCCAUCUAAUUCUCCGUUCUCUUGCAAGAUAGAUCCUAGGUAGCGAAAACGGUCGCUUUUUGUGAUCUUCGCUAGAUUGCUCCGGUCAUUAGUGUGGAUAAGUAUAUAAAUGGAUAGAGAUAGGAAAGCAAACACAAGAUGUACGGGGUUCACCCAGAUUGGCUACGUCCACGGAAUAGAAGAGUUCUCAUUAAUUGUGAAGGGUUUACACAAGUACAUAGGUUCAAGCUCUCCUUUAGUGAGUACAAGUGAAUGAUUUAGUACAAAUGACAUUAGGAAAUAUUGUGGGAGAAUGAUCUCGUAAUCACGAAACUUCUAAGUAUCGGAGUGUGGUGUCGUCUUGACUUGCCUUAUCUGUCUCAUAGGUAGAUGUGGCAUCUUCUCUGGAAGUACUCUUCCUCUAUCCAAGGGUGGUAUCUUUAACUGGUGGAGAUGCACAAGGUAAUGUAUCAAUUUCACUUGAAGCUUACUUGUAGUUUCAGGCUUGGUCAAGCGCGAUACAAACCAUGUAGUACGAGUCCCCCAAGUCGCCGAGCUAGGGGGUCUGCUGAAAGAGGUGACAGACAAGGUAAGCAAUCAGAGCUCCGACUGAUUGUUCACCUUCUCCCCAUCUUGCAGCAGCAUGAAGGAUAAAGAGAAGAAAAAUGAGAAGAGAUGAUAUGAGAUACUUUUGCUUUUGAAGAAGUAACUUUCCACAGGCUUAUUCUUGAAUUGAGCUGGAGGGUUUUCUGGUUUCCUCCAGAGUAUAAGGCCGACUGAAGAAUUUGAGGGUCAAAACAAGUCCAUCAAAUCUAGAGUACAUUCCACCCUGCUGAUAUGGGAUGCUUUUGCUUUUGACAGAGUAAUGGAUGUAUCGGCACGUGUGCUGUUACGCUUGUCUCCACAUGCUUCCUUGUAUCCUUCGCACUUGCCCUAUCUGUUCCUCAAGUAGAUGCGGAAUCUUCCCUGGAAACAUAAGAUGUUGAAGAUGAGUACUCGAGAGCAAUGCCAGGUAAGUAAUCAGGUAAGGGGUUCCAGGCAGUCAGUUCCUGGCUGGAAGCUUGAUUCCAAGUGCUGACUGAUUGCUCUCUUUCUCCUUGUCUUGCAGGUAAAAACAAGGCCAAAGGAAAAGACAGGGAAAAAGCAUGAUAUGGGAUACUCUUGCUUUUAACCCUGAUGAUAUGAGAUAUUCUUGCUCUAGUAUAGCUUGUUUGCAUAGGUAUUAUCGGGGGGAAGGAAAGCUGAAUAUUUCGAAAGGCUUCGUUGGGAGUGCCCUCUCAGAUAUGAUGAAGGGUUGAGCAUUUUUGCAGGUCUGCCUGUCUGUUGGGGAUGGAGGUCGACAUAUAUAGGAGUCUCCCUAAGAAGUAGUAAUGUUAUUCCUUUACCCUGCUUGGUCAUAGCACGGUAGUGGGAGCGGCCAGUUUCACAUGUUUUAACUCUGUCAGAGCACUUUGAGAAAGUGGUCUGUGGUAUCUGGCUCUCGAGAUUCGGAGAACGAUGCCUCUUCGAUUUUUGAGAAAGCAAUCAUGCUAGGGGUCUGGCUCUCGAGAUUCGGAGAGCGGUGUCUCUUCGAUUUUUGAGAAAGUAAUCAUGUUGGGAGUUUGGCUCUCGAGAUUCGGAGGGCGGCGCCUCUUCGAUUUUGGAGCAAGCAAUCUUGUUGGGAGUGUUGUCUCGAAUGUGAGUAAAGGUUGGGCAUGUUUGUUAGUCUACCUUGCCACGAAGCACAAAGGUUGACACACAGGGAUUUUCCAAUUAUCCAGCAAUGGUACUGUUCCUUUACCCUCUCUUCGAUUUUGAGAAAGUAGUCAUGUUGGGAGUCUGGCUCUCGAGAUUCGGAGGACGGUGUCUCUUCGAUUUUGGAGCAAGCAAUCUUGUUGGGAGUGUUUUCUCGAAUGUGAGUAAAGGUUGGGCAUGUUUGCUAGUCUACCUUGCCACGAAGCACAUAGGUUGACAAACAGGGACUUUCCAAUUAUCCAGCAGUGGUACUGUUCCUUUAUCCUUGUGGGUAAUAAUAUGGUAAUAAUAUGGUAGCUAGACCUUCAAAAUUUAUGUGUCUAAACUUUGUUAGUGCUACUUCUUUGCUAUUCUUUUACCUUUCUUGGUCAGAGCGAUGUAGUGGGAGCUGCAAGCUUCACGUGCUCAACUUUGGCAGAGAACUUUGGCAAAGUUAUCUGUGGUACCCAUGAGCUAUUGUUGCGUGUGGGAAGUGGGUGAUUGAACAGUAAGAUUCAUGUGCUUUCUACUUCACCAGAAGUCUUCGACAGAAUGCCCAUAAUUUCUGCAAAGCUGAGUGUGCGUGUGACAGGUGCUGACAAGGCUAGAAAAGUAGGUGCCUCUUCGAUUUCUGAGAUCGGCCCUCGUGGUCUCUAAGCAGCCCAGCUUUUGAGAAAGCGAGCGCCUCUUCGAUUGAUUCGGAGAACGAUGCCUCAUCGAUUUUUGAGAAAGCAAUCAUGCUGGGGGUCUGGCUCUCGAAGAUUCGGGGAGCAGUGUCUCUUCGAUUUUUGAGAAAGUAAUCAUGUUGGGAGUCUGGCUCUCGAGAUUCGGAGGGCGGUGCCUCUUCGAUUUUGGAGCAAGCAAUCUUGUUGAGAGUGUUUUCUCGAAUGUGAGUAAAGGUUGGGCAUGUUUGCUAGUCUACCUUGCCACGAAGCACAGAGGUUGACACACAGGGACUUUCCAAUUAUCCAGCAGUGGUACUAUUCUUUUACCCUCUCUUCGAUUUUUAAGAAAGUAGUCAUGUUGGGAGUCUGGCUCUCGAGAUUCGGAGGACGGUGCCUCUUCGAUUUUGGAGCAAGCAAUCUUAUUGGGAGUGUUUUCUCGAAUGUGAGUAAAGGUUGGGCAUGUUUGCUAGUCUACUUUGCCACGAAGCACAGAGGUUGACACACAGGGACUUUCCAAUUAUCCAGCAGUGGUACUAUUCCUUGACCCUUGUGGGUAAUAAUAUGGUAGCUAGACCUUCAAAAUUUAUGGGUCUAAACUUUGUUAGUGCUGUUUCUUUGCUAUUCUUUUGCCUUUCUUGGUCAGAGCGAUGUAGUGGGAGCUGCAAGCUUCACGUGCUCUACUUUGGCAGAGAACUUUGGCAAAGUUAUCUGUGGUACCCAUGAGCUAUUGUUGCGUGUGGGAAGUGGGUGAUUGAACAGUAAGAUUCAUGUGCUUUCUACUUCACCAGAAGUCUUCGACAGAAUGCCCAUAAUUUCUGCAAAGCUGAGUGUGCGUGUGACAGGUGCUGACAAGGCUAGAAAAGUAGGUGCCUCUUCGAUUUCUGAGAUCGGCCCUCAUGGUCUCUAAGCAGCCCAGCUUUUGAGAAAGCGAGCGCCUCUUCGAUUGAUUCGGAGAACGAUGCCUCAUCGAUUUUUGAGAAAGCAAUCAUGCUAGGGGUCUGGCUCUCGAAGAUUCGGGGAGCAGUGUCUCUUCGAUUUUUGAGAAAGUAAUCAUGUUGGGAGUCUGGCUCUCGAGAUUCGGAGGGCGGUGCCUCUUCGAUUUUGGAGCAAGCAAUCUUGUUGAGAGUGUUUUCUCGAAUGUGAGUAAAGGUUGGGCAUGUUUGCUAGUCUACCUUGCCACGAAGCACAGAGGUUGACACACAGGGACUUUCCAAUUAUCCAGCAAUGGUACUGUUCCUUUACCCUCUCUUCGAUUUUUAAGAAAGUAGUCAUGUUGGGAGUCUGGCUCUCGAGAUUCGGAGGACGGUGCCUCUUCGAUUUUGGAGCAAGCAAUUUUAUUGGGAGUGUUUUCUCGAAUGUGAGUAAAGGUUGGGCAUGUUUGCUAGUCUACCUUGCCACGAAGCACAAAGGUUGACACACAGGGACUUUCCAAUUAUCCAGCAGUGGUACUAUUCCUUUACCCUUGUGGGUAAUAAUAUGGUAGCUAGACCUUCAAAAUUUAUGGGUCUAAACUUUGUUAGUGCUGUUUCUUUGCUAUUCUUUUACCCUUCUUGGUCAGAGCGAUGUAGUGGGAGCUGCAAGCUUCACGUGCUCAACUUUGGCAGAGAACUUUGGCAAAGUUAUCUGUGGUACCCAUGAGCUAUUGUUGCGUGUGGGAAGUGGGUGAUUGAACAGUAAGAUUCAUGUGUUUUCUACUUCCCCAGAAGUCUUCGACAGAAUGCCCAUAAUUUCCGCAAAGCUGAGUGUGCGUGUGAUAGGUGCUGACAAGGUUGGAAAAGUAGGUGCCUCUUCGAUUUCUGAGAUCGGCCCUCGUGGUCUCUGGGGAGCCCAGCUUUUGAGAAAGCGAGCGCCUCUUCGAUUUCUGAGAUCAGCCUUCGAGGUCUUUGAGCAGCCCAACUUUUGAGAAAGCAAACGCUUAUUCGAUUUCUGAGAUCAACCCUCGUGAUCUCUAAGCAGCCCAGCUUUUGAGAAAGCAAACGCCUCUUCGAUUUCUGAGCAGGCGCCUCUUCGAUUUCUGAAGCUCCGUCGAGUGCAGAUUUUUAUAGGGGCUGGCAUUAAGUUCCAAAGCACACUUGAAUCUCCACCAGUAGAAGCUUCAUUCUUGCACUUCUAAGAUCUUGAUUUGUCCGACCUCUUCUCUCUUCAACACCUUUGAAAAUGUCUGGCCCCUCCGACCGUCAUUUUGACUUGAACCUUGUUCAAGAGGCAGCCCCGCCUUCUCCAGACAACAUAUGGCGCCCAUCCUUCGUCUCCCCUACUGGUCCUCUUACCGUUGGGGAUUCCGUGAUGAAGAAUGAUGACCGCUGCGGUGGUGGCCAGGAACCUUCUCACUCCCAAAGAUAACAGACUACUUUCCAAACGGUCUGAUGAGUUAGCUGUUAAGGAUUCGCUGGCUCUCAGUGUUCAGUGUGCAGGUUAUGUGUCUAAUAUGGCCCAACGCCUAUUUGCUCGAACCCGCCAAGUUGAAUCAUUGGCGGCUGAAGUGAUGAGUCUCAAACAGGAGAUUAGAGGGCUCAAGCAUGAGAAUAAACAGUUGCACCGGCUCGCACAUGACUAUGCUACAAACAUGAAGAGGAAGCUUGACCAGAUGAAGGAAACUGAUGGUCAGGUUUUACUUGAUCAUCAGAGAUUUGUGGGUUUGUUCCAAAGGCAUUUAUUGCCUUCGUCUUCUGGGGCUGUACCGCGUAAUGAAGCUCCAAAUGAUCAACCUCUGAUGCCUCCUCCUUCUAGGGUUCUGUCCAGUACUGAGGCUCCAAAUGAUCCCCAUCCGGUGCCUGCUCUUUCUGGGGCUCUACCGACUGCUGAGACUUCUCCUAAGCAACCUUUGUGAAAGCUCCCUCUUGUGUGUUUAUUUUGACUCAUGUAUAUGUACAUAUUUAUAGUUUAUCGGAGAUAUCAAUAAAUAAGCUUUCCUUCAUUUCAACGUAUUGUGUUAAAUACACCAAAGCCUUCUUCGCUAAGUUCUUUGAAUUUUCUUUUGUUGAAGCUUGUAUGUUGAAGCUUUCUGAGUGGAGCAUGUAGGUUGGGGUAGUGUUCCCUUAAUUUUCCGAGUGAGGAAAACUUCUCGGUUGGAGACUUGGAAAAUCCAAGUCACUGAGUGGGAUCGGCUAUAUGAAUCUUAGAACGCCAUUGUGUUGGAUCCUGUGUCAUGUCCUUCGUUAGAUCCAAGUACUCUAAGUCUUUUCUUAGAGUCUCUUCCAAAGUUUUCCUAGGUCUUCCUCUACCCCUUCGGCCCUGAACCUCUGUCCCAUAGUCGCAUCUUCUAAUCGGAGCAUCAGUAGGCCUUCUGUGCACAUGUCCAAACCACCGUAACCGAUUUUCUCUCAUCUUUCCUUCAAUUUCGGCUACUCCUACUUUACCCCGGAUAUCCUCAUUCCUAAUCUUAUCCUUUCUCGUGUGCCCACACAUCCAACGAAGCAUCCUCAUCUCCGCUACACCCAUUUUGUGUACGUGUUGAUGUUUCACCGCCCAACAUUCUGUGCCAUACAGCAUCGCCGGCCUUAUUGUCGUCCUAUAAAAUUUUCCCUUGAGCUUCAGUGGCAUACGGCGGUCACAUAACACGCCGGAUGCACUCUUCCACUUCAUCCAUCCAGCUUGUAUUCUAUGGUUGAGAUCUCCAUCUAAUUCUCUGUUCUUUUGCAAGAUAGAUCCUAGGUAACGAAAACGGUCGCUCUUUGGUAUUUCUUGAUCUCCGAUCCUCACCCCUAACUCGUUUUGGCCUCCAUUUGCACUGAACUUGCACUCCAUAUAUUCUGUCUUUGAUCGGCUUAGGCGAAGACCUUUAGAUUCCAACACUUCUCUCCAAAGGUUAAGCUUUGCAUUUACCCCUUCCUGAGUUUCAUCUAUCAACACUAUAUCGUCUGCGAACAGCAUACACCAAGGAAUAUCAUCUUGAAUAUGUCCUGUUAACUCAUCCAUUACCAACGCAAAAAGGUAAGGACUUAAGGAUGAGCCUUGAUGUAAUCCUACAGUUAUGGGAAAGCUUUCGGUUUGUCCUUCAUGAGUUCUUACGGCAGUCUUUGCUCCUUCAUACAUAUCCUUUAUAGCUUGGAUAUAUGCUACUCGUACUCCUUUCUUCUCUAAAAUCCUCCAAAUAAUGUCUCUUGGGACCCUAUCAUACGCUUUUUCCAAAUCUAUAAAGACCAUGUGUAAAUCCUUUUUCCCAUCUCUAUAUCUUUCCAUCAAUCUUCGUAAGAGAUAGAUUGCCUCCAUGGUUGAGCGCCCUGGCAUGAACCCGAAUUGGUUGUCCGAAAUCCGUGUCUCUUGCCUCAAUCUAUGCUCAAUGACUCUCUCCCAGAGCUUCAUUGUAUGACUCAUUAGCUUAAUACCCUUAUAGUUCAUGCAAUUUUGUACGUCGCCCUUAUUCUUGUAGAUAGGCACCAAAGUGCUCGUUCGCCACUCAUUUGACAUCUUCUUCGUUUUCAAAAUCCUAUUGAAAAGGUCAGUGAGCCAUGUUAUACCUGUCUCUCCCAAAAGUUUCCACACUUCGAUUGGUAUAUCGUCUGGGCCUAUUGUUUUUUUAUGCUUCAUCUUCUUCAAAGCUACAACCACUUCUUCCUUCCGGAUUCGACGAUAAAAAGAGUAGUUUCUACACUCUUCUGAGUUACUCAACUCCCCUAAAGAAGCACUCAUUUCAUGUCCUUCAUUGAAGAGAUUAUGAAAAUAACCUCUCCAUCUGUCUUUAACCGCGUUCUCUGUAGCAAGAACCUUUCCAUCCUCAUCCUUGAUGCACCUCACUUGGUUUAGGUCCCUUGUCUUCUUUUCCCUUGCUCUAGAUAGUUUAUAGAUAUCCAACUCUCCUUCUUUGGUAUCUAGUCGUUUAUACAUAUCGUCGUAAGCCGCUAACUUAGCUUCUCUGACAGCUUUCUUCGCCUCUUGCUUCGCUUUUCUAUACCUUUCACCAUUUUCAUCGGUCAUCUCCUUGUAUAAGGCUUUACAACAUUCCUUCUUAGCCUUCACCUUUGUUUGUACCUCCUCAUUCCACCACCAAGAUUCCUUUUGGUGUGGGGCAAAGCCCUUGGACUCUCCUAAUACCUCUUUUGCUACUUUUCGGAUACAACUAGCCAUGGAAUCCCACAUUUGGCUAGCUUCCCCCUCUCUAUCCCACACACAUUGGGUGAUUACCUUCUCUUUGAAAAAUGGCUUGUUUUUCUUCUUUUAGAUUCCACCAUCUAGUCCUUGGGCACUUCCAAGUCUUGUUCUUUUGUCUUACUCUUUUGAUAUGUACAUCCAUCACCAACAAGCGAUGUUGAUUAGCCACGCUCUCUCCUGGUAUAACUUUGCAAUCCUUACAAGUUAUACGAUCCCCUUUCCUCAUUAGAAGAAAAUCUAUUUGUGUUUUUGACGACCCACUCUUGUAGGUGAUCACAUGUUCUUCUCUCUUCUUAAAGAAGGUGUUGGCUAAGAAGAGAUCAUAUGCCAUUGCAAAAUCCAAGAUAGCUUCCCCAUCCUCGUUUCUCUCCCCAAAACCAUGGCCACCAUGAAAACCUCCAUAGUUGCCUGUCUCCCUGCCCACGUGUCCAUUUAAAUCUCCUCCUAUAAAUAACUUCUCCGUCUGAGCAAUUCCUUGCACCAAGUCUCCAAGAUCUUCCCAAAAUUUCUCCUUCGAACUCGUAUCCAACCCUACUUGAGGUGCGUACGCACUAAUCACAUUGAUAAGUUCUUGUCCUAUUACAAUCUUGAUUGCCAUGAUUCUAUCUCCUACCCUCUUGACAUCUACAACAUCUUGUACCAAGGUCUUGUCCACGAUGAUGCCAACACCGUUUCUCGUUCUAUUUGUGCCCGAAUACCAAAGUUUAAACCCUGAGUUUUCUAGAUCCUUUGCCUUACUACCAACCCACUUAGUUUCUUGUAGGCACAUAAUAUUUAUCCUUCUCCUCACCAUCCUUACUACCAACCCACUUAGUUUCUUGUAGGCACAUAAUAUUUAUCCUUCUCCUCACCAUAACUUCCACUACUUCCAUAGAUUUUCCCGUUAAGGUUCCUAUAUUCCACGUUCCUAAACGCAUUUUGCUCUCUUGAACUCUACCCUUCUGUCCUAGCUUCUUCAGGGUCUGGGAGAGGUGAAUGUCGGCUAGCCUUACCCCCAUUUUAUGGAGAGCCUGCUCCCAAGUCUCGAACCCGAGACCUACCGCUCAUGGGCGAAGGCACUUGCCAUCGCACCAAGUGCGACCAGAGUGAGUAAACAAUAUUGAACCAAAUACACAUGAAUAAUUGAUUGGAGAUAAAAAUAAAAAUUACCUCUGAUAUCUGGAAUAUGAUAAAUCUUUGGCCAUUCUGGGCCACUGUUCUUGGCGCAUCUUUCUGCCAGACGUUGGUGAUUGGUAUUUAGUCUUUGGUUACUAUUAUCUUUAGUAAAUGGAGUAGACUUGUACUUGAAAGUUGAUGACCAAAUUGACAACUGCCUCCUCUUCAUUUGGCUGCAAUGAAAUCCUAACUAGCUACCCAGCAAAUGGUGUUGUCAUGGAACCUGCAUUUGUGGAAUAUGAACAUCUGGAAUUCACUCAAGGUGAAUUAUGGUAUGGUGAAAUCGUAACAUGAGUUUCUUCAUUUGAGCCUGGAGUUCCUUCUCGAUGCCUAGACACCUCCAUUUCCAGAAAUUGUGUUAGUUGGCACAUCACAAAACUCAUGGUGGCUCUAUGUUGGGAGGUAUGCAAAGCUGCCUCUGAUGCUUUCCAGACCGAAUUCACAUUGAACUCUCCUCGAAGCCCUUGAUCCAAAAUAGUUGUUCAAUUCCCGUUCUGGAACUCAAGAUUCACCUACUCCACUAUGUGGACAAGAUCAUCAUUUUCUAUGAUUGCAGGUUGGCUAGUAAAACCCUAAACAUCAAUUUUUUUUUUCCUUCAACCUUGCUAAUUAUAGUAUCUGCAGACCAAAUAAAGUAAUCAUAGAUCACUCACUGCUCAUAGAAUUCACAUUGAACUCUCCUCGAAGCCUUUGAUCCUAAAUAGUUGUUCAAUUCCCGUUCUGGAACUCAAGAUUCACCCGCUCCACUAUGUGGACAAGAUCAUCAUUUUCUAUGAUUGCAGGUUGGCCAGUAAAACCCUAAACAUCAAUUUUUUUUUCCUUCAACCUUGCUAAUUAUAGUAUCUGCAGACCAAAUAAAGUAAUCAAAGAUCACUCACUGCUCAUAGAUUUUUUUUUUUUUUUAACAUGAUCAAAAUUCUAAGAACAGUAGAACACGAAAUCUGAACAUGCUCGGAAUCAAGAUACCUUGCUGUGCCCAUGAACGAUGCCACCAGAGUCUCAUUGUCACUGGGAAAAACCAUGGACAGACCAAAAUCUGCUAUUUUGCAUCCAAGUUUUAAUUCAGGAGAAUGUUGGCAGUCUUUACAUCUCUAUGCACAAUACUGGAUUGUGAAUAUAUAGUAGCACAAAAAAUAACACUAAGCACCUAUCUAACGCAAUAUCUAAUGCCAUCCAAAGUCUCAUUUCCCAAGUUUAUGUGAGCUCCUAUCUGCUUCUGCAACCAUUAACGUGACACUUCAAUAUUUUGAAACCCUCUGUUGGAGGACAAUGCUAUGUAAAAUAUAGAAUUACAUACCUGAUCAGAGAUAUUCUUUUAGGUUUUCAUUAGGCAUGUACUUGUAUAUAAGUGCCAACUUGUCAGUAUCACACAGUAUCCAAUAAACGAGGCCAAGUUUCUAUGAUGGAUUCUCAUCGGGAGCUCAACCUGCAGCCACAAGGAACUCAUCAAUCUCUAACCAAAGAGACAAGGCAUUUAACUUGCAUCCAAGGAAUUAAAUUCAAACUGUCAAACCUCUGUUUGGAACUCCCUAGCUGAGCUAGCUCCUUGAGAUGACGAUGUAGAACCACAACUUGAGUGCCAUAUUUCAACUAGCCAUGGUAUACAAUCCCAAAUCCUCCUUUCCCGAUUUCCGUUUUAAAGAUUUCGGUGAUUUCUAAAACCUCGUCAUAAGUGAACUAGGACUUCUGAUGCUACAGGAGUUUUGUUACGUGUUUCUCCAUCUGCAGCUCAAGUAGACAAAAAGAUAUGAGUUCAGACUAACUGGUUAGGAAUACCACUACACCAUAGUAGGAGCGCCGGUUCUAAUUGAAUUAAGUAUCAAAAAGAUAUGAGUUCAGACUAACUGGUUAGGAAUACCACAACACCAUUUGCUUUGGUUAAAGAAAAUGCUAACCUAUUCGGUGCUCUCCAUGAAUGAAACUUGCACAGAGCAGUAGGACAAGGAAAUCAAUUGAGAUCAUCUUCUCUCUUUGUCUCACUGCAGCCUAUGAACUACCUGGUAUUUAUUAUGCGUGACAAUGUUCUGACCAAAAAAGCAGAAAAACGUAUAUGACAGUGUGGAUUUGUACCUUAUGCUGCACAACUUUACAUGAAAUCAUUCUAGGUGAAAUCGUAAUAUGAGUUUCUUCAUUUUAGACUGGAGUUCUUUGUUGAUGCGUAGACACCUCUAUUCCAUACAUUGUGUUAGUUGGCACAGCACAAAACCCAUGGUGGCUCUAUGUUGGCAGGUGAUAGUUGUGCAUGCCAUUGCUG